UUUAGUCCUGUUUGGUCGUUCGCGGGCCUUCUACAUAUUUGUAUGUUUCCACUCUUUCGUGAUUUCAGCUCAUUUAGUGUUAAGUUUGCCUUCGAUUUGAUGUACUACUCGUGUCCGGUUCUGUAAUAGUUAAAGAGUUACGAUCCAUGUGCUUUGGUGUAAAUGGAUAACGAGGACACUCGAAGGCGGCAAUAAAGUGUAUGUGGUCGAUUUUCUUUAUUCCGGUAGUUCAUAUUCCUCGGGAAAAUUAUCAACAAAAUUCAAAUUCAAACACGUCUUUUUUUCUGAAAAAGAAACAUAUGGAUGUUCACAACACCACUACAAAAAUUCCAAUCAAAAUUGGACAUACACAUAAUCUCUAUCGCUACUCCUAUAAAAAUACGAGUUGGUGGUGAUGGUGUGCCUGCCAUCUACAAUUUUCGACCAUCGGAUACAGGAUCUGCCCUUGUGCUCUGUGUCCUGCUCCAUCGAUCCCCAACUCACCCAACCAGGAAACUAUAGAGGCAUUCGAUCCUUCUCGAAGAGGGGAGAACACAGUGGAACCAAACUGGCCAACUGCCGCUGUCGCUCACACGCCGCCGGCGCCGGCCGCUCCCAAUUCCUCUUCGGCAGCAGCCCCACCACUCAUGUCACCUCCCCCUCCUACCUGUUAUCUCUUCUUCCCCUACCCUGUCUCCUUCGAUGCCGAUGUCGGCAUGUACGCCGCCGGCGCCGUCUGUCCCCGAGGUCCACGAAACCUCUUAUGUCUCAUUCUUUGAUGCAGAAGCCCCUCCGCCCGCCAUCUCCCCCUACCGCAUCUCAUCGGCGCUGACAUCGGCAAGUACGUCACCGGCAUCGUCCGCCCCCUGAUUCAGCAAUGGCUCUCAUGCAGCAGCGCCAGCGCCCACAAGCUUCACCUCCUUCCCAUCGACGCGCUCCACGUCCGUCUAAUUCGAGUUUGAGCUGCUCCCCAGGACCUCUAUGCCGUUUGCAACAGGAGCACCACCCACGAGCUCCACAGUCCAGACCCGCAUCCUCCUCCUUCCGUCUUGGAGAUGGAGAUGGCAAAAUCUGGUGUGAUAAUUUACGUGAAGGUACUGUGCUCUGAUAGUCCCUCUCCUUCCCAGUCCCAAGUCAAAAAUUUCCGUCACCCAAAAGUUCAAAUCGACACGCCUAUCUCAUACUGUCUACAAACCACUCAUGUCAUUUACUCCCUCCGUAAACUAAUAUAAGAGUGUUUAGAAUACCAAAGUAGUGAUCUAAAUGCUUUUAUAUUAGUUUAAAGGAGUGAUCUAAAUGUUCUUAUAUUAGUUUACAGAGGGAGUAGUUGAAUAUGGGACUCACGCUGCUCAAACUACAUCCCCAAGAAGCCACGUAAUCUUUAGCUCGAACGGAGUGUGAGGAGGCAUGAGUCACUGUCAUUUUCCAUCUAAUCUACUUUUUCAAGGACCAUGGUUUGGGUGUGGAUGAAUAGUGGAAUCUUCUCUACUUCUCAUGAACCCCUUGCUUCAUCUCUGUUAUACAAUCCUUACUUGUGCAAUUUGAUAUGUGACUGUGGUAACAGAUGGAACAGCCUUAUAUUGUAUCCAUAAGCAGUAUCCAUUGUAACAAUGUUUGAUUUCAAUUAAUUAUCCAAAAUCUUCUUGUGGAGUGAAAUUUUGAGUAUUGAAAAUGUUGGUGUAUACCUCUCUGAACCGGUAUUUUCACAUGAGCAGCUCUAUGUUUCUCUUUCUAGAGCUACCAUUAGAAGUGUAAUAUAAAGCUUCUUACUGUCCCGAAUAAGCAAAAGGAAGACCACUCCAACUCCAUUACAAAAUUUACAAAGAAAUGGUCUACAAAAAAGUUCUCAUUGUGCAGUCCAAGGUAUGAAUCAAGUACUGUUUGGUGGCUGUAAAAAUACAAUAUAUCUAACUAGGGUCAGUCAUGUAAAAUUGCUUCCCAUGUAUGGCUUUGAGGGAAAUAACUUAGAUACUUACUUUAGUGUUUAUGAUAUUUUUAUAAAGAAAAUGUAUAUGUGUGUUUGAAUUAUUUUUUGGUAAUUCUCUUUCUUACUCCCUCUACUAAUUUUUUCUGGAUGACACCUAUAACAGAUCUCUUUGUCAUCGACGCCUCUCCUUUGUUUGGUAGCUCCACAUCCAAAUUUCAGGUCAGACCCCAAAUAUUUAUUUCCUUGUUGUGUGUGAUCGGCAUCUUUUUCUGGCAGAAACCUGGUUGAUGUAAGAAAGUUACAAGAGGUCCAGUACUGUACAAUUUUUAUGUGUGUGUAUGCACAUUCUGUUUCUUUGCUUGGUACAAAAUAUAUUGCAAGGGAUGUUCUUUUUUGCUUUGUUUAAAUAUACUACAUACCCUCUACAGACUCAGCUUAUUUUCCUUUUUCUGAAUAUAACACAGACGAUUUGUAUGCAAUAGUUGUUGGAAUUCAGUAAUGUUCAGGCUUGUUCCAGUGUUAGUUUUCUUCAGGCUUUCAGUGUUCCUUUUUCUGAAGAAAGUUACAAAGGAACUUGUAAAUUUUGGUUGUUAUUCGUUGAGAUUGUAUCCUCUGUUUUUAUUUGGCUAGCUGGACAGGUAUAUCUUCUGCGAUUGUUCUAAUGGGACGCCUCUCAACAUGAUCCUCUAUUCAUUUUUUUGUUAUGGCUUUGGUUGUUUGAAUCGCUUUGCUUUGACUCAAAUAUGUCCUAAUAUUUUAGCCAACGAAUUGAGCUUUUGAUAGCUUUGGAACUUGCUGGCCAAGAGAUAAGAUCUUCUUGUUAAGGAUAGGUCUAUAUAUAAAGCCAUGUAUGGUAGGUCCUCUGCAUCAAUCUCAUCUGGUGUUCCUCCACAUACAUCUGAACCUUGGCAUAGAGAGAGCUACGUUGGUGAGAACCUGCUGGUUCAUCUCCUCUUGAGUGCACAACAGGAGAUACGAGAUCAUUGUAUCUUGGACGAGAGCGCCGUUUAACUCGUGCACCACGGCGAGGGCGUGAAUCUCCUUGAAGAUAGCGCCUACCAGUGUGCCUUGAUCCAGUCGAGCUGCUGCACCAUGAUCUGCUGCGACCACAUCUUCAGCAACAUACGACAUCGCCGACGCCAACAAUAGUGGUUGUCUAAUGUCUUUUUAGGUGAGCAGAUAAAUGAAGAGAAAACCCCAUAACUAAUAUUGUUGGCAUAUAUAUAUUUGAGCAAGAAGGGUAUUACUAUUCUUGACAAAUGAUUAUAUGGCCUGAUCCUGGUAGAUGACUAAUGUAUAUAACUAAUUAAGUGGAACUAGCUGGGUGAGUUAUGUCCAGAAUAUUUCUUUUCUUCAUUGUAGUGUUGUAGGCAGAUUCAUUUUUCUUGCAUAUUUAGCAAAUCAUUCUGUUAAACACUUCUACUUCAUUCUUGUUUUCCCUGGAACCAUUCAUAAUUGUGUGUUCAAACUAUAGUAUGUAUGUUAUUUAGAUAUAUUAGUUUCUGCCGUUUAUCUGCACAACUAGCCGAGAUCAAGGUUUUCAUCCGGAUCUGCUCGAAGAACCUCCAUCAAAAACCGUGNNNNNNNNNNNNNNNNNNNNNNNNNNNNNNNNNNNNNNNNNNNNNNNNNNNNNNNNNNNNNNNNNNNNNNNNNNNNNNNNNNNNNNNNNNNNNNNNNNNNNNNNNNNNNNNNNNNNNNNNNNNNNNNNNNNNNNNNNNNNNNNNNNNNNNNNNNNNNNNNNNNNNNNNNNNNNNNNNNNNNNNNNNNNNNNNNNNNNNNNNNNNNNNNNNNNNNNNNNNNNNNNNNNNNNNNNNNNNNNNNNNNNNNNNNNNNNNNNNNNNNNNNNNNNNNNNNNNNNNNNNNNNNNNNNNNNNNNNNNNNNNNNNNNNNNNNNNNNNNNNNNNNNNNNNNNNNNNNNNNNNNNNNNNNNNNNNNNNNNNNNNNNNNNNNNNNNNNNNNNNNNNNNNNNNNNNNNNCGGCGUCGUCAGGCCCACCGCACUUGCCUGUAGUCGCGGCCCCAAACCACCAGCCCGCCCAAGCCCAUCUGGGCCACGCGAGACCCAAGCUCCCAGCCACCACAACAGGGGCGCCUCCGCCACGGGGAGGUUGUGCCUCCAAUGUCACCGUUGGCUCGCUCUCGUCGUCGGGAUCCCGCCGCUCCUCCCUGCCGAUUCUUCGCCGGUCCACGCGUCGCCGCCACCGGGGAGCUCGCCAUCGCCACGCGAUGGAGAAGGCCCCGCCGUUGCCGUCACCGCCCGGGCUUCGCCCGACAAGACCCCUGGCGUCGGCGGGAGGGAGGGGACGAGGGGUGGUAGGGCCGGAGGCAGGCGCCGUGGUCGCCCCCCUCCCCCCUGUGUCGCCUAGGGUUGUGCUUGAUGUGUAUCUGUCAGAAAUUUAACAUCACUUUGAUCAUGUAAAGGCAGUGUCUCGGUACAUUUUUAUUAUUCAUAAGAUCAUACAGGUUCCUAACUAUGUCUCGGUAUAUAUACUUCUUCAUUACCAUAGCAACAUACAGGUUCAUGAUCAUGUCUCGGUAUGUAUUUUUUUCUGUAGGGGUUCCUGACUAUAACUUAAGUCCAUCUAAUCUUGUGUGACCCGGUAGCGUAGCACGGGUAUCUUACUAGUAGAAAUAAAAGAAACAAGUCCAUCAAGAAUAGUAUCAAAUGAAGACGAACAAAAAAUGACUUCACAUUUGAAUUUGUCUUUUUUUUCUCCUUGUGUAUUUCGAAUUUCAAUCUAGUUUUUUAGGGGUUGUCGACAUGUGUUGUGAACCAGCUCAGCGCCCACGACCCGUAGAUGCGUGCGGCUGAGCCGCCAUCAUAGGCCUUGUCCGCCGUGGCGAACAUGCCCAGACACAUCUGGUCGCGCGGGGCGAGGUGCGCGCGGCUGCGCCGCCAUCACCACGACGUUCUGCUGCUGGCCUUCUCCUCGAGGCAAGGCCGUUGUUGGCCUUCUCUUCGAGCUUUUUGAGCUCGCGUUUGAUUUUUUUUAAGAAGAAAUGGUGAUGUAAUAAAGUAAAGAUAAGUAUUUUUCUCGGUUUGAGAACCAAGAUAUCAAUCCAAUAGAAAGACACGCAAGUCACGGUUACUUGCAAGAAUGAGAACUGAUUGUCAAUCCACAUCAUCUAUAGUGCAGGGCCGACUUGUUUACUGGAGCGUCAGAGGCGAACCGGUAUUACAUCUGGCAGGCACCCCUUAAAAACCAAAUCUGGCACCAAGCGAGGCAUAGUUCCUGGAAAAUCCUAUUUGAUGCUAACUGCGUCAAAAUGUCGAGCAUUCGCACAGGCGAUCCCCCGACAGUGAGAAUUGGGCCGACCCACUUCCCCACAGCAAGGCAGCCGGUUUUGCGAACCUUCCAAGUAAUCUGGAGGGAUUGACAGCCCCUCUAUCGUGUUGGGUGCAUGUAUUUAUUUGUUUAUGUAGGUGCAACCAUUAAUGACUUGUGUGUUCCUCCUACUAAAUUGAUACUUUGGUUUUUAAACUUAGGAAAAUACUUAUCUCUACUUUGCUGCAUCAUCCUUCCUCUUCAAGGAAAAACCAACGCAAACUCAAAAAGUAGCAGUCAUCGAGCCGCACAUGUGCUAAACUAGGAGGUGUCGUCCGUUCGGCACUAGAUCGGUUGAAUUGUAAUCGAACUGCGAAGAGUACGACUACAUCAACCGCGUUAUAUACGUUUCCCCUUUUGGUCUACGAGGGUACAUAGGCACACUCUUUUCUCUUGUUGCAAUGCUUCUCCUAGAUAGAUCUUGGGUGUCUGUAGGAUUUUUUUUAUUUUCAUGCUUCGUUCCCCAUCAAUCAGUCCGCGUAGAUAGGAGGAUCAGUCCGCGGACACGGAUGCGGGAGGCCACCAUCCAAAUCUAGUCGGAUACAUUUUAACAACAGUUCGAACAAACCAGUCCGAGGACACGGAUACGGGAGGCCGCCAUCCAAACAUGACAUAUUUCAUAUAAACUUGACUGAUUUCAUUCAUUUACAUCAAAACGGUGCUAGUCCAGCUCUUGAGGUAUAAUUAAUACUUAAUCUAAAUGGUCGUUGGUGCCCGUUUCCCAUGUCCGGCCAUGAGCCUCGAGAACUGAAGCUUCGCCUUAUCCAGUUUUACCUCGCCUCUCUCCAGCUCCACCUCCGGAGACCCGGAAAGUGAAGUCGUCCACCUCGACGUCGCCACCAAGCGACUAAUCGGCCGUCGAUGCUGAGCCCGCCAAGCUUGGCGUCGACGGGAGGUGAGGAGCGGUGGACCUACCGUUCACUACUCUUCAUCGCCGUCGGCGGCUCCUACGGAUGUGUUGGCAUCAUGGUUGAGGGAGUCUUGGAUUAAGGGGUCCUCGGACAGCCGGACUAUGUAACGUGGGCCGGACUGUUGGACCAUGAAGAUACAAGACAGAAAACUCUCUCCCGUGUCCAGAUGGGACUCUCCAUAGCGUGGAAGGCAAGCUUGGCACCCAGAUAUGAAGAUUCCUUUCUCUGUAACCAACUUUGUACAACCCUAGUCCCCUCCGGUGUCUAUAUAAACCGGAGGGCUUAGUCCGUAGAGGCAAUCAUAAUCAUCCAGGCUAUACUUCUAGGGUUUUAGCCAUUACGAUCUCGUGGUAGAUCAACUCUUGUAAUACUCAUAUUCAUCAAGAUCAAUCAAGCAGGAAGUAGGGUAUUACCUCCAUAGAGAGGGCCCGAACCUGGGUAAACAUCGUGUCCCCCGCCUCCUGUUACCACCAACCUUAGACGCACAGUUCAGGACCCCCUACCCGAGAUCCGCCGGUUUUGACACCGACAUUGGUGCUUUCAUUGAGAGUUCCGCUGCGUCGUCACCAAAAGGUUUGAUGGCUCCAUCAAUCAUCUACAAUAAUGCAGUCUAGUGGGAGGUUUUCCUUCCUGGACAGAUCUUCGUAUUCGGCGGCUUCGCACUGCGGGCCAACUCGCUUGGCCAUCUAGAAAAGAUCGACAGCUAUGCCCUGGCCAUCAGGUCAGGUUUGGAAGCUUGAAUUAUGUUGCCUAUAUCCGCGGAGACUUGAUCUUCGAUGGAUUCGAGCCCAUGACAGCCGCUCCCUGCCGCCACGAUGAACAUGACCUAAAUCUGUCAUCGGACCGUGCCCAGGUGAUAGCGCCUGUAACUGCUCUGGCCCUGGAUCCAGAGUAGAUUGCGCCGUCCGAGGAUGGGAAGCUCAACCCCGCCGCGGAAGCCGCAGACUCAGCGGCGUUAGAGUCGCACACGGAUCCAACCUCGAGCGGAGCCUGUGUCACCGAAACCUCGGAUUCGUCUCCGACCAUAGGUUCCGAACCGUGUGCAUCCGCGCCCAUCGAACCUGAUCCGUCGCCGGUCGUUGAAUUCAGUUCCGCGGACAUCUUCCGGCACUCACCUUUAGUCGAUGUGCUAAACUCAUUAAAAACCUCUCCUUAUCAGGGGACUCUCAUGUGACGCCCGGAUAAUUAAACUACAGUAAUCCCUUGUUAAUGGUGCCAUGUCAUCACAUUUACUGUUGCUAAAUCCCACGUUGUUUCAAACCGGUUCAAAUUUCUUUUUCAAAUUAAAGUCAAAAUUCAAAAUUCUCGAACAGUAAAACUAAAAUGUUCACCUUUUAGCAAAUAAUCCAAAACUAUUUACUGUUAAGGAACACAACGUCAUCAUCAUUUCUAAAUGGGCCUAAUGCAUUUUAACAGAGCAAAAACAACUUUUAAAAUGCCCUUUUCAUUAUUGAAUAAAUUCAAAUGAACUCCAAAAACACCCAAACUUUUUGUGGCAGUGCUGGAUAUUGCAAAGUACUUAUGUGACCAAGUUUCACAUUUUUGCAAAAUCAUAUGGAAGCUCAAAAUAUUGCUAAACCCCCCCUUUCUGUGAAAAGAAAAUAGAAAAGGACACUGUGCACUGGCCUAAGUGCACAAUGCCUAGAGCCCAGCCCACCAUGGCCUCCUCCUUCUUCCUCGUUCUCUGCUCAAGCAACCGAGGCGCGCCCGCCGUCGCCAUCGAACCCACCUCGCCAACCACGCCGCUACAGGUGCCACGGGUGGAUAAAGAUCCACCUCUCCUCCUUCCUGGCAUCCUCAUCCAUUCGCCCCCUUAUCCUCUCACUCUCCCCUCUCUAACUCUCCAUCUCUGUCGAUCUGGAGAAGAGGCCGGCGUGGCCGAUGCCGUUCAUACCCGCGGCCCACGCGCCUCUUCGGUUCUGCCGAUCUGUCCGGGAGCUCCGGCGCCUUCAACCUUUUCGUCCGUUGCCGAUGGAUCAAGUCAGGGAGCAGCGCAGCGACUCCGACAACCCAAUCCCCUUCUCCGGCCAGCGCCACGGCAUCGCCUCGAGCUCCUCCGCCGCUGCUCUUCUAAGCCCUCACCGAACCACCUUGUGUCCCCACGGUGAGCUCCACAUCCUCCCACCCCUCUGUCUUGCUCGGAUUUGAGCCGUGGGUAGCUGUUGCCAUGGUCGUGCCUCUGCUUCCGCCGGCAUGCUCGUAGCUGUGCCGUUGCUGCCCUCGAGCUCAAACGAGCUCAGGAUCGUGCUCAGCACAUCCGUGCGGGCCCGUUGCACCCCUCCCCCACGCUUUGUCGAGCCCCAUAGCGCUGACCCCAUGCUCCGAUCGGAUGCGCCUCUGAUACGUCUCCAACGUAUCUAUAAUUUAUGAAGCAUUCAUGCUAUUUUAUUAUCUGUUUUGAAUGAUUAUGGGCUUUAUUAUACACUUUUAUAUUACUUUUGGGACUAAUUAGCUAUUAACCGGAGGCCCAGCCCAUAUUGCUGUUUUAUUGCCUGUUUCAGUAUUUCGAAGAAAAGGAAUAUCAAACGGAGUCCAAACGGAAUGAAACCUUCGGCAGCGUGAAUUUUUGGAAGAAUAUCACCCAGGAGACUUGGAGUUCAUGUCAGAAGAGCCUCGAGGAGGCCAGGAGAUAGGAGCCCCCCCCUACUGGGCGCGCCCCCUGUCUCGUGGGCCCCUCGAGCACCUCCUGACCGACUUCUUUCGCCUAUAUAAGCCUACGUACCCUAAAAACAUGGAAUAUGAAGAUAGAUCGGGAGUUCCGCCGCCGAAAGCUUCUGUAGCCACCAAAAACCUCUCAGGAGCCCUUCCCGGCACCUUGCCGGAGGGGGGAUCCUUCACCGGUGGCCAUCUUCAUCAUCCUGGCACUAUCCAUGACGAGGAGGGAGUAGUUCACCCUCGAGGCUGAGGGUAUGUACCAGUAGCUAUUUGUUUGAUCUCUCUCUCUCUCUCUCGUGUUCUCUCUCAUGUUCCCUCUAUGGCACGAUCUUGAUGUAUCCCGAGCUUUGCUAUUAUAGUUGGAUCUUAUGAUGUAUCCCUAAAAUUGUGCUCAAGUGCUAGAAGAAGAAUUACAUAGAAUGCUUGGCGUGAAAUAUGUGAAUGAUGAGCAUGAUUUUAAUGUUGUUAGUAUGAAUUCCUUGAAUAUCCAUGAUGCUAAUGAUAUGCAAAGCCACAAGCUUGGGGAAGCUAUGUUUGAUGAGGAUGAUAUUUUUUGUCCCCAAGUUUUGAUGAGCAAAUUUAUUUUGAUGAUAGCAUGACUCCUAUUUAUGAUGAUUAUAUUGAUGAGAGUGGGUUUGGAAGAGUGUCAACUUUAGGUAGUAUUGAUCCCACUAUUUUGGAGGAUGUUGAAUCUUAUUGUGAUGAAUAUGAAAGUGGAUUUGGAAGAGUGUCAACUUUAUUUAGUGAUGAUUCCACUAUUUUGGAAGAGGUUCCAAUUGAUUAUGAGAACAAAGUUGCUAUCUAUGAUGAUUAUUGUGAUGACUUGUAUGCUAUUAAGAAUAAUGAUAACCAUGAAACUUAUCAUCAUGAUUUCAGUUUUCAAUUGGAUUAUGCCUCGCAUGAUGAUUAUUUUUUUGAGUUUGCUCCCACUACUAUUCAUGAGAAUAAAUUUGCUUAUGUGGAGAGUAGUAAAAUUUCUAUGCUUGUAGAUCAUGAAAAGAAUGCUUUAGGUGCUGGUUAUAUUGUUGAAUUCAUUCAUGAUGCUACUGAAAAUUAUUAUGAGGGAGGAACAUAUGCUUGUAGGAAUUGCAAUAAUAUCAAGUUUCCUCCCUAUGUGUUGAAAAUUUUGAAGCUAUGCUUGUUUUACUUUCCUAUGCUAGUUGAUUAUUGUUCCCAUAAGUUGUUUGCUCACAAAAUCCCUAUGCAUAGGAAGUGGGUUAGGCUUAAAUGUGCUAGUCAGAUGCUUCACGAUGCUCUCUUUAUAUUCCAAUUCUUAUCGUUUAUGUGAGCAUCAUUGUCAUCAUCAUGCCUAGCUAGAAAGGCAUUAAAGAAAAGCGCUUGUUGGGAGACAACCCAAUAUUUAUCCUUACUGUUUUUGUGUGUCCACAUGAUUAUGCUACUGUAGUAAUCAUGUUUUAUAGUUUUUUGUUUCAAUAAUGUGCCAAGUAGAACCUUUGGGAAGACUUGGGUGAAGUCUUUAUGAUCAUGCUGUAGAAAACAGAAACUUUUGCGCUCACGAGAAUAGCUGCCAUUUUUUUACAGAAGAGUGCUUUUAGGUUGAUUCUUUUUGCAGAUGAUUAAUAGACAAAUUACUCAUGUUCAGAAAUUUAAUUCAUAAUUGUUGGGGUUCCAGAAGUAUAUGUUUGAUACAGAUUACUACAGACUGUUCUGUUUUUGACAGAUUCUGUUUUCAUUGUGUUGUUUGCUUAUUUUGAUGAAUCUAUGGCUAGUAUGUAAGGGUAUGAACCAUAGAGAAGUUAGAAUACAGUAGGUCUUACACCAGUAUGAAUUUAGAAUGAGUUCAUUACAGUACCUAAGUGGUGAUUUAUUUUCUUAUACUAAUGGAGCUUACGAGUUUUGUUUUGAGUUUUAUGUGGUUGAAGUUUUCAAGUUUUGGGUAAAGAUUCGAUGGACUAUGGAAUAAGGAGUGGUAAGAGCCUAAGCUUGGGGAUGCCCAAGGCACCCCAAGAUAUUCAAGGAUAACCAAAAGCCUAAGAUUAGGGAUGCCCCGGAAGGCAUCCCCUCUUUCGUCUUCGUUCAUCGGUGACUUUACUUGGAGCUAUAUUUUUAUUCGCCACAUGAUAUGUGUUUUGCUUGGAGCGUCAUUUUAUUUUGUUAGUAUUUUCUUGCUGUUAUUUAUAUUAAGGUUUUGCAUCUCUAUUGUAAAUAAAAAUGUCAAGGAUAGCCUUUGCCAUGCUUAUUUUGCUAGUAUACAUGUUGCUGUUUGAAAACAGUAAGUUUACCGCUGUUGCAAAAAUUCCCUAGAAAAGUCAGAGAAUGGUAUAAUGUUAAAUCUUUUUGCAUAUUAAGUUCUGAUAAAUUUAUUACAGUGGGAAUUUUCUCUCAUAAUUUGUGGAGUCAGGGAAGUAUUGAUACUCUUGCAUUCUUUACAGACUAUACUGUUUUGGCAGAUUGCUGUUAUGGUUGCAUUGUUUGCAUAUGUUUGCUUGUUUAAAGAUUCUAUUUGAGGAUAGGAGUGUUAAAUAUGCAGAGACAUUUGGUAUGCAAUGUUGAAUAAUAUUUUUAGUGAUUUGUUACAGUAGAAAAUGAUAAGGUUUUGCAUUGGUUUAUACUAACCUAUCUCACGAGUUCUUGUUGAGUUUGGUGUGGAUGAAGCUUUUGAGAAAUAGAGAAACCAUGAUAUGAGAGGAAUUAAGGAGAGACAAAAGUUCAAGCUUGGGGAUGCCCAAGGCACCCCAAGAUAAUAUUUCAAGAAGUCUCAAGCAUCUAAGCUUGGGGAUGCCCCGGUAGGCAUCCCACCUUUCUUCUUCGAUAAUCAUUGUUUAGUAUCGGUUGAGCCUAAGUUUUUGCUUAUUCACAUGAGUUGUUCUAUACUUGCAAUGUCAUUUUGUUUCGCUUUGCUUGCUGUAUGAAUAAAAUACCAAGAUAUGAAAUUCUUAAAUGAGAGAGAGUCUUCACAUUAUUUAGCUACUCAUUGGUCUUCACUUAUAUCUUGUUGGAGUAGUUUGUCAUUUACUCGUGUGCUUCACUUAUAUCCUAUGAGUAAAUGGUUUAAUGAGUUGAUUGUCAUAAAUCUGAAAUUAUAUAUGUUUCAUUUGCUUAUCCCAUGGGGAGUAAUGACUUCACAUCUAAGAAGUAGAAAUAGUAAGUUUAUUGAAGGUUAGCUAGCAUUGUAUUGGUCAUUUGAACAAUUCAUGAAAGAACAUUGAAGGAAGAGAGAUUUCACAUAUAAAUAUAUUAUCAUAGACAUCUUUUAUAAUUGUGAGCACUCAUUAAGUAUGACAUGCUAAAGAGUUGAUGUUGGACAAGGAAGACAACAUAAUGGGUUAUGUUUUCUCACAUCUCAGUUAAAGUAUAUUGUCAUGGAUCAUUCAAACAUGUUGAGCUUGCCUUUCCCCCUCAUGCUAGCCAAAAAUUCCUAGCACCAAGUAGAGAUACUACUUGUGCUUCCAAAUAUCCUUAAACCCAGUUUUGCCAUGAGAGUCGACCAUAUCUACCUAUGGAUUGAGUAAGAUCCUUCAAGUAAGUUGUCAUUGGUGCAAGCAAUAAAAAUUGCUCUUUAAAUAUGCAUGACUUAUUAAUGUGGAGAAAAUAAGCUUUGUACGAUCUUGUUAUGGAAGCAAUAAAAGCGACGGACUACAUAAUAAAGGUCCAUAUACAAGGGGCAAUAUACAGUGACAUUCUUUCGCAUUAAGAUUUUGUGUAUCCAACCCUAAAAGCGCAUGACAACCUCUGCUUCCCUCUGCGAAGGGCCUAUCUUUUACUUUAUGUCUUUUACUUUAUGAAAGAGUCAAGGUGAUCUUCACCUUUCCCUUUUUCAUUUUAUCCUUUGGCAAGCACUUUGUGUUAGGGUGAUCCUGAUAUAUAUCCAAUUGGAUGUACGUUAGCAUGAACUAUUAUUGUUGACAUCACCCAAAGGUGAAUACGUUUGGAGGCAAAAUUAUAAGCCCCUAUCUUUCUGUGUGUGUGAUUAAAACUUCAUAACCACAAGUAUUGCGUGAGUGUUAGCAAUUGUAGAAGACUAUAUGAUAGUUGAGUAUGUGAAGUUUGCUAAAUCAAAGCUCUGACAUAGACCCUUCCUGAAAAUAGGAUGAAUUGCAAUUGUUUGAUGACUAAUAAUGAAGUUUGCUAGUUUUCAAGAAAGUUUAUGGUCUAUGCUUUAACAUGUGAAUAGCUUGUUACUUGAUUAUGAUAAGUUUUAUGAGAUGAACUACUGUUAUGACAUAUAAUGAUGCUAGUAAAGGUGAUUGAAAUUAUCAUUGAUCAAACUUGUGCACCUCUAGCAUUGACACUUCAUAAAUUCUUUCUUUUAUCAUUUACCUACUCGAGGACAAGCAUGAAUUAACCUUGGGGAUGCUGAUACGUCUCCAACGUAUCUAUAAUUUAUGAAGCAUUCAUGCUAUUUUAUUAUCUGUUUUGAAUGAUUAUGGGCUUUAUUAUACACUUUUAUAUUACUUUUGGGACUAACCUAUUAACCGGAGGCCCAACCCAUAUUGUUGUUUUAUUGCCUGUUUUAGUAUUUCAAAGAAAAGGAAUAUCAAAUGGAGUCCAAACGGAAUGAAACCUUUGGCACCGUGAUUUUUUGGAAGAAUAUCACCCAGGAGACUUGGAGUUCACGUCAAAAGAGCCUCGAGGAGGCCAGGAGAUAGGAGCCCCCCCCCCUACUGGGCGCGCCCCCUAUCUCAUGGGCCCCUCGAGCACCUCCCGACCGGCUUCUUUUGCCUAUAUAAGCCUAUGUACCCUAAAAACAUCAAACAUGGAGAUAGAUCGGGAGUUCCGCCGCCGCAAGCCUCUGUAUCCACCAAAAACCUCUCGGGAGCCCUUCCCGGCACCUUGCCGGAGGGGGGAUCCUUCACCGGUGGCCAUCUUCAUCAUCCGGACGCUAUCCAUGACAAGGAGGGAGUAGUUCACCUCGAGGCUGAGGGUAUGUACCAGUAGCUAUGUGUCUGAUCUCUCUCUCUCUCUCUCUCUCUCUCGUGUUUUCUCUCAUGUUCCCUCUAUGGCACGAUAUUGAUGUAUCCCGAGCUUUGCUAUUAUAGUUGGAUCUUAUGAUGUUUCUCCCCCUAUACUCUCUUGUGAUGAAUUGAGUUUUUCCUUUGAAGUUAUCUUAUCGGAUUGAGUCUUUUAUGAGAACACUUGAUGUAUGUCUUGCCGUGCUUAUCUGUGGUGACAAUGGGAUAUCAUGUGCCACUUGUUGUAUGUUUUGGUGACCAACUUGCGGGUUCCACCCAUGAACCUAUGCAUAGGGGUUGGCACACGUUCUUGACUCUCCGGUAGAAACUUUGGGGUAGUCUUUGAAGUACUUUGUGUUGGUUGAAUAGAUGAAUCUGAGAUUGUGUGAUGCAUAUCAUAUAUAUAAUCAUGCCCAUGGAUACUUGAGGUGACAAUGGAGUAUUUAGGGGACAUUAGGGUUUUGGUUGAUUUGUGUCUUAAGGUGUUAUUCUAGUAUGAACUCUAUGAUGGAUUGAGCGGAAAGAAUAGCUUCAUGUUAUUUUACUACGAACUCUUGAAUAGAUAGAACGGAAAGGAUAACUUUGAGGUGGUUUCGUACCCUACCAUAAUCUCUUCGUUCAUUCUCCACUAUUAGUGGCUUUGGAGUGACUCUUUGUUGCAUGUUGAGGGAUUGUUAUAUGAUCUAUCUAUGUUAUUAUUGUUGAGAGAACUUGCACUAGUGAAAGUAUGAACCCUAGGCCUUGUUUCCUAUCAUUGCAAUAUCGUUUACGCUUACUUUUACCACUUGCUACCUUGCUGUUUUUAUAAUUUCAGAUUACAAAUACCUUUAUAUACCAUCCAUAUUGCACUUGUAUCACCAUCUCUUCGCCGAACUAGUGAACCUAUACAACUUACCAUUGUAUUGGGUGUGUUGGGAACACAAGAGACUCUUUGUUAUUUGGUUGCAGGGUUGCUUGAGAGAGACCAUCUUCAUCCUACGCCUCCUACGGAUUGAUAAACCUUAGGUCAUCCACUUGAGGGAAAUUUGCUGCUGUCCUACAAACCUGUGCACUUGCAGGCCCAACAACGUCUACAAGAAGAAGGUUGUGUAGUAGACAUCAAGCUCUUUUCUGGCGCCGUUGCCGGGGAGGCUAGGUAAACGACACUCACACCCCGUCAACUAAGCUCUUUUUUGGUGCGGUGAGUGCUUGAAGGUAUAUCUUUAGAUCUUGCAAUCGAAUCUUUUACUUUCUUGUUUUAUCACUAGUUUAGUUUAUAAAAGAAAACUACAAAAAAUGGAAUUGAGUUUGUCUCAUAUGCUUCAUCUUUUUAAUGUCUUUCGUGAGAAUGAUGGAGAUGAAAAUUGUGCUCAAGUGCUAGAAGAAGAAUUACAUAGAAUGCUUGGCAUGAAAUAUGUGAAUGAUGAGCAUGAUUUUAAUGUUGUUAGUAUGAAUUCCUUGAAUAUCCAUGAUGCUAAUGAUAUGCAAAGCCACAAGCUUGGGGAAGCUAUGUUUGAUGAGGAUGAUAUUUUUUGUCCCCAAGUUUUGAUGAGCAAAUUUAUUUUGAUGAUAGCAUGACUCCUAUUUAUGAUGAUUAUAUUGAUGAGAGUGGGUUUGGAAGAGUGUCAACUUUAGGUAGUAUUGAUCCCACUAUUUUGGAGGAUGUUGAAUCUUAUUGUGAUGAAUAUGAAAGUGGAUUUGGAAGAGUGUCAACUUUAUUUAGUGAUGAUUCCACUAUUUUGGAAGAGGUUCCAAUUGAUUAUGAGAACAAAGUUGCUAUCUAUGAUGAUUAUUGUGAUGACUUGUAUGCUAUUAAGAAUAAUGAUAACCAUGAAACUUAUCAUCAUGAUUUCAGUUUUCAAUUGGAUUAUGCCUCGCAUGAUGAUUAUUUUUUUGAGUUUGCUCCCACUACUAUUCAUGAGAAUAAAUUUGCUUAUGUGGAGAGUAGUAAAAUUUCUAUGCUUGUAGAUCAUGAAAAGAAUGCUUUAGGUGCUGGUUAUAUUGUUGAAUUCAUUCAUGAUGCUACUGAAAAUUAUUAUGAGGGAGGAACAUAUGCUUGUAGGAAUUGCAAUAAUAUCAAGUUUCCUCCCUAUGUGUUGAAAAUUUUGAAGCUAUGCUUGUUUUACUUUCCUAUGCUAGUUGAUUAUUGUUCCCAUAAGUUGUUUGCUCACAAAAUCCCUAUGCAUAGGAAGUGGGUUAGGCUUAAAUGUUCUAGUCAGAUGCUUCACGAUGCUCUCUUUAUAUUCCAAUUCUUAUCGUUUAUGUGAGCAUCAUUGUCAUCAUCAUGCCUAGCUAGAAAGGCAUUAAAGAAAAGCGCUUGUUGGGGGACAACCCAAUAUUUAUCCUUACUGUUUUUGUGUGUCCACAUGAUUAUGCUACUGUAGUAAUCAUGUUUUAUAGUUUUUUGUUUCAAUAAAGUGCCAAGUAGAACCUUUGGGAAGACUUGGGUGAAGUCUUUAUGAUCAUGCUGAAGAAAACAGAAACUUUUGCGCUCACGAGAAUAGCUGCCAUUUUUUUUACAGAAGAGUGCUUUUAGGUUGAUUCUUUUUGCAGAUGAUUAAUAGACAAAUUACUCAUGUUCAGAAAUUUAAUUCAUAAUUGUUGGGGUUCCAGAAGUAUAUGUUUGAUACAGAUUACUACAGACUGUUCUGUUUUUGACAGAUUCUGUUUUCAUUGUGUUGUUUGCUUAUUUUGAUGAAUCUAUGGCUAGUAUGUAAGGGUAUGAACCAUAGAGAAGUUAGAAUACAGUAGGUCUUACACCAGUAUGAAUUUAGAAUGAGUUCAUUACAGUACCUAAGUGGUGAUUUAUUUUCUUAUACUAAUGGAGCUUACGAGUUUUGUUUUGAGUUUUGUGUGGUUGAAGUUUUCAAGUUUUGGGUAAAGAUUCGAUGGACUAUGGAAUAAGGAGUGGUAAGAGCCUAAGCUUGGGGAUGCCCAAGGCACCCCAAGAUAUUCAAGGAUAACCAAAAGCCUAAGAUUAGGGAUGCCCCGGAAGGCAUCCCCUCUUUCGUCUUCGUUCAUCGGUGACUUUACUUGGAGCUAUAUUUUUAUUCGCCACAUGAUAUGUGUUUUGCUUGGAGCGUCAUUUUAUUUUGUUAGUAUUUUCUUGCUGUUAUUUAUAUUAAGGUUUUGCAUCUCUAUUGUAAAUAAAAAUGUCAAGGAUAGCCUUUGCCAUGCUUAUUUUGCUAGUAUACAUGUUGCUGUUUGAAAACAGUAAGUUUACCGCUGUUGCAAAAAUUCCCUAGAAAAGUCAGAGAAUGGUAUAAUGUUAAAUCUUUUUGCAUAUUAAGUUCUGAUAAAUUUAUUACAGUGGGAAUUUUCUCUCAUAAUUUGUGGAGUCAGGGAAGUAUUGAUACUCUUGCAUUCUUUACAGACUGUACUGUUUUGGCAGAUUGCUGUUAUGGUUGCAUUGUUUGCAUAUGUUUGCUUGUUUAAAGAUUCUAUUUGAGGAUAGGAGUGUUAAAUAUGCAGAGAAAUUUGGUAUGCAAUGUUGAAUAAUAUUUUUAGUGAUUUGUUACAGUAGAAAAUGAUAAGGUUUUGCAUUGGUUUAUACUAACCUAUCUCACGAGUUCUUGUUGAGUUUGGUGUGGAUGAAGCUUCUGAGAAAUAGAGAAACCAUGAUAUGAGAGGAAUUAAGGAGAGACAAAAGUUCAAGCUUGGGGAUGCCCAAGGCACCCCAAGAUAAUAUUUCAAGAAGUCUCAAGCAUCUAAGCUUGGGGAUGCCCCGGUAGGCAUCCCACCUUUCUUCUUCGAUAAUCAUUGCUUAGUAUCGGUUGAGCCUAAGUUUUUGCUUAUUCACAUGAGUUGUUCUAUACUUGCAAUGUCAUUUUGUUUCGCUUUGCUUGCUGUAUGAAUAAAAUACCAAGAUAUGAAAUUCUUAAAUGAGAGAGAGUCUUCACAUAGUUACAUAAUUAUUUAGCUACUCAUUGGUCUUCACUUAUAUCUUGUUGGAGUAGUUUGUCAUUUACUCGUGUGCUUCACUUAUAUCCUAUGAGUAAAUGGUUUAAUGAGUUGAUUGUCAUAAAUCUAAAAUUAUAUAUGUUUCAUUUUCUUAUCCCAUGGGGAGUAAUGACUUCACAUCUAAGAAGUAGAAAUAGUAAGUUUAUUGAAGGUUAGCUAGCAUUGUAUUGGUCAUUUGAACAAUUCAUGAAAGAAUAUUGAAGGAAGAGAGAUUUCACAUAUAAAUAUAUUAUCAUAGACAUCUUUUAUAAUUGUGAGCACUCAUUAAGUAUGACAUGCUAAAGAGUUGAUGUUGGACAAGGAAGACAACAUAAUGGGUUAUGUUUUCUCACAUCUCAGUUAAAGUAUAUUGUCAUGGAUCAUUCAAAACAUGUUGAGCUUGCCUUUCCCCCUCAUGCUAGCCAAAAAUUCCUAGCACCAAGUAGAGAUACUACUUGUUCUUCCAAAUAUCCUUAAACCCAGUUUUGCCAUGAGAGUCGACCAUAUCUACCUAUGGAUUGAGUAAGAUCCUUCAAGUAAGUUGUCAUUGGUGCAAGCAAUAAAAAUUGCUCUUUAAAUAUGCACGACUUAUUAAUGUGGAGAAAAUAAGCUUUGUACGAUCUUGUUAUGGAAGCAAUAAAAGCGACGGACUACAUAAUAAAGGUCCAUAUACAAGGGGCAAUAUACAGUGACAUUCUUUCGCAUUAAGAUUUUGUGUAUCCAAUCCUAAAAGCGCAUGACAACCUCUGCUUCCCUCUGCGAAGGGCCUAUCUUUUACUUUAUGUCUUUUACUUUAUGAAAGAGUCAAGGUGAUCUUCACCUUUCCCUUUUUCAUUUUAUCCUUUGGCAAGCACUUUGUGUUAGGGUGAUCCUGAUAUAUAUCCAAUUGGAUGUACGUUAGCAUGAACUAUUAUUGUUGACAUCACCCAAAGGUGAAUACGUUUGGAGGCAAAAUUAUAAGCCCCUAUCUUUCUGUGUGUGUGAUUAAAACUUCAUAACCACAAGUAUUGCGUGAGUGUUAGCAAUUGUAGAAGACUAUAUGAUAGUUGAGUAUGUGAAGUUUGCUAAAUCAAAGCUCUGACAUAGACCCUUCCUGAAAAUAGGAUGAAUUGCAAUUGUUUGAUGACUAAUAAUGAAGUUUGCUAGUUUUCAAGAAAGUUUAUGGUCUAUGCUUUAACAUGUGAAUAGCUUGUUACUUGAUUAUGAUAAGUUUUAUGAGAUGAACUACUGUUAUGACAUAUAAUGAUGCUAGUAAAGGUGAUUGAAAUUAUCAUUGAUCAAACUUGUGCACCUCUAGCAUUCACACUUCAUAAAUUCUUUCUUUUAUCAUUUACCUACUCGAGGACAAGCAGGAAUUAACCUUGGGGAUGCUGAUACGUCUCCAACGUAUCUAUAAUUUAUGAAGCAUUCAUGCUAUUUUAUUAUCUGUUUUGAAUGAUUAUGGGCUUUAUUAUACACUUUUAUAUUACUUUUGGGACUAACCUAUUAACCGGAGGCCCAACCCAUAUUGCUGUUUUAUUGCCUGUUUUAGUAUUUCAAAGAAAAGGAAUAUCAAACGGAGUCCAAACGGAAUGAAACCUUUGGCAACAUGAUUUUUUGAAAGAAUAUCACCCAGGAGACUUGGAGUUCACGUCAAAAGAGCCUCGAGGAGGCCAGGAGAUAGGAGCCCCCCCCCUACUGGGCGCGCCCCCUGUCUCAUGGGCCCCUCGAGCACCUCCCGACCGACUUCUUUCGCCUAUAUAAGCCUAUGUACCCUAAAAACAUCAAACAUGGAGAUAGAUCGGGAGUUCCGCCGCCGCAAGCCUCUGUAUCCACCAAAAACCUCUCGGGAGCCCUUCCCGGCACCUUGCCGGAGGGGGGAUCCUUCACCGGUGGCCAUCUUCAUCAUCCGGACGCUAUCCAUGACAAGGAGGGAGUAGUUCACCUCGAGGCUGAGGGUAUGUACCAGUAGCUAUGUGUCUGAUCUCGCUCUCUCUCUCUCUCUCUCUCUCUCUCGUGUUUUCUCUCGUGUUCCCUCUAUGGCACGAUAUUGAUGUAUCCCGAGCUUUGCUAUUAUAGUUGGAUCUUAUGAUGUUUCUCCCCCUAUACUCUCUUGUGAUGAAUUGAGUUUUUCCUUUGAAGUUAUCUUAUCGGAUUGAGUCUUUUAUGAGAACACUUGAUGUAUGUCUUGCCGUGCUUAUCUGUGGUGACAAUGGGAUAUCAUGUGCCACUUGAUGUAUGUUUUGGUGACCAACUUGCGGGUUCCACCCAUGAACCUAUGCAUAGGGGUUGGCACACGUUCUUGACUCUCUGGUAGAAACUUUGGGGGUACUCUUUGAAGUACUUUGUGUUGGUUGAAUAGAUGAAUCUGAGAUUGUGUGAUGCAUAUCAUAUAUAUAAUCAUGCCCACGGAUACUUGAGGUGACAAUGGAGUAUUUAGGUGACAUUAGGGUUUUGGUUGAUUUGUGUCUUAAGGUGUUAUUCUAGUAUGAACUCUAUGAUGGAUUGAGCGGAAAGAAUAGCUUCAUGUUAUUUUACUACGAACUCUUGAUAGAUAGAACGGAAAGGAUAACUUUGAGGUGGUUUCGUACCCUACCAUAAUCUCUUCAUUCGUUCUCCACUAUUAGUGGCUUUGGAGUGACUCUUUGUUGCAUGUUGAGGGAUUGUUAUAUGAUCUAUCUAUGUUAUUAUUGUUGAGAGAACUUGCACUAGUGAAAGUAUGAACCCUAGGCCUUGUUUCCUAUCAUUGCAAUAUCGUUUACGCUUACUUUUACCACUUGUUACCUUGCUGUUUUUAUAAUUUCAGAUUACAAAUACCUUUAUCUACCAUCCAUAUUGCACUUGUAUCACCAUCUCUUCGCCGAACUAGUGCACCUAUACAACUUACCAUUGUAUUGGGUGUGUUGGGAACACAAGAGACUCUUUGUUAUUUGGUUGCAGGGUUGCUUGAGAGAGACCAUCUUCAUCCUACGCCUCCUACAGAUUGAUAAACCUUAGGUCAUCCACUUGAGGGAAAUUUGCUACUGUCCUACAAUCCUGUGCACUUGCAGGCCCAACAACGUCUACAAGAAGAAGGUUGUGUAGUAGACAUCAGCCUCCGUGUAGCUCGUCGCCAGCGUUGUUCUGGCAACCUGUUGGUCAUUUGCUCGCUGUCGGUGUCAAAACCGGCGGAUCUCGGGUGGGGGGUCCCGAACUGUGCGUCUAGGCGGAUGGUAACAGGAGACAAGAGACACAAUGUUUUAACCAGGUUCGGGCCCUCUUGAUGGAGGUAAAACCCUACGUCCUGCUUGAUUGAUAUUGAUGAUGUGGGUAUUACAAGAGUAGAUCUACCACGAGAUCAAGGAGGCUAAACCCUAGAAGCUAGCCUAUGGUAUGAUUGUUGUUCGUCCUACGGACUAAAACCAUCCGGUUUAUAUAGACACCGGAGAUGGCUAGGGUUACACAGAGUCGGUUACAAUGGUAGGAGAUCUAUAUAUCCAUAUCGCCAAGCUUGCCUUCCACGCGAAGGAAAGUCCCAUCCGGACACGGGACGAAGUCUUCAAUCUUGUAUCUUCAUAGUCUUGGAGUCCGGCCGAUGAUGAUAGUUUGGCUAUCCGGACACCCCCUAGUCCAGGACUGCCUCAGUAGCCCCUGAACCAGGCUUCAAUGACGACGAGUCCGGCACGCAUAUUGUCUUCGGCAUUGCAAGGCGGGUUCCUCCUCCGAAUAAUUUAUAGAAGAUUGUGAACACCAGGAUAGUGUCUGGCUCUGCAAAAUAAAUUCCACACACCACCGUAGAGAGAAUAAUAUUUACACAAGUUCAAUCUGCUGACGUAUUUUGCGUUGUGACGUCACACCACAACCAAGCCUUUACUCGAAUCGUUUUUAUUACACCACCUCCGCGCGUUUAGUGAAGCGGUUUCCUUGGCACGUCUUGUCAAAGCAGAGAUCAUGUUCCCCUUAUUCCAGGAUUCUCAUUAAUACGGACGUGGGUAACCCAACCGCGCCCGUUGCCACGCCCCCUCCAUCAAAGGCGGGUUCCAAACGGUCAUGGGGACGACUCUUGGUAUUCUCCCUCUUUAUAAUGAGACCAAGGCCCGUUCUUUUUCUUCAAUCCUCAAUCGAAUCCGCCCCUCGCCCCGAGUUCCAACACCCAGGGCUCCAGAUUCGGGUACUUUCGACCUUCGACAAUGUCCGGCUCCGAUCUACGAGGCCGGUGGAUGCCCUCCUCCGUUACGGAAGAGGACAUGCUAAAGCUGAGAGACGCCAGGUAUUUAACCUACGAGAUUUCGCAUAGGUUGCCUGCCCAAGGGCAAGUUAUUCCUUCUCCCGAGCCCGGCGAGAGUGUCGUGUUCGUGUCUCACCUCCGUCGGGGUUUAGGCUUCCCGAUGGAUCCCUUCGUGAGGGGGCUCAUGUUUUACUAUGGGUUGGAAUUCCAUGAUUUGGCUCCGGAGUCCAUCCUCCACAUCUCCUCAUUCAUUGUCGUCUGCGAAGCCUUCCUCCGCACUACCCCUCACUUCGGCUUGUGGCUCAAAACCUUCAACGUGGAGCCGAAGAUGAUUGAGGGGUGUCAGGCGGAGUGCGGCGGGGCGGUUAUAAGCAAGAGGGCCGAUGCUCCAUGGCCCGAGGGCUCUUUUCAGGAGGAGCUCGGCUAGUGGCAAUAGGAGUGGUUCUAUAUCACCGCUCCCAAGGGCAGCAGGCAGAGGCCGCCGCCCGCCUUUCGCCCGGGCCCUCCACAACGGCUGACGUCAUGGGUCAACAAAGGGCUUGACUGGGGGCCGUCCAAAGACGUACCCCUGUUGCAGCGCCGGAUUCGAGACCUCCAAGAAAGGGAGAUCAAUCUGGUCGUAGUGGCAUAGGUUAUGCUGAUUCGGCGCCUUCUGCCCUGCAAACGUCGGCCCCUCCGCCUGUGGGAAUUUAAUCCGGAGGGACCACGAGCUCUCCAACACUUCAUGGGUUUGACACCCAUGGAGAUGUACAAACUGUUCUUCGGAUCACAAGAGAUGCGUCCGGACUUUACCGAGGACGCUGGCCUAAGCUGCAAUCGCCCGGAUACUCAAGUAAGUAGCCCUGUGUCUGGACACAUUGUCCAUUUAUUUAUCAUGGGUUUGCCUUUUAACCAUCUAUCCCUUGGACAGGAGUGGAUAGCACAAGCAAAACUGAUACGGUGUCCGGCCCCCCUCCCUGAGACCACGCGGAUCCCGUGUUAAUCAAAAUGUUGGAGGUUGCGCCUUCGGAGGAGGGCGAAGGGGGGCACAGGGAAACUACCACGUCUGCCAAGGAGGCUUUUAGUAAGGGGGGAAUCGAGAAUCCCUCCCUCCAGGGGGAUAAGAGGAUCGCUUCCGAAGACCCGGAGGCCAAGGCCUCAAAGCGGGGAAAGAAAUCUGCACCGGAAGGUCCUGUGCCGGGAAGAGCCCCGACCGCAUAGUCUCCCCAAAGGAAUCAGCCCUCCAGCGAGCGGUAAGUAAAAAAGGGGGAAUUUUGUAAUAGGGGACACCCCUACUUUAUUUCUAAGGGUAACCGAAGUUUUCACCCUGUAGUUCGGAUCUCAGCCCUUCUCAGCAGAGCUCAUCUUCGGGGGACCUUCGUCCGGAGAUGAUGAAGAGCGAAACGCCUCCAUCUGCCGCCCCGUCGGGCGGGGCGGACGACCCUGAGGUGUCAUCACGGAGGGUCUCCCCGAGUCCGGCGGGGCCGGGGAGUUCGGCACCCACUGGAGUACGGCCGGUGGAGCUGUAGGAUUUUCUCGAGAGGGCGUCUAUCUCAGAAGAUCACCGCAUAUUAAUGAGUAUGGUGAUUGAAAGGAUCUCAUCCGCUGAGAGCGGGUUGCAUGAGGCCAUCGGAUGUUUGCUGACGGGGUUUGAGGUACGCAAAAAAUGACAUACCUUUUGACACUUUUGCACAUGGAGUGCGCCCUGUAUAGAUAGUAGCCCCUGAGACUUGGUAUGCUGUCGAAAGCGACAGCAUGCCGAGGAUCAUAAUCUCAGUUAUAGAAUGUCGCCUUUCCUAUGCAGGUGGCAGAACGUUCGGUGGCCAGCCGGACUGAUGGAGUUGCCGAGCUGAAGCGACAACUCGACGUUGCGGAUGCGGACAUCGCGCUGGUCAAUAAACGACUUAACGAGUCACAAGGUAAGUGGUUGCUCCACGGUCACCUAGUAAGGGAGAUGAUGCCUGUUCCUUACAAUUUGUAUGCUUGAUGCAGAUGGUGCCGCUGCUGUGGAAGACCUUCGAGUAGAACUUGCUCGAGCCAAGGAGCAAGCCAGGAAAACUGAUGCGGCUGCCUCGAAGGCAGCGGAAGAGCUAAAAGCCGAAAAGGCUGCUCACUGCCAAAGCAGGGAGGAGAUGGCCGAAAUGGCCGUGAAGUUAAAAGAUGCUACCGACCUCUAUGAGGUUCUUGAAAGAGAACGCCGAGCGGAGCAAGAGGACCUGAAGAAGGCCGCCGCCAAAGCCAAGGAUGCCCGUAGUGCGAUGCGGGCUAUGAAGGAGGAACUGCGUCAGGCCGGAGACAUUGCGGCUGGAAAGCCCUUUCUGCUGCGUAGGAAGUUCACGGAUCCAAAGUAUGCUCAGUUGGGCCAAUUGUGUGGUGCGGAGGAUCAUUAUCUGGAUUUGGCGGCGAGUGCGGCGGACGCAGUCGUGCACUUCCGAAGCUAGAAGGAUCACGAAAUGGAAGAGCUUUUCUGGUCUCAAUUCCAUAGUCCGGAGCAUCCACUUCCGUUGAAUGAUCGGUUGGCGGAGUGGGCUGAGCUGAAUAGAUUGUCCGGACUUGCCAUGACGGAUGUGGUGGCUCAUCUGUGGCCAGAAAGGCCCAAGCCAGAGAGUUAUUUUGGCUUGUUGCAGCAAUUCCUUGGGGCGGUGCCGCAUAUCGAGGUGAUGAAGCGGUCGGCAUGCAUAGAGGGUGCACGGAUGGCUCUCACCCAUGUUAAGACAUACUGGGCGGAGAUGGAUGCAACCGAUGUUGCAUCCUGGGGUUCGGACAAUAGCCGAUUACCCACCGAGCACUAUUUUGAGGAAGUCCUGUAGGGUGCUCGUUUAAUAGAGUCGCAGUUCUCGAAGGAUGUUAUGUUCAAAUGACAUGUAUGAUUUGUGAGAUCAUGUUUAUAAUGUAACAGCUUUUUAUACUUGUGCGUUCAAGUAUUGAACUAUCUCGUGUGCAGCCGUAUAUGUAUGUAUAACCUGAAAGAUGGCAGUCUUUGGCUUCAGCCCCCACGCACAUGGUGCGGGGUGUUUGCAAAAAAAAGCGCUUUUUCACACUUAAUCCAACGUCUUGGUCCUUUGAAGGAGGUGAUAGCAUAGAAAACUAGGCAACCGGACUAUAAUGCUUUAUCACUUUCACUUAGCCAUAGGAGCUCGAUGGUGGGGCUACUAUAUAGCCCCUAGAGGCACCGCGCUCUCCGAACUCGGGGCGCGUAUGUGCCUGACCGGAAAGCGGUCCUUCGUCAAAGCGGAGGAAUUCUAAACAUUCCAGUAGUCGAUCGAGUGGUUGACCAGUCUCUCGCUAUAUCAUGACAGUCAGUUUUCAGCUUUCUCUACUGAGGUGCUCGCCCGGCCGAACCGGGGCACAAUCGCAAUAGUUCUCCUGGUGCCGCGUUAGCCGAUGGAGUGGAACGUAAGGCAGCAAAACACAGGAGCCAGGCAAACCCAACAUUUGACCAAAGACAUGAUUCGGAGCUGAUGCAUAUAAGGCCUAACUCGAGAUGCCGAACACUCCCUGAGGUAUUCGGUCUUUAUGAUAUCGGGCAGAACAAUGCCCUAAGCCCCUAGUGUCCAGGUACGGGCGAGAACUUCUCGCGGCCGAUGCCAAAACGCCAGCCUCCUCCUCGGUUAUGGUAGGAAACCGGGGGAUGUGUAUCAACAAGAGACAGUAAGAAAGGUUUACGCAGGGUCUUAAUUUGAAAAUAAUCCUUGCAACGGGUCCCUGCUGCACGUCUGCGCCUGUGUCUCCGUUGUGCUGUAUCCUAGACGGGUGUAGCACGUGCUUCAUCUGUGAAAGAGAAGAACUUAGUUUGGAAAAAAUAUCGUGCAAAAGAUGUAUUAAAAAUAAAGUAUGAUUUGGAAGAUGAAUAAAGUUGAGCUUUAUUGGCUCUCAUUGUUUAUACGUGCAACCCCUUGUAAAGAGGUAUGCGGCUGGAAAGCCCCUUGUUUAUUUAUGCUGGACUCGCCUAACCGUGUCCGAGGUCUGAAUGACCUGUUUUUAGGGGCUUUGACCAGCAAGGUCGGAUUAGUGUGUGGCUGUCAAAGCAGUCUCACGUUUUCCGUGGUCGAGGAACACUCGGAGUUACCCUUUAAUGAGAUUAUACCGCGUGGACUGGGCAUUUUAAGCGUAAGAGACACGUAAUGCAGUAUUGCGUUAAAGCGGGCGAAAGCUUCGCGUCCCAGUAGUGCUUGAUGGCUACUGUUGAAUGGGGCGAUAUGGAAAAUGAGCUUUUCACGACGGAGGUUAUCGGAUGAACCGAACACGACCUCUUGUAGUACAGAGCCUGUACAAUUGGCGUAAAGGCCAGGCGUCACUCCUUUGAAGGAAGUGCUGCUACGGUGAAUUUUGGUAGGGUCUAUCCCAUUCUGCGGAUGGUGUCCUGGUAUAGCAGGUUUAUAUCGCUGCCUCCAUCCAUUAGGACUUGUGUGAAUUGUAGUCCGUCGAUUAUGGGAUCCAAUACCAAAGCAGUCCCUCCUGCGUUUCGAACACUUCUGGAGAAUCCUGAUGGUCGAAAGUGAUUGGUUUAAACAUCCAAUUUUGGGAUUCUGCUGGGGUGUACCAUGCGGCGCGUGUUUUAGCAGGUGCCGCACUAUUUUUCCUUGUUAUCACAUGAAGUGAGUUCAUUGUUUUGACUUCUAGUGGGAAAGUCUUCUGUUUUCCGGCGUGCUGCUUGUGGGGUUCGUCGUCUUCGCUUGGUGUGUCGAGCCCCUUGUGUUCGGCGUUAAGUCGGCCGGACUGCUUGAAGACCCAACAAUCUCUGUGGGUAUGGUUUGCAGGCUUCCCAGGGGUACUAUGGAUUUGACAUAUCCUAUCCAGGAUUUUGUUUAGGUUGGAUAGCUCAUCACUGUUGUCCUUAAGAGGUAGUGUUUUAUUAUUCGGCCGAGAGCUUUUGAACCCGGCGUUGACCGCCGUGCUAUUUGGGCCUUUUUCCUUAUUCCGGUGCUGAUCUUUUCUGCGUCGUGAUUUUCCAUUUCCAUCCCUGACCUCGGAUGUACUCGGGUCGCUGGUGCUGCAUCUUGCCAGCCAGCUAUCUUCCCCCGUGCAAAAGCGGGUCAUGAGGCUUGUUAGCGCGACAAUUGUUCUUGGUUUUUCCUGGCCGAGGUGUCUGGCGAGCCAUUCGUCUCGAACGUUAUGCUUAAAGGCUGCUAAGGCUUCGGCGUUCGGACAGUCGACUAUUUGGUUCUUUUUGGUGAGGAACUUGUUCCAGAAUUUGCGUGCUGACUCUCCGGGCUGUUGAGUUAUGUGACUUAAAUCGUCUGCAUCCGGAGGACGGACAUAAGUCCCUUGAAAAUUUGCUCGAAACGCAUCCUCGAGCUCUUCCCAACUUCCAAUGGUAUUUUCUGGGAGGCUUUUGAGCCAAUGCCGAGCUGGCCCUUUGAGCUUGAGGGGUAGGUAUUUUAUGGCAUGGAGAUCGUCUCCUCUGGCCAUAUGUAUGUGUAGGAUAUAAUCCUCAAUCCAGACUCCGGGGUCUGUUGUUCUGUCAUAUGCCUCUAUGUUUACGGGUUUGAAUCCCGCUGGAAAUUCAUGAUCCAGUACCUCAUCGGUGAAACAUAGUGGGUGUGCGGCGCCCCUGUAUUUAGGUGUGCCGUUGUCUUCAAACACUCGGCGGGUUGUGUUUCUCCGUGGAGUCUUCUUUUUUGGCCCAUAGAUGGACCUGGCCGGGCCAUCCUUUUUGCGAGGAUCCUUAUGUGGAUCAUGUGCCGGCUUGUGUGCGGCGCCGCUUGCCGCUCUUAGCCUGUCAUCUGGUCGUCUAUCCGGCCAGGCGGCCUCUUUCUUUUUUGACUGUGGGGGCUCUACGGCCUCCUCGUCAAAUUCGGGCAACAGCUUGCGCUUCGGGUAUCUCUUUGCCUGGUGGCUAUCACCGUAUUUAUCUGCGGUAUUGAGUACUUUGCUCCAUCUCAUUCUGAGUGUGUCCUCCGCUGUUUUGAGCUUCCUCUUUUGCUUCUUCAAACUUCUUGCAGUGGCGACGAGCCUUUUGAGAAGGUUCUUAUGCUCCUGUGAUGUGUCCGGCGUGAGAUCGUCUGGACUGUUGUUUUCGCCGGGGAUGGGUUGCUUGUCCAAUUCGUCCUGUUCGGAUGGUUGCUUGGUGGCAUGUUCGUCGUCCACUGCUUCGCCCUGCUCUAAGGCUGGGUCAGUAUGAGUGCUGUUGUUAUCGAGGCGGGACUUCGGGCGGCGCUUGCGUCGCUGUUUUGGUUGUUUGUCGGGGGAGUUAUCCUUCGCCACGUCCCGUUGUUCCUCGUUAUCGCUUCCUUUUGGUGUAUCCACCAUGUAUACGUGAGUUGAGGUGGCUUUCCAGUGCCCAGUAGGCGCUGGUUCUUGGUCGUCUCCGGCAUCGUCGUCCAUACCGUCGAUGUCUUCGGAGUCGAAGUCUAGCAUGUCGGUUAGAUCGUCGACAGUGGCUACUAAGUGGGUGGUGGGUGGGCUUUGAAUUUCUUCGUCGUCCGCAUCCCAACCGUCCUGACCGCAGUCUGGCCAGGUCUCUCCUGAUAACGAGAGAUACUUUAGCAAACUCAGGAUGUCGCCGAAAGGUGAGUGUUGAAAGAUGUCCGCAGCGGUGAACUCCAUGAUCGGCGCCCAAUUGGAUUCGAUUGGGGGGGGGGGUCGCGGGAGGUUCGGAGUCCGGCACUUCGGAGUCACAAGCUUCAUAAGGGACAAGGCCAGUAUUCGGCUCCAUCGCCGUAGAGGUUGCAGCCCCCGAGGCGGUGUCUAGCCACCCAUCCUCGAUCUGUGCAGCCGGCUCCGAAUCGAGGGUUGGAGCUGGCUCAUGUGCGGCCUCCAGGGCACUGUCCGGCUGCAGAGCUAAAUUAUGCCCAUCGUGACAGUGUGGCGCGCUCGGCUGUGGCUCGAAUCCAUCGAAGAUCAAGUCUCUGCGGAUGUCAGCCGUGAAGUUCAAACUUCCAAAUCUGACCUGACGACCAGGGGCGUAGCUUUCGAUCUGCUCCAGAUGGCCAAGAGAAUUGGCCCGCAGUGCAAAGCCGCCGAAUACGAAGAUCUGUCCAGGGAGAAAAGUCUCACCCUGGACUGCGUCCUUGUUGAUGAUCGAAGAAGCCAUCGAGCCUAUCGGUGACGACACAGAGGAACUCUCAAUGAAAGCACCAAUGUCGGUGUCAAAACCGGCGGAUCUCGGGUAGGGGGUCCCGAACUGUGCGUCUAGGCGGAUGGUAAUAGGAGACAAGGGACACGAUGUUUUACCCAGGUUCGGGCCCUCUUGAUGGAGGUAAAACCCUACGUCCUGCUUGAUUGAUAUUGAUGAUGUGGGUAUUACAAGAGUAGAUCUACCAUGAGAUCAAGGAGGCUAAACCCUAGAAGCUAGCCUAUGGUAUGAUUUUUGUUCGUCCUACGGACUAAAACCAUCUGGUUUAUAUAGACACCGGAGAGGGCUAGGGUUACACAGAGUCGGUUACAAUGGUAGGAGAUCUACAUAUCCGUAUCGCCAAGCUUGCCUUCCACGCCAAGGAAAGUCCCAUCCGGACACGGGACGAAGUCUUCAAUCUUGUAUCUUCAUAGUCUUGGAGUCCGGCCGAUGAUGAUAGUUCGGCUAUCCGGACACCCCCUAGUCCAGGACUCCCUCACUCGCACCCAUCUUGCUUGCACGUACACGUAGGCCUCGCCCUGCUCUCUGGAUGCCCGAACUCGCGCCGUAGCACCGUUGCCAUCGCUUGCCCGAAGCACCUCGCCGCCGGCGAGCUCGAAGCACUCACCCCCAUCCAUGCCAAUCAAUCCGGCCACCACCGUUCAAUGUGCGAUGCCGAGCCGAGUCGAACGCGCCCAGCCACAGCGCCGCAGACCCCCUGUGCGCCAAAUCCGCGCCCCUCCCGAGCCGCGCCGCCGUGUUUGGCUUGCCGGAGUCAGCUCCGGCGCGUCUCCAGAUGAUGUCUGACGUGGCGUCCACGUGGCACUGCCUGUGCCACUGACUGGUGGACCUUGGGGCCCACUUUGACCUGUUGACUUGGGUCAACAUGCUGAUUGGGCAGUCCAGUGCCACUGACAUAUGGGCCCCGCACUAACUAUUAGGUUUUAUAAAUAAAUAAAUUGUUAAUUAGUUUUAAUCCCUAAUUAGCCACUGACUAAUGGGGCCCACACCCCUAAUUAGUAGUCAAAUUAACCCUCUGAUAGUCCCACAGAGGCUAUCAGGUGGGUCCCACCUGUCAGUUUGACUGGUCAGCCGGUCAGCCGACUGUUGACGCAAGCAUGACCUCAGCAUGAUGUCAUAAUCCAUUUCUGUUAAUUUAAAUAAUUCCGGAAUAUUGUUUAAAUCUUUGAAAAUUCCUAGGAAUUAAACCGUAGCUCGGAUGAAAAAGUUGUCUACAUGAAAGUUGCUCAGAACAACUAGACGAAUCUGAACACACAGUCCGUUCGUCCGCCACACGUCCCUAGCAUAGCGAACAUGCAACCUUUCCCCUUCGUUUCAUCUGUCUGACAAACGUCCGGAACCCGAAAAACUUUUCCGGAUGUUAUCCCCCUUUAACGGUAUCGUGUAACCCGGCGUUAGAGCACUUUUAGCCUCGUUUAUUGUCAUGUUAUGCAUAUGUUUGCGUGUAUUUAUUGUUUCUUCCCCCUUUUCUCUCCGGUAGGCCCUGAGAUCGCUGCUGAUGCCACUGUGAUCGACUACAUCGACGACGACCCUCCUUCUUGUCUAAGCAACUAGGCAAGCCCCCCCCCCCUUUGAUCAUCCCGAUAUCGCCCAUUCUAUACUCUCAUGCUUGCAUUAGAUUUGGCUACUGUUAUUGAUUGCUCCUAUUCUGAUGCAUAGCCUGCUUUUGUAACCUGCUCAUUGUACCUUACCUGCUUAUCCUAAACUGCUUAGCAUAGGUUGGUUAGUGAUCCAUCAGGGACCCCUAGUACUUGUCCUUGUUGCCCCUGAUUCAUCAUCGACGACUCGAUCAGUGUGAUCGACGACCAGAGCCCGACACCUCACAUCACAUCACUCCCCUUUUGUUGAUCGGCUCUGCAGAGCUACUAUCGAGUGCCGAGGGUGAUCCCUCAUGACACACUCCUGAUGAUAAUUCUGUAGUGUAGCUAUUCGGUCGUGGUCAUCGAGGGUGAUUUCCUCUUUCACCAUUCCCGAUAUAGCUCUGUCGUUCAACACCUCAAGUUUGAACCUCGAGGGUGGUCCCUCUUAUGUUCACCUUGAUGAUUACAUUGAGUGGAAUCCACCGGGGGUGAUUCCUCGGGUUUUCCCAUUGAUGUUUGGACACACGAUUACCUUGAAUAUACUUGAGACCAUUGUUGAAGUCGGGUCGGCCCUGAGGGGUACCCGCGAGUUGAUGUGAAAGUUGGGCAGGCCCGUUAAGCACCCGCGAGUUUUCCACGUGGCACGGCCAGGCAGUCUGGGCCCUUGGCAUAAGUCCAUGAGACGGGGCGACAGGGUCACCUUAUCGUGAGUCUCUGCUCGUUUCUGCGAGCCCCCAAUGCACUAAAAGGUUUGGGUAUUUUUCUGAGUUGGCCUUUGGCCUUUACGCACUAACCACCACACGAGAAUAGAUAUGGGCCUCGACGCCAUGGUAUCAGCUGAAGCUUUGUCAGACGUCCAGUUCAGCAGUGUGGCACAGUCAGAUCGUGCUAGCCAUCCGAGGCGGUCCUGGUAUCCACCCUGCUCGCAACGACCCGGAGUGCUGCGGGCGAUGGGCCCAAGGCCCCGGAGUUCUUAGGAUGUAGACCGGCGGGGACCUCUCUGCUAAGCCUAGGUAGGGUUGCGACGUGUUGAUCUUCCGAGGGCGGGCAUUGACCCCAAAAAGGUGUGUCCGGCCAGAGUGAUCGAGCGUGUUGGGUAACAUGGUGCACCCGUGCAGGGAAGAUAUAUAUUCGAAUACCGUGUCCACAGUAAUGGAUGUUCAGACUUAUAUCCUGAUCUUAUAUAACUAGAAAUGGAUACUUGAGAUAUGCGAUGGAUAUGUGGCUCCGAGAUUGCUUUCUCAUAGGGAGUCGAGGAAGGAUCUCUGGGCGUUGAUGCUACAACAUGCUUGUUAAAUAUUAAACUGCUAUUCUUUACUCUUCUACAUGCUGCAAGAUGCUCGGAGCUGCGUGAAGAUGCUAGUCUUUGAUAGGCUAGGCUUUCCCCCUCUAUUCUAACACUCUGCAGUUCAGUCCAUAGAUACAAACCUUCCUUUUGAUACCAAUACAUACUUAGUAUAGAUUUGAUGCUUGCGAGUACUUUGGAUGAGUACUCACGGUUGCUUUACUACCCCUUCCCCCCCUUCUUUCUUCUUUCUGGGUGAUGCAACCAGAUGGUGGAUCCCAGGAGCCAGAUGCCACCGCCGACGUCUACUACUACCCGAUGCUGCCUACUUCUACAUGGAGGCCGCCGCCGCCGAGGAGUAGUUAGGAGGUCCCAGGCAGGAGGCCUUGCCUCUUCGAUCGUGUUGCUUUUGUGCUAGCCUUCUUAAGGCAUCCUUGUUUAACUUAUGUCUGUACUCAGAUAUUGUUGCUUCCGCUGACUCUUGUGUAUCGAGCUUGUAUUCAAGCCCUCGAGGCCCCUGGCUUGUAAUAUAAAGCUUGUAUUAUUUUGAUUUGUGUCUAGAGUUGUGUUGUGAUAUCUUCCCGUGAGUCCUUGAUCUUGAUCAUACACAUUUGCGUGUAUGAUUAGUGUACGAUUGAAUCGGGGGCGUCACAAGUUGGUAUCAGAGCCGUCUGCCUGUUGGAUCCCCCUUUCCAACUCCUUGGCCGAAGUUGAGUCUAGUCUUUGAAAAAUUGUUUUACUAACAUGGAUGUGUGUCUUCCAGGCCCACAUCGCCAAUUGGGUGGUAUUAGGAUCUUUUACUCCUCGUCUAUACUCUAGGAAUCCGAUCUCUCUUCUAUUCGGGUUAAUUGAUUUUGUUAACUCUAAUUCUAGGUUCUCGUAAACACUUUCUCCCGAAGAGCCCCUCACUCCAGAUGAUUGCUUGGUGCACUGGAAGAUUCUGAAGAUACUCUCUGAUGUUUUACCGAGUCCCUUGUACCCUUCGCCGUUGCGAUCCCUACCACCGAUAAAUCCUUAUGCGUAACUACCUAUGUUGUCGUUCAUACCUUCAUCCCCAGUUGCUCUUCUUAUUACAAGAUGUCCUGAAAUACUCUUCGAUGUUCCGAGGAUCCUUUAUGCUUACUGCCCUGCAAUCCUUGCCGCAUGAAUACCCCUACAGAUAAUUACUCGCUCUUCAAGUAUCCAUUCAUCCCCAGUUAUUCUUAUGCUUCAUAAGAUACUUCUUAAUACAACCCGAGCUUUCGAUGACCUCUAUCGCCUAUUGCUCUAGAAGGUCUUACCUGCCUACACUCUGGUUAAUUCCAUAUGCCUAGCAGUAUCCAUUAACGUCCUUUGUCAUUAUCAUAUUGAGUCUUUCGAUUUGAUAUGUCUGUGUCGCAAUCAUCAGUUGAUCCUUAUAGAUUAUCUUUCCGGCUCAGAUGUCUUCCUGAACAUGAGCCAGUUCUUGACCAAUCACAUUGCCAUCGGUUGUGCCCUAAGUCUAUUCAACUUAUCCAAACUUGGUCAGAGCGUUUGCUUCUAAUCCCUUGAUUUUGGAAAUCGUAAUUCCUUUGCAUUUGAACUCUGAAUUAGUCAGUUGCUUCUAUAAUAUGAUAUCCUUGCAUUCUUUCUACUUCUGGUGAAGUAUUGAUGCUCACAUCAGAUCCCUUAUGAACCACUAGAUCCUUUGCUGGGUUUUAAACAAUAGCGUCCUUCAUAUUUAGUAACCUUGUGAGCCUCCCCUCAGAUACAUAAUGCCUUUGGUAAAUGGUAUCCUUUGCUUCCUCAACCAUGCUCUACUCCCGAGCUUGAGAUAUUUACUCCUGAAGUUUGCGGUAUAUGUUCCUAAUAUGCCCUGAUGGGUUGAACCCGUGUCUUCCCUAAAUCCGUGUGAACUCGAAAGUUAUGCGGGUUAUACUCACUGGCUUUUCGUCAGGUAAAAUUUCAAAACUACAACUUCUUCAAAUGCGAGAAGUGAAUGGAAAGUUGUGCAUUAGAGAAGUGGGAGUCGACCUUAAGCCUUUGUGUUCAUGCCCAUGGAUCGGAUGUGGAACUUAUCAUGGAAGCUUCUUGUAAUAACAUUAAUCCCCUUGUGAUAAGUUCAUCUUGUAUCUAUGUUUGGUCCUUUGCAACCGCGGUUCCGACCAUAUUGUUUUUUUUUGACUAUUUACUGUAAAGCAACAGCCCCAUAGCCCUUUUUAUUCCAAUUUUUUUGCCCAGGCCAGUUUAAAUCCGCUCCCACCGGGAGUCGAACAUAGGACCUGGGGUGCUACUAAGGUCGCUGCAACCACUAGGCUACAGGCCCGUUCGCUUCCGACCAUAUUGUUCUCCUUUGAUUCCCUUUCUUGGGCAAGUUAAAGUACUUGUCUUCUUCAAAUCGUUUCACCUGUUCAACCUCUACAUUGAUAUACCUUUGAGUAUUACCCUCUAGUAUCUCGAGAAUAUCCUAGAACUACAUAACUUCUUAUGAUUUCUUCAUCAACUAUUAUUCUCGUCGAUUCAAAAAUUUCCACGUGUUCUGAGUUGUUACACACUCGAGAACACCGAUAACGGAUUCGAGUCUACACUUUCCUUUCCAUUGUUUUGUUUAACCUUUCUUGUAACCUAACAUAUCUGAGCAGUGGUAAUUCCCUGCUUAUGUAAACACCUGAGUGUAGAACUCUGUCAGUAAGACCUUGUUACUAUUGUUGAUGACAUUCCGGUAGCCACCGAUGGACGAGAACUUUGCCUAUUGGUCCGCCUCGUUCAACGAGCAGGAAAAUGGUUCUCUUCGUCCCUCGCCCUUGGUACUAACAUUGUUGCCAACAUAAUUGACAGGCUAUCCUAUGACCUUCCUUGCUACCAUGACCAUGCAAAUGAUAGGACCAUUCCUGCUUUUAACCCACAUGGUGGGCCCAUAACCCAGAGGUCCUAGGAUCAAAACCUGACUCUCCUAUACAUCCCUGUUUUCAAAGUUAUCCCUCAUGCUUGGCUUCGUAUGUAAUUCACGAGCCACCUUCCUAGUGAGCUAUUCUGGUAUCAGAUGCAAUACUUAUUCUCAUUGCUCUGAACCCCUUUUCACCCUCUGUUUCAGGCAAUGAACGAUUGCCUACCCGCUUAAAGCUUCUUAUUGCACAUAGUUACCUUGCUCUCGAUGACUUUCCUGAAUUUCAAUUCGAGGGAUGCCUCUAUGCCACGUUCACUGAGAUAACCCCAGGUACCUAUCUUGUGUUGGACUCCGUCCUUCCCGAGUCUUUCCCCCUUACUCCACCCCUUAAAUCUCGAGACUAGAUUUCUUUUAGUGGAGGAGAAUUGUGACGCCCAGAUAAUUAAGCUAUAGUACCCCUGUUAAUGGUGCCAUGUCAUCACAUUUACUGUUGCUAAAUCCCACAUUGUUUCGAACCGGUUCAAAUUUCUUUUUUCAAAUUAAAGUAAAAAUUCAAAAUUCUCGAACAGUAAAACUAAAAUGUUCACCUUUUAGGAAAUAAUCCAAAACUAUUUACUGUUAAGGAACACAACAUCAUCAUCAUUUCUAAAUGGGCCUAAUGCAUUUUAACAGAGCAAAAACAACCUUUCAAAUGCCCUUUUCAUUAUUGAAUAAAUUCAAAUGAACUCCAAAAAUGCCCAAACCUUUUGUGGCAGUGCUGGAUAUUGCAAAGUAAUUAUGUGACCAAGUUUCACAUUUUUGCAAAAUCAUAUGGAAGCUCAAAAUAUUGCUAAACCCCCUUUUUGUAAAAAGAAAAUAGAAAAGGCCACUAUGCACUGGCCUAAGUGCACAGUGCCUAGAGCCUAGCCCACCACGGUCUCCUCCUUCUCCCCCGUUCUCUGUUCAAGCGACCGAGGCGCGCCCGCCGUCACCGCCGAACCCACCUCGCCGACCACACCGCUACAGGCGCCACGGGUGGAUAAAGAUCCACCUCUCCUCCUUCCUGGCAUCCUCAUCCAUUCGCCCCCUUAUCCUCUCACUCUCCCCUUUCUAACUCGCCCUCUCUGUUGAUCUAGAGAAGAGGCCGGCGCGGCCGACGCCGUUCGUACCCGCGGCCCCCGCGCCUCUCCGGUUCUGCCGAUCUGUUCGGGAGCUCCGGCGCCAUCAACCUUUUCGUCCGGUGCCAAUGGAUCUAGUCAGGGAGCAGCGCAUCAACUCCGACAACCCGAUCCCCUUCUCCGGCCAGCGCCACGGCAUCGCCUUGAGCUCCUCCACCGCUGCUCUUCUAAGCCCUCACUGGACCACCUUGUGUCCCCACAGUGAGCUCCACAUCCUCCCUCCCCUUUGUCUUGCUCGGAUUUCAGCCGUGGGUAGCCGUUGCCAUGGUCGUGCAUCUGCUUCCGCCGGCGUGCUCAUAGCCAUGCUGUUGCUGCCCGUCGAGCUCAAAUGAGCUCUAGAUCAUGCUCAGCACGUCCGUGCAGGCCCAUUGCACCCCUCCCCCGUGCUUUGUCGAGCCCCAUAGCGCUGACCCCGUGCUCCGACCGGCUCCGUGUAGCUCGUCGCCGGCGUUGUUCCGGCGACCUGUUGGUCAUUUGCUCGCGCCCAUCUUGCUCGCACGUACACGUAGGCCUGCCCCCGCUCUGUGGAUGCCCGAACUCGCGCCGUAGCACCUUUGCCAUCGCUCGCCCGAAGCACCUUGCCGCCGGCGAGCUCGAAGAACUCACCCCCAUCCAUUCCAGUCACUCCGGCCACCACCAUUCGACGCGUGAUGCCGAGCCGAGUCGAACGCGCCCAGCCACAACCCCGCAGACCCUCUGUGCGCCAAAUCCGUGCCCCUCCCGAGCCGCGCUGCCGCGUUUGGCUCGCCAGAGUCAGCUCCGGCGAGUCUCCGGCCGGUGUCCGACAUGGCGUCCAUGUGGCACCGCCUGGGCCACUGACUGGUGGGCCCUGGGGCCCACUUUGACCUGUUGACUUGGGUUAACAUGCUGAUUGGGCAGUCCAGUGCCACUGACAUACGGGCCCUGCACUAACUAUCAGGUUUUAUAAAUAAGUAAAUUGUUAAUUAGUUUUAAUCUCUAAUUAGCCACUGACUAAUGGGGCCCACACCCCUAAUUAGUCCUGUUAGUCAAAUUAACCCUCUUAUAGUCCCAUAGAGGCUGGCAGGUGGGUCCCACCUGUCAGUUUGACUGGUCAGCCGGUCUGCUGACUGUUGACGCAAGCAUGACCUCAGCAUGAUGUCAUAAUCCAUUUCUGUUAAUUUAUAUAAUUCUAGAAUAUUGUUUAAAUCUUUGAAAACUCAUAGGAAUUAAACCGUAGCUCGGAUGAAAAAGUUUUCUACAUGAAAGUUGCUCAGAACGACGUGACAAAUCCGAACAUGCAGUCCGUUCGUCUGCCACAUGUUCCUAGCAUAGCGAACUUGCAACCUUUCCCCUCCGGUUCAUCGGUUUGACAGACGUCCGGAACCGGGAAAACUUUCCCAGAUGUUGACCCCCUUUACCCGGUAUCGUGUAACCCUGUGUUACAGCACUUUUAGCCUCGUUUAUUGUCAUGUUAUGCAUAUGUUUGCGUGUAUUUACUGUUUCUUCGCCCUCUUCUCUCCGGUAGAUCCUGAGACCGAUGCUGAUGCCACUGUGAUCGACUACGUCGAUGACGACCCUCCUUCUUGUCUGAGCAACCAGGCAAGCCCCCCCCUUUGAUCAUCCCGAUAUUGCCCAUUCUAUACUCUCAUGCUUGCAUUAGAUUUGGCUACUGUUAUUGAUUGCUCCUAUUCCGAUGCAUGGCCUGCUUUUGUAACCUGCUCAUUGUACCUUACCUGCUUAUCCUAAACUGCUUAGUAUAGGUUGGUUAGUCAUCCAUCAGUGACCCCUAGUACUUGUCCUUGUUGCCCAUGCUUCAUCAUCGAAGACUCGAUCAGCGUGAUCGACGACCAGAGCCCGACACCUCACAUCACAUCACGCCCCUUUUAUUGAUCGACUCUGCAGAGCUACUAUCGAGUGCCGAGGGUGACCCCUCAUAACGCACUCCUGAUGAUAAUUUUGUAGUGUAGCUAUUCGGUCGUGGUCAUCGAGGGUGAUUUCCUCUUUCACCAUUCCCGAUACAGCUCUGUUGUUCAACACCUCAAGUGUGAACCUCGAGGGUGGUCCGUCUUACGUUCACCUUGAUGAUUACAUUAUGUGGAAUCCACCGGGGGUGAUUCCUCGGGUUUUCCCCUUGAUGUUUGGACACACGGUUACCUUGAAUUUACUUGAGACCAUUGUUGAAGUCGGGUCGGCCUUGAGGGGUACCCGCGAGUUGAUGUGAAAGUCGGGCGGGCCCAUUAGGCACCCACGAGUUUUCCACGUGGCACAGCUGGGCAGUCUAGGCCCUUGCCGUAAGUCCAUGAGACGGGGCGACAGGGUCACCUUAUCGUGAGUCUCUGCUUGUUUCCACGAGCCCCCAAUGCACUAACAGGUUUGGGUAUUUGUUCUGAGUUGGCCUUUGGCCUUUACGCACUAAGCACCACGUGAGAAUAGAUAUGGGCCUCGACAUCGUGGUAUCAGCCAAAGAUUUGUCAGACGUCCAGUUCAGCAGUGCGGCACGGUCGGAUCAUGCUGGCCAUCCGAGGCGGUACUGGUAUCCACCAUGGUCACAACGACCCGGAGUGCUGCGGGAAAUGGGCCCAAGACCCCGGAGUGCUUAGGAUGUAGACCGGCGGGGACCUCUCUGCUAAGCCUAGGUAGGGCUGCGACAUGUUGAUCUUCCGAGGGCGGGCAUUGACCCUAGAAAGGAGUGUCGGGCCAGAGUGAUUGAGCGUGUUGGGUAACGUGGUGCACCCCUGCAGGGAAGAUAUAUAUUCGAAUACCAUGUCCACGAUAAUGGACGUUCAGACUUAUAUCCUGAUCUUAUAUAACUAGAACUGGAUACUUGAGAUAUAUGAUGGAUAUGUGGCUUUGAGAUUCUUUUCUCACAGGGAGUCGAGGAAGGAUCUCUAGGCGUUGAAGCUACAAUAUGCUUGUUAAAUAUUAAACUGCUAUUCUUUACUCUUCUACAUGCUGCAAGAUGCUCGGAGCUGCGUGAAGAUGCUAGUCUUCGAUAGGUUGGGCUUUGCCCCUCUAUUCUGGCAUUCUACAGUUCAGUCCACAGAUACAAACCUUCCUUUUGAUACCAAUGCAUACUUAGUAUAGAUCUAAUGCUUGCGAGUACUUUGGAUGAGUACUCACGGUUGCUUUACUACCCCUUUCCCCCCUUCUUUCUUCUUUCUGGUUGAUGCAACCAGAUGGUGGAUCCCAGGAGCCAGAUGCCACCGCCGCCGUCUACUACUACCCGAUGCUGCCUACUUCUACAUGGAGGCCGCCGACGACCAGGAGUAGUUAGGAGGUUCCAGGUAGGAGGCCUUGCCUCUUCGAUCGUGUUACUUUUGUGCUAGCCUACUUAAGGCAUCCUUGUUUAACUUAUGUAUGUACUCAGAUAUUGUUGCUUCCGCUGACUCUUGUGUAUCGAGAUUGUAUUCGAGCCCUCAAGGCCCCUGGCUUGUAAUAUAAAGCUUGUAUUAUUUUGAUUUGUGUCUAGAGUUGUGUUGUGAUAUCUUCCGAUGAGUCCCUGAUCUUGAUCGUACACAUUUGCAUGUAUAAUUAGUGUACGAUUGAAUCGGGGGCGUCACAUGUCAGCCGAACUAUAUCCGGUUUGGAUUGGAAGCUGAUGACGGAGAAUUCCGCUUCCCACCCACUACCCACUCCAUAGCCACUGUCGAAGACUUAACCGACAUGCUAGAUUGCGGCUCCGAAGACAUCAACGGUAUGGACGACAGUGCCGAAGAGGAGCAGGCACAAAAACCACCGCUUACAAGGCGCUGGACAGCCACCUCCUCGUAUGACGUAUACAUGGUGGAUACACCCAAAGAGAACAACGGCGACAAUGAGAAGGAUCCAGUCGAGGAUAAGCCUCCUGAGAUACAACCAAAGCGCCGACGUCAGCAGUGCCAUUCUAAACCACGCCGUGGAAAAAAUAGCAAUGCCGGCACAGGAGAAAAUAAUACUCCGGACGAUGCCGAAGACAACGAAGACCCCUUUGAGCCAACUUCCGAACAGGAUGAGCGGAAGGAUGGGUGAGUCAGCCCUAAUGAACAGGCCGUUAAUGAAGACUCGAAGGACAGUAAUUAUAUUCCACUCUUCGAGGAUGAGGCGAGCCUCGACGACAAAGACUUUAUCAUGCCUGAGGAGCCCGUCGAUUAGGAGCGCUUUAAGCGCCGGCUAAUAGCCACUGCAAGGAGCCUGAAAAAGAAACAACAAUAGCUUCAAACUGAUCAAGAUAUACUCAAUGACAAAUGCACUAAUGUCCUGGCAGCCGAGGAAUAUGGCCUCAAGCGCCCAACCAAAAGUUACCCAAAACGCAAAUUGUUACCCCAAUUCAAUGACGAGGCGCUGGAGCCCGUCCUACCAGCGUGUAAUGCGGCUGACCGACCACCACAUGGCCGGGACAAAGCGGCAAGUCAAGCCGAACACCAGCCCGCACUACCUCGCCGUAAAACAGAGACACAACAGCUUGGGGAUACACAUAUGACCUGCGGCAUGACCUGGAAACAUAGCAGGUCAGACCAGAUCGAUCUAUGGAUUGCGGGGGCGUGCCCCGAUGCACGACGAUGGCUAUCCCGCCGGACGUGACAAACAUAACCACGCCCCGGCCAAAAACCACAAACGAACUCCAUCCGAGCUACGUCGCGACUUGGCCCGAUAUAGAGGCAUCACACACCCCCUCUGCUUCACUGAUGAAGUAAUGGAACAUGAAUUCACAAAAGGGUUUAAACCCGUGAACAUUGAAUCAUAUGAUGGGACAACAGACCCCGCGGUAUGGACUGAGGAUUUUCUCCUCCAUAUUCAUAUGGCCCGCAGAGAUGAUCUUCAUGCCAUCAAAUACCUCACGCUAAAACUCAAGGGACCUGCUCAGCUCUGGUUGAAUAGUUUGCCCGAAAACUCAAUUGGCAGCUGGGAAGACUUGAAAGAUGCCUUCCUCUGACAACUUCCAGGGCACAUAUGUCCGACCUCCAGAUGCCGACGACUUAAGUCACAUAGUUCAAUAGCCGGGAGAGUCAGCCAGGAAAAUUUUGGACUAGGUUCUUAACUAAAAAGAACUAGAUGGUCGACUGUCCGGAUGCCGAAGCCCUAGCGGCCUUUAAACAUAGCAUCCGUGACAAAUGGCUCGCCCGACACCUUGGCCAAGAAAAGCCAAAGUCCAUGGCUGCCCUCACAAUGCUUAUGACCCUCUUCUGCGCGGGCGAGGAUAGCUGGCUAGCCCGUAGCAAUAAUAAUACAAGCGAACCUGGCACUUUUGAAGCCAGAAAUAGCAAUGGCAAGCCCCGACGUAACAGACACAUGCGUCAAAACAACGAUGACAACACCGAGGACACAAUGGUCAACGCUGGAUUCAGUGGCUCUAAGUCCGGUCAGCGAAAGAAGCCAUAUGAAAGAAACAGUCCGGGUUCGUCCAGCUUGGACCGCAUACUCGACCAUCCAUGUCAAAUCCACGACACUCCUGAUAAACCAGCCAAUCAUACCAACAGAGAAUGUUGGGUUUUUAAACAGGCGGGCAAGUUAAAUGCCGAGAACAAAGAGAAGGGGUCGCAAAGCAAGGACGAUGAUGAGGAGCCCCGGCCAUCGAACACAGGGGGACAGAAGAAGUCCCCCCGCCCCCCCCCAAGUUAAAAUUGUGAACAUGAUAUACGCUACCCAUAUCCCCAAGAGGGAGCGCAAGCGUGCGCUCAGGGACGUCUACGCGAUGGAGCCAGUCGCACCAAAGUUCAACCCAUGGUCGUCCUGCCCGAUCACCUUCGAUCGUAGGGACUAUCCUACCAGUAUCCGUCAUGGCAGUUCAGCUGCACUGGUCCUCGACCCAAUCAUUGAUGGAUUCCAUCUCGAGUCCUCAUGAACGGUGGCAGCAGCCUGAACCUGCUCUAUUAGGAUACAGUGCACAAAAUGGGUAUUGAUCCCUCAAGGAUAAAGCCCACAAAAACCACCUUUAAAGGUGUCAUACCAGGUGUAGAGGCCCGCUGUAUAGGCUCAAUCACACUGGAGGUGGUCUUCGGACCCCUGGACAACUUCCGCAAUGAAGAGUUGAUCUUCGAUAGUGUCCCCUUCCGAAAUGGCUAUCACGCACUGCUCGGACGAACCGCAUUCGCUCGAUUCAAUGUGGUGCCGUACUACGCUUAUCUCAAGCUCAAGAUGCCCGGACCACGCAGUGUCAUAACAGUCAAUGGAAACAUGGAACGCUCCCUCCAUACCGAGGAUCACACCGCUGCCCUCACAGUAGAAGCACAGAGCGGCCUUUUCAGGCAGAACCUUAAUUCGGCGGCCAACCUCCCGGACACUAUCAAACGAGUCUGAACUACUCUACAGUAGGACAGUCCAACUCGUCAAGAGCUUGACUAGCAAUUCGGCCUCCAUCCUAGUCCUGACCAAAUACCAUGGGCGUAGACGGAGGCACAGCUAGAUCAUGGUCCAUAAUACGGCUCAACCUCCCCUGGACCCACAUACUUUCACUUUUUUUUCUUUUCAGGUUUCUUUUUUCCCAGGCCUUUCCUGGUGGCCUGAUUGUCGGACCUAUUGAGGGACGGAUGCACCAAGACGGCAAGAAGCAUUGACGUAUAAGGGAAUUUCCAGGUGCCCUCUUUAAACGAUCGUUAUGCCUGUUUUAAGGACCCGUACGCAGCUCUCCCUUGGUCGUGGCAUGUUAAAUAGCCCUGUUGCUUAUCGCACUACUUGUACAAAUACGUUUUGAUGUAUUGAUCAAAACUAUAAUGGAAAAUACUUUGCGGCCCAAUUUUUGCGGCAUUAGCCUAUUAUUUCAUUUUCCUUGAUAUUCUUAUCAAUUGCACCCGUACACUCUGGUACGCCUUAAUUCGCCAGGGGCUUCAUUACGCCCCAUAAUACGGCAACAAAGUCCGAACACUUUUUUACAGUAUAGUUCGGCACCCCGAACUUCAGCAUUAUAUGCAUCGGCUCCGAAUCAUGUCUUUGGUCAAUAGUUGGGUUGCCCGACUCCUGUGCUUACUACCUUACGUUCCGCUAUAUCGGCUAGGGUAGUAAAGGGAGAACUACUGCGAUUGUGUCCUAGUUUAUCUGGAUGAGCACCUCAGUAGAGAAAGCCGAAAACUGACUGUCAUGAUGUGGCGUGAGCCGGUCAGCUGUUCGAGAGGUUACAAAUAUUUUGCGAUUUUUUUCUGCAUUAUGCGAUGAAUCGGUUUUUAUCCGAUCAGGUGUUUACAGUACCCCAAGUUCAGACUUACGAAUACUAGGGGUUGCGCCUAAAUUUCUUUUGUCAAACUUCUAUGGAUGAGUGAGAGUGAUAAAGCCACAUACUCCGAUUGCCUGGUUCGUUGCGCUAAACACCCCCUUCAAGGACUAAACCUUUGGAUAAAGAGUGUUUAGAUUCAUCCCGGACACCCCCGUACUUCCUAUGUGGGGGCUGAAGCCGACGACUGGCCAACUCUCAGAUUUAACAAAACGGCCGCAUAGGAGGUAAAAUUUCAAAUAACAUGCAUUAUACAGGAAGGGACAAUAUGAAUGACUUCAUUCAAAGAUAAUGUCUUUUGAACACUGCCUCUCUACAAUGCGGGAUCCCUUCAAGACAUCUUCAAAAUACCGCUCGGGCGUGCGGUGCUCCUUGCCCGCGGGCGGUCCCUUGGUCGCAAGCUUCACGAUCGCCCACUGUAUCUUGACUUGGGCGAAGGCUAUUCACGCACCUUCAAUGUAGACCAAUCGCUUGAUGGCAUCAUGCCAAGGGCAGGCAUUAACCAGCCUCUUUACGAGCCCAAAGUAGUUGCUGGGUAUGGCUUCGGCAGGCCAUAGCCAGAUUAUUAAAUCCUUCAUGGCUAGUUCAGCCACCCUAUGCAGUUCGACCAGCUGUUUUAGCUGAUUGCUAAAGGGCACCGGAUGUUCUGGCGCAAGGUAUUGCGACCAAAACAGCUUCUCCAUGGAGCUCUCCUCUUCGGCUUGGAAGAACUCUGCAGUGUUUGAAACACUGCACGGAAGAUCCGCAAACGCCCCUGGAGAACUCCAAAUUCGGGUCAGUAAGAGGAACCUUUUCUACAUAUUUGCUUUGCAUAAUAAAGGCCUUACCCGCCAUGAUUUUUUCUGGCCUCCUGGACUUCCUGGAGGGCGCCCUGGGCUUCAACCCGGGCAUCGUGUGCGCUUUGGCGGGCCUUGGCAAGCUCAGACUCUUGAUCCGCAAUGUUGCGCUCCAAGGACUCACAUUUCUUCAUGGCGUCCUGGAGCUCUUGCUGGACCUCAUUAACCCUGGCCUCGUGUUUUUCACGGGCGGCUUGCUCCUUUGCCUCUCUCUCCUCGGCCUUGGCCAGCGACUUCUUGAGGGUCUCCACCUCGGUCGCCGCUCCUAAUAAAUAUCAUGGCACUUUAGUUAGCAUGAAUCAUUCAUCCUUCCUGAAUAUAGACAAGGUUAUUGCAUACCUUGAUUGUCUUCCAGCUGUUUCUUCACACAGCCGAGCUCUUCCUCGGUCCGCUCUAGACUCUGCUUCAGUCCGAAGACCUCAGUAGCAUGAGAGGUCGCAGCUAGCAACGACGCCUGUUUAUUCAUAUAGACAUGUCAGGUUAGUCUCCUGUGAAAAGUAUUUGAUCCUCUGUUCGGCUUUUCUUUCCGAACACCAGGCAGAGUCUCAGGGGCUAUUGUCUACACUAUGACAUCCUUUUUAUAAUUGUGUCGCUCGCCUCAAAAUCUGUUAGAAGGCUGGUACAGGCGUUGGUCAGUCCGCUCUUAAUGUACUGCACCCUCUCAAUCACCGUACCCACAAGGAUACGAUGUUCCUCAACAAUGGAAGCACCAUGCAACACUUCCAGCAAAUUAUCCGGUGAUUCUGGAUGGACAGAGGUCACCGGUGGAAUAGGAGCACCUCCUUCUUUCGAAAGAGGCUGCUUGCCUGAUUCCGGAGCCGUAUAGGUCUCCGCAAUUGUAUUCGGCUGGGGGCCGAAUUGGAUAUGACCCCCCCAUCGUCAGUAUCCAUGGGGAUUUGCUCUCCCAUGUGUCCGACGGCCAAGGUUUCACCCUCUGGUGCUGCCUUGACGGCCUCUUGCGUCUCUCCCUGGCCCGGGGUCCUUUGGGACAACACCUUAGUGUCAUCCAUGGCCUUGGGAGAGGAGGCCGCCGGAAGGGACCCGCUGUCCUUCACCUUCAGGUCCAGCAAAUUCCCGUUGAUGAGGAUCGCUGGAGGACAGAACGGGUCGGGCUGCAACACAUGAUUUGAAAUAUUAAAACCAUGAAGGAAAAGGGCCGGAUAUAUGAGUGCAUCUUCGAGUACUUACGAUUCGGCCAGGGGCUUAUCCCUGGGGCGCCAGUCUGAGCUGCUGUCGGAGUCCGCUGUGGAGUUGUCCGGGAGGGAAGCUUUCCCCUUCUUGGAUGUUUCGGCCUCCAGACGCGUGGAGGCCGUCCUUUUCUUCCUUCGCCCCCUCAGGGGGGAAUGACUUUCUUCUUCUUCCUCCUCUUCCUCGUCGUCCUUGGUGGCGGAGGAAUGAUUCUCGGCGUCUCCGGACGUCACGUCCGAAGUUCCCUUAUGACAGAGACCACCUCUGGUCUCCUUGGCCUUCUUCUUGGCCUUCUUCUCUGGUGCCUGAUAGGGCGCCGGAACCAGCAUCUUCGUCAUACGUGGGAUUGCUGGGUCUUCGGGCAGCGGAGCCGGACAGUGAAUCCGCUCCACCUUCUUUGUCCAACCCUGAGAGAAACAGUAGGGAGACUUAGGCGUCUUCCUCGAGUAUGCAAGUAAAGGAUACACCUUGAAAACAUGAAAAAACUUACCGGACUAGUGGGAUGGGCCAAGUCGUGCCCAUGAUCCUCGGCCGUAUCCAGCCACGUCUUGUUGGGCUUAAAAAGCACCUUCUAGAUGUCUUCGUGCGUAGUGCCGAAGAACUACAGCAAGGUCUGGUGCUUGGCCGGAUCAUACUCCCACAAAUGGCAAGUCCGACUUUGACACGGAAGGAUCCGGCGAAUAAGCAUCACCUAGAUCACAUUGACGAGAUUGAUACUCUUGUCUGUCAUGCUCCUGAUGCACGUCUGAAGUGCUGUCAUCUCGUCCGAUGAAGACCGGUCCAGGCCCUUCUAUAGCCAGGAGGUGAGCCACAUUGGGGCUCCGGACUGGAAUUCAGGAGCCGCAGCCCAGGUGGUGUCACGCGGCUCUGUCACGUAGAACCACUGCUAUUGCCACUCUUUGACGGUCUCCACGAAGGUACCUAUUUGCCAUGUGACGUUGGGCAUCUUGCUCACCAUGGCACCUCCGCACUCCACGUGUUGACUGCCCACGACCUUCGCCUUCACAUUGAAGAUCUUUAACCAUAAUUCGAAGUGGGGUGGGAUGCGGAGGAAGGCCUCGCACACGACAAUGAAUGCUGAGAUGUUGAGGAAGGAGUUGGGGGCAAGAUCUUGGAAAUCCAGCCCAUAGUAGAACAUGAGUCCGUAGAUGAAUGGGUGAAGAGGAAAUCCCAACCCGCGGACGAAGUGGGAGAUGAAUACUACCCUCUCAUGGGGCUCCGGUGUGGGGAUGAUCUGUCCCUUGGCCGGAAGCCGGUGGGCGAUUUCCUUGGCCAAAUACCCAGCCUCCCGGAGCUUCAUAAUGUCCUUCUCCUUGACGGCGGAGGCCAUCCACUUGCACUGUGCUCCGGAUCCAGACAUGGUUGGAGUGCUUUCUUGGGGUGGAAAAGAUGAGAACUUGGGUGCUGGAGCUCGAGAAUGGGGGAGGUAGAGAAGAGAGAAGGCGUGGGUGAAAGGGGUGAAUCCUUAUCUUUUUAUAAAGGCAGUGAAUCUCAAGUGCCUCCACACUCGCCCUAAAAACUCGCCUAUUCCCAAGGGUCGUGCAAACAAUACGGUGGGAUUACCCAUGCCCGUAUUGAUGAAAAUCCCGCAAUAAGGGUACACGAUCUCUGCUUUGACAAGACGUGCCAAUGAAACCGCAUCUCGCAAUAUGGAGCGGCAGGCUAAAAAUGGUUCGAAAUAAUGGCCGGGUGGCGACGUGAUGUCACACUACAAAAAGUUGCCAGCGGAUUGGACUUGUGAAAUAUUAUACUCUCUAUGGUUGUGUGUGGAAUUUGUUUUGCAGAGUAGAAUUUGUUUUGAGUAUUCGGAGAAGCAACCCGCCUUGCAAUGCCAAAGACAAUCUACGUGCCAGACACCUUGUCACUUAAGCCUGGUUCAGGGGCUACUGAGGGAGUCCUGGAUUAAAGGGUCCUCGGACAGCCGAACUAUGUAACGUGGGCCAAACUGUUGGGCCAUGAAGAUACAAGACAAAAGACUCUCUUCUGUGUCCGGAUAGGACCCUCCUUGGCGUGGAAGGCAAGCUUGGCGCCCGGAUAUGAAGAUUCCUUUCUCUGUAACCGGCUUUGUACAACCCUAGUCCCCUCCGGUGUCUAUAUAAACCGGAGGGCUUAGUCCAUAGAGGCAAUCAUAAUCAUACAGACUAGACUUCUAGGGUUUUAGCCAUUACGAUCUCGUGGUAGAUCAAAUCUUUUAAUAAUCAUAUUCAUCAAGAUCAAUCAAGCAGGAAGUAGGGUAUUACCUCCAUAGAGAGGGCCUGAACCUGGGUAAACAUUGUGUCCCCCGCCUCCUGUUACCAUCAACCUUAGACGCACAGUUUGGGACCCCCUGAUGACCCACAAGUGUAGGGGAUCUAUCGUAGUCCUUUCGAUAAGUAAGAGUGUCAAACCCAACGAGGAGCAGAAGGAAAUGACAAGCGGUUUUCAGUAAGGUUUUCUCUGCAAGCACUGAAAUUGUAGGUAACAGAUAGUUUUGUGAUAAGAUAAAUUGUAACGAGUAACAAGCAAUGAAAGUAAAUAAAGUGCAGCAAGGUGGCCCAAUCCUUUUUGUAGCAAAGGACAAGCCUGGGCAAUUUCUUAUAAUGAGAAAAGAGCUCCCGAGGACACAUGGGAAUUAUCGUCAAGCCAGUUUUCAUCACACUCAUAUGAUUCAUGUUCGGUACUUUGAUAAUUUGAUAUGUGGGUGGACCGGUGCUUGGGUACUGCCCUUACUUGGACAAGCAACCCACUUAUGAUUAACCUCUAUUGCAAGCAUCCGCUACUACAAAAUAAGUAUUAAGGUAAACCUAACCACAACAUUGGACAUAUGGAUCCAAAUCAGCCCCUUACGAAGCAACGCAUAAACUAGCGUUUAAGCUUCUGUCACUCUAGCAACCCAUUAUCUACUUAUUACUUCCCAAUGCCUUCCUCUAGGCCCAAAUAAUGGUGAAGUGUCAUGUAGUCGACGUUCACAUAACACCAGUAGAGGGGAGACAACAUACAUUUCAUCAAAAAAUUGAACGAAUACCAAAUUCACAUGACUACUAAUAGCAAUACAUCACCCAUGUUCUCAGGAACAAACUUAACUACUCACAAAGCAUAUUCAUGUUCAUAAUCAGAGGAGUAAUAAUAUGCACUAAGGAUCUGAACAUAUGAUCUUCCACCAAAUAAACCAAUUAGCAUCAACUACAAGGAGUAAUCAACACUACUAGCAACCCACAUGUACCAAUUUGUGGUUUUGGAUACAAGAUUGGAUACAAGAGAUGAACUAGGGUUUGUGAGGAGAUGGUGCUGGUGAAGAUGUUGAUGGAGAUUGACCCCCUCCCGAUGAGAGGAUCGUUAGUGAUGACGAUGGUGAUGAUUUCCCCCUCCCGGAGGGAAGUUUCCCCGGCAGAACAGCUCUGCCGGAGCCCUAGAUUGGUUCCGCCAAGGUUCCACUUCGUGGCGGCGGAGUUUCAUCCCGUAAGCUUGACUCUGAUUUUUUCCAGGGUGAAAGCCUUCAUAUAGCAGAAGAUGGGUGUCGUUGUCAAAACCAGCGGAUCUCGGGUAGGGGGUCCCAAACUGUGCGUCUAAGGCUAAUGGUAACAGGAGACUGGGGACACGAAGUUUACCCAGGUUCGGGCCCUCUCGAUGGAGGUAAUACCCUACUUCCUGCUUGAUUGAUCUUGAUGAUAUGAGUAUUACAAGAGUUGAUCUACCACAAGAUCAGAGAGGCUAAACCCUAGAAGCUAGCCUAUGGUAUGCUUGUUGUUGUGUCCUAUGGACUAAACCCUCCGGUUUAUAUAGACACCGGAGGGGGCUAGGGUUACACAGGGUCGGUUUAUAGAGGAGGAGAUCUACAUCCGAAUCGCCAAGCUUGCCUUCCACGCCAAGGAGAGUCCCAUCCGGACAUGGGGCGGAGUCUUCUGUCUUGUAUCUUCAUAGUCCAACAGCCCGGCCAAAGCAUAUAGUACGGCUGUCCGGAUACCCCCUUAUCCAGGACUCCCUCAGUAGCCCCCGAACCAGGCUUCAAUGACGAUGAGUCCGGCGCGCAGAUUGUCUUCGGCAUUGCAAGGCAGGUUCUUCUCCAAAUCCGGUGCACCUGUCGUAGCGAAUAGUGUCUGGCCUCCCAGUAAGGUUGUACUCCUCGGUUUCUAUGCUUCAAUAAUGGCCACCUCCAUGUGUCGAUCGAAGACGAGGGUCCGGGGCAUUUUUUGCAUUUGCCACCCUAAUCCCGUAGGUGAGCCGUCUAUUUGAGGAGACGGGGAUCUUCAGAUCCAAAUCACGCCAUCUUCCCCCAAGCAAGCAUUCCACAGAGCGCGCCCAAAAGAGGCCAUCCCAUCAUGACCGGUCACCGCAGCCCUGCUCGCCGGUCCCCCAGCUCGAAGCCAGGGGAUUGGGAAAAGUGUUCCAUCCCUCAUAGCCACCUAAUAGACCUGCAGACCAAAGGGUUCCUUCCGCACGCAUACAUGGUCCCCGUCCGAUCCGGACUAGCCACCUAUAAUGGCGGGGAGCAAGCGGAGAGAUUCCCUAACCCAUCUCAGGGGGAGUGGGUAUGCCUGGUCCCAUAUCUGCUAAGAGGCGUCGGGUUUCCAAUCCACCCGUUCCUCCGCGGGCCCCUGGAGUUCUACGGUCUCCAGUUGCAUAAUCUUACCGCCGCCUCCAUACUGCACAUUGCGGGCUACGUUGCCCUCUGCGAGCUGUUCCUGGGCUGCGAAGCUCAUUUCGAGCUAUGUAAGAGGUUAUUUUGCCUCGUCCCCUGCAAUCAGGAGGGAUCUAUGUAUCAAGUGGGCGGAGCCAAAAUAUGGCGCAUCGCCCAGACCGGAUACCUGUCCGGUAUGCAUAAUAAGGGGAGUGCAGCCACUUCAAUAUAGGGGAAAACCCAUGUGGCACUACAAUGGAGAAGACGAUGCCUCCCACUGCGGUCGCAAAGGUCCAGACUCCACCACAUCUUUGGCGAGGAUACUAUCCGAAUUGUACAAAGGAGAAGAAGAGGAGUUCCUCCGCAUUAAACCGCGGGAUGGAUUUUCCAUGUACAACCCCCGAAGCUGGGUAAGUUGUCAUCUUUUGCUCAACUCUAUUCGUUCUUACCUUCUUUGCCACAAUUAUUUACCUUGCUGUUUCAAAACAAGAACUAAGGAAGGCCGUGAAAGAGUUCAACAGCCCCUCUCCGCAGCCAGAGGAUCCCGGCCGGGCUCUCGACCCCGGAUUUGAAGAAGAUCCGGACAUAUCCGUGGAAUUCGUCGACGGGACUUUCUAUCAAGCAAGCAGUGGCGGCUCUUUAGUGGCCAUCAUCGCGGAUUAUCCCGGACUGCUUCCCGUGUCGCAUGUAAGUAAUGUCGGGGUUCCAACCUUCCGAAAGGAUUCCUUCGCUUUGCUGUACCUUAUAAUCACAUGUCGUACUUUUAUAGAAAUGGCAGUCGGGACGCCGUGCAGAACCCGCGGGGGCCUCUCACCAAGAGGCGCUUAGACAAGGUAGGCUUAAAAGGAAGGCGGUUAGGAGCGAUACACAGGCACAGAGGUAUUCAUUAAGCUUGCCCCGUGGUUUAUUUGGUCUUUUUGUCGAGGCGUGACGGUUUUAAUUAUGUCCUGAUAGGAAACGCCGAACUGUGUCCGGGGACCCUACCGGCCACGCCUCCAGCAGCCAGAUUCCUGGAUCGUAUUCACGGGCGGAGGCUGAUGCAGGGACAGUGCCAAACUGUCCUCCUGCGAAGGAUACCGAUAUGCUUUCUGCCACAAAUUCAGAAGUGGAGAGCGCCAUGAACCACCGACACCGACGUGCCGUACCCCGCGGUGGUAUUUUUUUCGGAGAGGCGUUCAAUGCCUUCAAUUCUGGAUACACAUAUAUCUGCGCUGCUCAAGAUGGACUUGCCAGAGCAAUGGACCAGUAUGUGAAGGAUAUACGGGUAAGAGAAUUUUAAUAAGUAUGUGUAGUAGUAGCCCCUGAGACUUGAAACAGUUGGAACAACUGAUUUAAAGAUCAUUAAAUGCAUAGGUUCUUGUAGAGAAGAAUACCCAGUUGUCUCAAGAGCUGGAGGAGUGUAAGGCCCAGAUGAAGGCCAAUGUAUCCGAACAAGCAGAAUCCAAAAAGGCUUCUUCUGGUAAUAAUUACCUUCUUCCAGUUUGUGUAUUCGGCAUGGUUUGUAUAUCUGACGAAGAAUUCGGCAGACAAUCCCGGAGGAAAUCUGGAGAAUGUUGGCGAUAAUGAGCUGCAUCUGCAAAGUCAGCUGAAGGCGGGCGAACAUGUGCUCACGCAAUCCAUUCAAGAGAAGAAUAAGCUACAAGAUGCUAAUUUCUAACUGAGCAUCGAAUUGAAAGAUGUUCGGGCUCAACUCGUGGACUCUGUGAAGGAGAACCGGAGGCUUCGACGCAACAUUUAUAGUAAGUGCUUGAACGAACUGUAGUAUAUUUCGGCGAGGAGGCGUAUUAACAGUGUUAUGUCUGCAGGUAUAUUGACGGGACGCCCUGAAGAGGAGAUGCCCAGUUCCGCAGGCGAUAUGCUGCAAGAGCUUUCACAACUGCACGAACGAGCUCGACAGGUGAUGCAGGGUAUUGCCAGGCUUUGUGGCCGUCCGCUUCCGUGCCAGGAGGCAUGAGCGAACUAAUAGAGAUUCUCAAAGAAGCACGUCGGCGCUUCCGAUUAUGGAAGAUAUCAGCUUGCCGGCAAGGUGCGAGAGAAGCUUGGGCCAUGGUGAAGACGCGAUAUGCCAAGGCUGACCCAAACCAUAUGGCCGAAGUAGGACCGGCUGGGCCAGAUGGACAAGAGAUACCCGUUAGUUUGGUAUAUGAUCAAGUAGCGUUAGCUGCAAAGUAUUCCCAGCAGGACUGUAAGCUAGACAGCCUGUUGGAUGGUAUAGGGGAAGAGUACAGCCAGUCGAUAUGAUUAUGUAAUUUGAACGGGCUCAUGUACUCCCUAGCCGGAUUGAAAAUCAUUUGUCAUGGCGGACCUUUUCGCUUCAGCCCCCGGAUCCGACAGUCCGGGGUGUAUCUGAAUACCCACACAGUUAUGAAAAACCGGGGUAUGCGUGGAAACCAGGCGUAGGGGUCAUAAGUGCUUGAAUAGACAAGUACCCAACUAGUUAUGUUAUAUUACAUGGAUAGUAAGAAACAUCUUCCAGAGAGAAUAGUUCCAUUAGGGGUUCCUUUCUCUGGGUACGCAUGCGUCGAUGUGCAUGUCCGAGCUGCAAACAGAAGCACAGGAAACAAAACAUCUGGAUAUUUUAGUUGUUAUGAACGAGAACAUCUUUUGUUCACCGACCGAAUAUUCCCUUAAGAAUGCUAGCUUUCGGCUUGACCCAGUCUGAGGUACACAUCCGGCUCAACCGGCAGUAGCAAUCGCAAAGGUGCUCCCCUUAUGCCCUAGCCGAAUUAACGGGAACGUAGGGCAUAAAUACAAGAGCCAGGCAACCCAGCAUGGCCAAAACUUAAGUCAUAUUGAUGCAUAUAAUGGUUAAGAAAAGGCACAUAUAAAAAAAUGCAUAUGUGGCUGGCAAGAAGCCAUUAAAGUGGUUAUAUUUAGCUUCCGAAUAGGAAGCCCCCAGGUAUAGUGUGCACGCAUAAUGCGGCCGGAGUGCUCAGGGCAUCUUACAAUUUUAAGGCUGUAAAAAUAAGGAAAAAGGGGAGAGAAAGGAGGAAAGGGAACAUAAUUGAAGAAGCGGAGUGAAGGAGACGAACACUGGGUUAGGCGCUAGGCAUAGAAUCUCCGGAGUCUGGCCGCGUUCCAUGGGUUCGGCUCGAGUCUGUUAUCAGAUGCCCUGCGCAGACGGUACGCUCCUCCGGUGAGAACUUUAUCAAUGAUGAAGGGACCCUCCCACUUGGGUUUGAGCUUGUCCUUCUUCUUCUCAGGUAGGCGUAGAACGAGUUUGCCAAUGUUAUAACUUUUGGCCCGUACUUCUCUGCUUUGAUACCUUUGAGCAUGUUGCUGAUAGAAUGCAGAAUGGGCUUUAGCGACAUCACGCUCCUCCUCCAAAGCAUCUAAGUUGUCCUGCCGGUCUAGCUCGGCUUCCUUCUCUUCAUACAGGCGCACGCGAGGUGAGUCAUGAAUUAUGUCGCAGGGCAGCACUACUUCUGCGCCGUACACCAUAAAAAAUGGUGUGUACCCGGUGGUGCGAUUCGGCAUGGUCCGCAGCCCCCAGAGUACGGAGUCGAGUUCCUCGACCAAUUGCGUGUCUGAUUCCUUCAAGGAUCGCACUAGUCUGGGUUUGAUGCCGCUCAUAAUAAGACCAUUUGCACGUUCGACUUAACCAUUUGUUUGGGGGUGAUAGACAGAGGCGUAGUCGAGCUUAAUGCCCAUUUUGCCGCACCAGGCUUUUACCUCUUCGGCUGUAAAAUUCGAGCCAUUGUCAGUGAUGAUACUGUGGGGGACACCGUAGCGGUGUACAACCUCUGAUAUGAAGUCUAUCACUGGUCCGGAUUCGGCCGUUUUAACUGGUUUGGCUUCUAUCCAUUUGGUGAACUUGUCCACCAUGGCCAAUAAGUAUUUUUUCUUAUGGCUUCCUCCUUUAAGGGGUCCCACCAUAUCCAGCCCCCAGACCACGAAGGGCCAAGUUAUGGGGAUCGUUUGGAGAGCGGUAGGGGGCAUAUGGCUCUGAUUGGUGAAUAGUUGACAACCAACACAAUGUUGGACGAGGUCCUGUGCGUCUGCCCGGACUGUCGGCCAGUAGAAUCCUGUCCGAAAGGCCUUGCUCACGAGAUCUCGGGCUGCCGCGUGGUGCUCGCCUAGUCCGGAAUGGAUUUCGGCUAAGAGCUGCCGCCCUUCCUCUUCGGAGAUGCAUCGUUGGAGCACUCUGGUGGCGCUCUUCUUGUAGAGCUCACCUUCAUGGGCUUUGUAGGCUUUAGAGCGUCGCAAUACAACGUGCCUCAUUUUGGUCCUCGGGGAGCUCUUGCCUAUUAAGGUAGGCCAAGAAGGGCUCGGUCCACGGGGCGAUGACAGCCAUUAUUUCGUGGGCCGUGAUACGUCUCCAACGUAUCUAUAAUUUUUGAUUGCUCCAUGCUACUUUAUCUACUGAUUUAGGCAAUAUUGGGCUUUAUUAUCCACUUUUAUAUUAUUUUUGGGACUAACCUAUUAACCGGAGGCCCAGCCCAGAUUUGCUGUUUUAUGCCUAUUUCAGUGUUUCGAGGAAAAGGAAUAUCAGAUGGAGUCAAAAGGGAACGAAAUCAACUAGAGAAGUUAUUGUUGGAAGGAAAGCCACCGGAUAGACUUGGACUCUACGUCAGAAGAUACGGGAGCCGACCACGAGGGUGGGGGGCACGCCCACCCCCUAGGGCGCGCCCCCUGCCUUGUGGGGCCCCUGAAGCUCCACCGAUGUACCCCUUGCACCCAUAUAUACCUACGUACCCUAAAACUUCCAGAACAGAAGAUAGAUCGGGAGUUCCGCCGUCGCAAGCCUCUGUAGCCACCAAAAACCUCUCGGGAGCCGUUCCCGGCACCCUGUCGGAGGGGGGAUCCUUCACCGGUGGCCAUCUUCAUCAUCCCGGCGCUCUCCAUGACGAGGAGGGAGUAGUUCACCCUCGGGGCUGAGGGUAUGUACCAGUAGCUAUGUGUUUGAUCUCUCUCUCUCUCGUGUUCUCUCUCGUGUUCCCUCUAUGGCACGAUCUUGAUGUAUCCCGAGCUUUGCUAUUGUAGUUGGGUCUUAUGAUGUUUCUCCCCCUCUACUCUCUUGUGAUGAAUUGAGUUUUCCCUUUGAAGUUAUCUUAUCGGAUUGGUCUUUUAUGAGAACACUUGAUGUAUGUAUUGCCGUGCUUAUCUGUGGUGACAAUGGGAUAUCAUGUGCCUCUUGAUGUAUGUUUUGGUGAUCAACUUGCGGGUUUCGUGACAUUGGGAACCUAUGCAUAGGGGUUGGCACACGUUCUUGACUCUCCGGUAGUAGCUUUGGGGCACUCUUUGAAGUACUUUUAUGUUGGUUGGAUGAAUCUGAGAUUGUGUGAUGCAUAUCGUAUAAUCAUGCCCAUGGAUACUUGAGGUGACAAUGGAGUAUCUAGGUGACAUUAGGGUUUUGGUUGAUUUGUGUCUUAAGGUGUUAUUCUAGUACGAACUCUUUUAUAGAUCGAUCCGAAAGAAUAACUUUGAGGUGGUUUCGUACCCUACCAUAAUCUCUUCGUUCGUUCUCUGCUAUUAGUGGCUUUGGCGUGACUCUUUGUUCCAUGUUGACGGCUUGUUAUAUGAUCUAUCUAUGUUAUUAUUGUUGAGAGAACUUGCACUAGUGAAAGUAUGAACCCUAGGCCUUGUUUCCUAUCAUUGCAAUACCGUUUACGCUCAGUUUUUUUACUUGCUACCUUGCUGUUUUUAUAAUUUCAGAUUACAAAUACCUUUAUCCACUAUCUAUUUUGCACUUGUAUCACCAUCUCUUCGCCGAACUAGUGCACCUAUACAAUUUACCAUUGUAUUGGGUGUGUUGGGGACACAAGAGACUCUUUGUUAUUUGGUUGCAGGGUUGUUUGAGAGAGACCAUCUUCAUCGUAUGCCUCCUACGGAUUGAUAAACCUUAGGUCAUCCACUUGAGGGAAAUUUGCUACUGUCCUACAAACCUGUGCACUUGCAGGCCCGACAACGUCUACAAGAAGAAGGUUGUGUAGUAGACAUCAAGCUCUUUUCUGGCGCCGUUGCCGGGGAGGUUAGCGCUUGAAGGUAUAUCUUUUGAUCUUGCAAUCGAAUCUUUUUGUUUCUUGUUUUAUCACUAGUUUAGUUUAUAAAAGAAAACCAAAAAAAAUGGAGUUAAGUUUGUCUCAUACGUUUCAUCUUUUUAAUAUCUUUCGUGAGAAUGAUGGAAAGGAAAAUUGUGCUCAAGUGCUAGAAGAAGAAUUACAUAGAAUGCUUGGCAGAAAAUAUGUGAAUGAUGAGCAUGAUUGCAAUGUUGUUAGUAUGAAUUCCCUGAAUACCCAUGAUGCUAAUGAUAUGCAAAGCCACAAGCUUGUGGAAGCUAUGUUUGAUGGAGAUGAUAUUUUUUGUCCCCCAAGCUUUGAUGAGCAAAUUUACUAUGAUGAAAGCAUGCCUCCUAUCUAUGAUGAUUAUUGUGAUGACACUUAUCCUUUAAAGAAUAAUGAUAACCAUGAAACGUGUCAUCUUGAUCUUAAUUUUCAAUCACAUGAUAGUUAUUUUGUUGAGUUUGCUCCCACUACUAUUCAUGAGAAGAAAUUUGCUUAUGUUGAGAGUAGUAAAUUUUCUAUGUUUGUAGAUCAUUAAAAGAGUUCUUUAGGUGCUGGUUAUAUUGUUGAAUUCAUUCAUGAUGCUACUAAAAAUUAUUAUGAGAGAGGAACAUAUGCUUGUAGGAAUUGCAAUAAUAUCAAGUUUCAUCCCUAUGUGCUUAAAGUUUCGAAGCUAUGCUUGUUUUACCUCCCUAUGCUAGUUGAUUAUUGUUCCCAUAAGUUGUUUGCUCACAAAAUCCCUAUGCAUAGGAAGUGGGUUAGGCUUAAAUGUUCUAGUCAUAUGCUUCAUGAUGCUCCCGUUAUGUUUCAAUUCUUAUCUUUUAUGUGAGCAUCAUUGCCAUCAUCAUGCCUAGCUAGAAAGGCAUUAAAGAAAAGUGCUUGUUGGGAGACAACCCAAUAUUUACCCUUACUGUUUUUGUGCGUCCACAUGAUUAUGCUACUGUAGUAAUCAUGUUUUAUAGCUUUUGUUUCAAUAAAAUGCCAAGUAGAACCUUUGGGAAGACUUGGGUGAAGUUUAUGUGAUCUUGCUGUGAAAAAUAGAAACUUUAGCACUCACGAGAUUAGCUGCCAUUGUUUACUGGAGAGUGCUUUUAGGUUGAUUCUUUUUGCAGAUGAUUAAUAGACAAAUUUCUCAGGUCCAGGAAAUUAUUUCAUAAUUUUUGGGGUUCCAGAAGUAUACGUUUUAUACAGAUUACUACAAACUUAUCUGUUUUUGACAGAAUCUGUUUUCAUUGUGUUGUUUGCUUAUUUUGAUGCAUCUAUUGCUAGUAUUAAGUGGUAUGAACCAUGGAGAAGUUAGAAUACAGUAGAUAUUACACCAAUAUGAAUUUAGAAUGAGUUCAUUACAGUACCUAAGUGGUGGUUUUAUUUUCUUAUACUAACGGAGCUUACGAGUUUUGUUUUGAGUUUUGUGUGGUUGAAGUUUUCAAGUUUUGGGUAAAGAUUCGAUGGACUAUAGAAUAAGGAGUGGCAAGAGCCUAAGCUUGGGGAUUCCCAAGGCACCCCAAGGUAAUAUUCAAGGACAACCAAGAGCCUAAGCUUGGGGAUGCCCAGGAUGGCAUCCCCUCUUUCGUCUUCGUUCAUCGGUAACUUUGCUUGGAGCUAUAUUUUAUUCGCCACAUGAUAUGUGUUUUGCUUGGAGCGUCAUUUUAUUUUGUUAGGUUUUGCUUGCUGUUAGUUAGAAUAAUGUUUUGCAUCUUUAGUUUCAAUAAAAAAGUCAAGGAUAGCCUUUGCCAUGCUUAUUUUGCUAGUAUACAUGUUGCUGUUUGAAAACAGAAAGUUUACCGCUGUUGCAAAAAUUCCCUAGAAAAGUCAGAGAAUGUUAUAACGUUGAAUCUUUUUGCAUAUUAAGGUCUGAUAAAUUUAUUACAGUGGGAAUUUUAGUUCAUAAUUGUUGGAGUCAGGGAAGUAUUGAUACUCUUGCAUUCUUUACAGACUGUACUGUUUUGGUAGAUUGCUGUUAUGGUUGCAUUGUUUGCAUAUGUUUGCUUGUUUAAUGAUUCUAUUUGAGGAUAGGAAUAUUAAAUAUACAGAGGCAUUUAGUAUGCAAUGUUGAAUAAUAAUUUUAGUGAUUUGUUACAGUAUAAAAUGAUAAUGUUUUGCAUUGGUUUAUACUAACCUAUCUCACGAGUUCUUGUUGAGUUUGUUGUGAAUGAAGCUUUUGAUAAAAAGAGAAACCAUGAUAAGAGAGGAAUUAAGGAGACACAGAAGUUCAAGCUUGGGGAUGCCCAAGGCACCCCAAGAUAAUAUUUCAAGAAGUCUCAAGCAUCUAAGCUUGGGGAUGCCCCGGUAGGCAUCCCACCUUUCUUCUUCAACAACUAUCGGUUAGUAUCGGUUGAGCCUAAGUUUUUGCUUCUUCACAUGAGUUGUGCUAUCCUUGCAAUGUCAUUUUAUUUUGUUCUUCUUGCUGCUUGAAUACAAUACCAAGAUCUGAAAUUCUUAAAUGAGAGAGAGUCUUCGCAUAGUUGCAUAAUUAUUUGACUACUCAUUGAUCUUCACUUAUAUCUUUCAGAGUAGUUUGUCAUUUGCUCUAGUACUUCACUUAUAUCUUUUAGAGCACAAUGGUGGUUUUAUUUUGAAGAAAUAGAUGAACUCUAAUGCUUCACUUAUAUUAUUUUGAGAGUCUUUAAUAGCAUGGUAAUUUACUUAACAUUAAUAUACUUGGUAUUCAAGAUAUGUGAAACUUUCUUUUGAGUGCGUUGAAUACUAAGAUAAGUUUGAUGCUUGAUAAUUGUUUUGAGAUAUGGAGGUGAUAAUAUCAAAGUGAUGCUUGUUGGGUGAUUAUGAAUUUAAAGAAUGCUUGUGUUGAAGUUUGUGAUUCUCGUAGCAUGCACGUAUGGUGAACCGCUUUGUGAUAAAGUUGGAGCACAAUUUUAUUUAUUGAUUGUCUUCCUUAUGAGUGGCGGUCGGGGACGAGCGACGGUCUUUUCCUACCAAUAUAUCCCCCUAGGAGCAUGUGCGUAAUACUUUGCUUUGAUAACUUGUAGAUUUUUGCAAUAAGUAUAUGAGUUCUUUAUGACUAAUGUUGAGUCCAUGGAUUAUACGCACUUUUUCCCAUCCUUCCACCAUUGCUAGCCUUUCUAAUACCGCACACCUUUCGCCGGUAUCAUACAUCCACCAUAUACCUUCCUCAAAACAGCCACCAUACCUACCUAUCAUGGCAUUUCCAUAGCCAUUCCGAGAUAUAUUGCCAUGCAACUUUCCACCGUCCCGUUUAUUAUGACACGCUCCAUCAUUGUCAUAUUGCUUUGCAUGAUCAUGUAGUUGACAUCGUAUUUGUGGCAAAGCCACCCUUCAUAAUUUUCAUACAUGUCGCUCAUGAUUCAUUGCAUAUCCCGGUACACCGCCGGAGGCAUUCAUAUAGAGUCAUAUUUUGUUCUAAGUAUCGAGUUGUAAUUGUUGAGUUGUAAGAAAAAUAAAAGUGUGAUGAUCAUCAUUAUUAGAGCAUUGUGCCAUGAGGAAAGGAUGAUGGAGACUAUGAUUCCCCCAUAAGUCGGGAUGAGACUCCGGACGAAAAAUAAAAAAAAGAGAAAAAAAGAGGCCAUAAAAAAAGGGAGAAAAGGCCCAAACAAAAAAAAUGAGAGAAAAAGAGAGAAGGGAGACAAUGCUACUAUCCUUUUACCACACUUGUGCUUCAAAGUAGCACCAUGAUCUUCAUAAUAGAGAGUCUCAUAUGUUGUCACUUUCAUAUACUAGUGGGAAUUUUUCAUUAUAGAACUUGGCUUGUAUAUUCCAAUGAUGGGCUUCCUCAAAAGUGCCCUAGGUCUUCGUGAGCAAGCAAGUUGGAUGCACACCCACUUAGUUUCUUUUGUUGAGCUUUCAUAUAUUUAUAACUCUAGUGCAUCCGUUGCAUGGCAAUCCCUACUCACUCACAUUGAUAUCUAUUAAUGGGCAUCUCCAUAGCCCGUUGAUACGCCUAGUUGAUGUGAGACUAUCUUCUCCUUUUUUGUCUUCUCCACAACCACCAUUCUAUUCCACAUAUAGUGCUAUAUCCAUGGCUCACGCUCAUGUAUUGCGUGAAGAUUGAAAAAGUUUGAGAAUGUCAAAAGUAUGAAACAAUUGCUUGGCUUGUCAUCGGAGUUGUGCAUGAUUUAAAUAUUUUGUGUGGGGAAGAUGGAGCAUAGCCAGACUAUAUGAUUUUGUAGGGAUAACUUUCUUUGGCCAUGUUAUUUUGAGAAGACAUAAUUGCUUAGUUAGUAUGCUUGAAGUAUUAUUAUUUUUAUGUCAAUAUGAACUUUUGUCUUGAAUCUUUCGGAUCUGAAUAUUCAUACCACGAUUAAGAAGAUUUACAUUGAAAUUAUGCCAAAGUAUCACUCUGCAUAAAAAAUUCUCUUUUUAUCAUUUACCUACUCGAGGACGAGCAGGAAUUAAGCUUGGGGAUGCUUCAUACGUCUCCAAUGUAUCUAUAAUUUUUGAUUGCUCCAUGCUACUUUAUCUACUGUUUUAGGCAAUAUUGGGCUUUAUUAUCCACUUUUAUAUUAUUUUUGUGACUAACCUAUUAACCGGAGGCCUAGCCCAGAUUUGCUGUUUUAUGCCUAUUUCAGUGUUUCGAGGAAAAGGAAUAUCAGACGGAGUCAAAAGGGAAUGAAAUCAACUAGAGAAAUUAUUUUUGGAAGGAAAGCAUCGGAUAGACUUGGACUCUACGUCAGAAGAUACGGGAGCUGGCCAAGAGGGUGGGGGGCGCGCCACCCCCUAGGGUGUGCCCCCUGCCUCGUGGCCCCCCUGAAGCUCCACCGACGUACCCCUUGCACCCAUAUAUACCUACGUACCCUAAAAUUUCCAGAACAGAAGAUAGAUCGGGAGUUCCGCCUCCGCAAGCCUCUAUAGCCAAUAAAAACCUCUCAGGAGCCCUUCCCGGCACCCUGUCGGAGGGGGGAUCCUUCACCGGUGGCCAUCUUCAUCAUCUCGGCACUCUCAUGACGAGGAGGGAGUAGUUCACCCUCGGGGCUGAGGGUAUGUACCAGUAGCUAUGUGUUUGAUCUCUCUCUCUCGUGUUCUCUCUCGUGUUCCCUCUAUGGCACGAUCUUGAUGUAUCCCGAGCUUUGCUAUUGUAGUUGGAUCUUAUGAUGUUUCUCCCCCUCUACUCUCUUGUGAUGAAUUGAGUUUUCCCCUUUGAAGUUAUCUUAUCGGAUUGAGUCUUUUAUGAGAACAAUUGAUGUAUGUCUUGCCGUGCUUAUCUGUGGUGACAAUGGGAUAUCAUGUGCCUCUUGAUGUAUGUUUUGGUGAUCAACUUGCGGGUUUCGUGACAUUGGGAACCUAUGCAUAGGGGUUGGCACACAUUCUUGACUCUCCGGUAGUAGCUUUGGGGCACUCUUUGAAGUACUUUUAUGUUGGUUGGAUGAAUCUGAGAUUGUGUGACGCAUAUCGUAUAAUCAUGCCCACGGAUACUUGAGGUGACAAUGGAGUAUCUAGGUGACAUUAGGGUUUUGGUUGAUUUGUGUCUUAAGGUGUUAUUCUAGUACAAACUCUUUUAUAGAUCGAUCCGAAAGAAUAACUUUGAGGUGGUUUCGUACCCUACCAUAAUCUCUUUGUUCGUUCUCUGCUAUUAGUGGCUUUGGAGUGACUCUUUGUUGCAUGUUGAGGGCUUGUUAUAUGAUCUAUCUAUGUUAUUAUUGUUGAGAGAACUUGCACUAGUGAAAGUAUGAACCCUAGGCCUUGUUUCCUAUCAUUGCAAUACCAUUUACGCUCAGUUUUUUUACUUGCUACCUUGCUGUUUUUAUAAUUUCAGAUUACAAAUACCUUUAUCUACUAUCUAUUUUGCACUUGUAUCACCAUCUCUUCGCCGAACUAGUGCACCUAUACAAUUUACCAUUGUAUUGGGUGUGUUGGGGACACAAGAGACUCUUUGUUAUUUGGUUGCAGGGUUGUUUGAGAGAGACCAUCUUCAUCCUAUGCCUCCUACGGAUUGAUAAACCUUAGGUCAUCCACUUGAGGGAAAUUUGCUACUAUCCUACAAACCUGUGCACUUGCAGGCCCAGCAACGUGUACAAGAAGAAGGUUGUGUAGUAGACAUUAGGCCGAAGAUGUUAUUUCGGUGGCAGAGCCUCCGAUUAUGUCAGAAGGUUCAGAAUCUGGGGUUGUGUUCGAAGCCGAACUAAUAAUGACGGACUCCCCUUCCCAUGCCACGGACGGCUUGAACAACCUUUCUAAGAAGAUAUUAGGUGGGACGGGGUCGCGUCUAGCGCCGAUGCGGGCGAGGAUAUCGGCCGCUUGGUUAUUUUCUCUGACCACAUGGUGGAAUUCGAGCCCCUCGAACCGAGCUGACAUUUUGAGGACGGCAUUGCGAUAAGCCGCCAUUUUCGGGUCCCUGGCGUCAAAGUCACCAUUUACCUGAGAUAUUGCGAGGUUCGAGUCCCCACGCACUUCGAGGCGUUUAAUGCCCAUGGAGACUGCCAUCCGAAGACCAUGCAAUAGAGCCUCGUAUUUAGCUGCAUUGUUGGAGUUUGUGUAUAAUAUUUGGAGGACGUACUGCACCAUGUCUCCGGUGGGGGAUGUCAGGACGACACCUGCUCCCAAUCCGGCCAGCAUUUUAGAGCCGUCAAAAUGCAUGAUCCAAUUUGAGUAUGCGCCGUACUCUUUAGGGAGUUCGGCCUCUGUCCAUUCGGCGAUGAAGUCUGCCAGUACUUGCGACUUAAUGGCCCGCCGUGGUUUGUAUGUUAUGUCAAACGGUAGGAGCUCAAUAGCCCAUUUAGCAAUCCGGCCUGUUGCGUCGCAGUUAUUUAUUAUGUCAUUGAGUGGUACUUCGGAGGCCACCGUGAUCGAACACUCUUGAAAGUAGUGUCGUAGUUUCCGGGAUGCCAUGAAGACCGCAUACGCUAUCUUUUGAUAGUGCGGGUACCGAGAUUUGCAUGGAGUGAGGACAGUGGACAUGUAAUAUACCGGCUUUUGGAGCGGCAACUUGUGUCCAUUUGCCUCUCGUUCGACGAUGAGCACUGCGCUCACAACUUGGUUUGUUGCGGCUAUGUAUAAUAGCAUGGGUUCGCCAAUGUUUGGCGCGGUCAGGACUGGGUUGGUGGCCAAGAGUGCCUUUAUUUCUUUCAGUCCGGCCGUGGACGCAUCCGUCAACUUGAAGUGUUCAGUGCGUUGAAGAAGGCGAUACAGGGGUAGUGCCUUUUCUCCUAAGCGGGAGAUGAAGCGGCUUAAGGCAGCCACACAUCCAGUUAGUUUAUGGAUCUGCUUGAGGUCUGUUGGGAUAGCCAACUGUGACAGAGCUCGGAUUUUUGCUGGAUUGGCUUCAAUUCCUCUAUUGGAAACGAUGAAGCCGAGCAAUUUUCCGGAGGGCACUCCGAAGACACACUUCUUCGGGUUGAGCUUGAUGUCGUAUGUUCGGAGAUUAUCGAACAUAAGCCUCAAGUCAUCUAUUAAAGUUUCGACGUGUCUUGUUUUGAUGACCACGUCGUCUACGUAGGCUUCUACUGUCUUGCCGGUUUGUUUUUCCAGGCAUGUCUGAAUCAUGCGUUGAUAGGUUGCGCCGGCGUUUUUGAGCCCGAAGGGCAUGGUGUUGAAACAGAAGGGGCUGUACGGAGUGAUGAAGGCCGUUGCGGCCUGGUCGGACUCCGCCAUCUUUAUUUGAUGGUAUCCGGAGUAUGCGUCGAGGAAACACAAUGAGUCGUGUCCUGCGGUGGCAUCGAUUAUUUGAUCAAUGUGGGGGAGGGGGAAGGGAUCCUUAGGGAAAGAUUUAUUGAGGUCUUUGAAAUCGACACACAAGCGCCAGGAUUUGUCCUUUUUUGGUACCAUUACCAAGUUUUCUAGCCAAUCCGGAUGUUUGAUGUCUCUGAUAAAUCCGGCCUCGAGUAGCUUGGCUAGCUCUUCCCCCAUGGCUUGCCGCUUAGGCUCUGAGAAGCAUCUAAGAGUCUGCUUGACUGGCUUGUAUCCUUUUAGUAUAUUGAGGCUGUGUUCGGCCAGCCUGCGUGGGAUGCCCGGCAUGUCUGAAGGAUGCCAGGCGAAAAUAUCCCAAUUUUCACGCAGGAAGUCUCGCAGUGCGGCAUCUAUUGUGGGGUUCAUCUGUGUACCGAUGGAAGCUUUCUUCGAAGGGUCCAUUGGGUGGACCUGGAAUUUGACUAUCUCGUCCGCUGGUUUGAAGGUGGUGGAUUUAGGUCGCUUGUCGAGUAUCACGUCAUCUCUGUCCACUGUUGCUCGUAGUGUUGUCAGUUCUUUGGCUGCGAGGGCUUCUGAUAAUGCCUCCAGGGCGAGGGCGGCAGUUUUAUUUUCGGCGCGGAGUGCGACGUCUGGAUCGCUAGCUAGAGUGAUGAUUCCAUUGGGCCUGAGCAUUUUGAGCUUCAUGUACCCGUAAUGGGGUAUAGCCUGAAAGCUCGUGAAUGUGUCCCGCCCCAAGAGGGUGUGGUAUCCACUGCUGAACGGGUCCACUUGGAAUGUAAUUUCUUCGGACCUGUAAUUCUCCGGCGUACCAAAUACCACAUCUACUGUGAUUUUUCCCGUGCAUUGUGCCUCCCGACUAGGGAUGAUUCCCCUGAAGGUCGUGCUGCUCCGUUCAAUGCGGCUCUUGUCAAUUUCCAUCUUGUUAAGGGUUUCCUCAUAGAUGAGGUUUAGUCCGCUUUCGCCAUCCAUGAGCACUUUUGUGAGCCUGAAGCCAUCCACGAUUGGGCUAAGGACCAAGGCGGCUGGUGCUCGGACUGUUCGGAAUUGAGGUUCGUCACUAGCAUUGUAAGUUAUAGCCGUGUCAUUCCAUGGGUUUAUUGUUGCCACGUGGCAAACUUCUGCGAGGCUGCGCUGAGCUCGCUUGUGCCUAUUAUUUGAGGCGAAAGUCUCGAAGACUGUAAAUACUGUAUUGUUGUCUCCGGCGGGAUGUUGCUCUGCUGUAUGUUUUAUGAGGAGAUCCUCGCCGCUCUUUGCUACCUGCCAGAGUAUCCAACAUGCUCUAAGGCUAUGCGUUGGCAUAGUAUCCGGUGUGUUGUGAAUCUUGCACGACCCAUUUAGCCAUUCUCCCAAUACGGUUCCGCGCCUUGCGGCGGGCUUUAUUUUUUUAGUACUUGAAUCGGGUGACUUACGAGAGUUUACCCAUUUAGUUCGGACAGAUGAUUUGGCUAGAGCCGGAUUGUCCUAAAAACUUGUUUGGGGUUUUCCAGGCGCUUUCCAUCGCGCAGUAUUUUUGCACUAUGGCCGCUAAGUUAGCGAAGUGUACUAUGUCACGGCGAUUUAUAGCAUUGAGAAUCCCUUUGUUCGUGCAAUUUUUGCAAAAGAAGGAGAUUGCUUCUGCCUCACGACAGUCCCUGACCCAGUUUAUCACAAGGAGGAAUCUGGCCCAGUAAUGAUGUACUGUUUCUUGGGGCUCUUGUCUGAUAUGGGAAAGAUUGGAUAAAUCUGGGUGGGUGGGUGGAUUUGAAUCCGAAUCCCGACCCGAUCUGGGACCCAGGGGCAACAAGGCUUCCAAGCUUAACGGCUCGGGUUCUGGGGCGUUGCCCGAUUUCUUCGGACCGCCCCCCGAUCCUGAGUCCGAGGCCGGGGUCAUGUCCUCCCGCGAGCGAGUGUCCGGCUCGGAGAGCUCAGAAAUCUGGAUAUAGUUCGUCCUCAAAGUAGAGGGAAAAUUAGGAUGAUGCUCUUCCACUACCGCUAUCUCAUGGGUGGCCGGUGGAGAGUGAAUCUCCCUUUGGUCAGGUUUAAGCCCGAUCUAGUCAUAGUCCAUAGCGACGCCUAGGGCGGCGAUGCGAUCCAAGAGCUCAUUGAGGGAGAAGAGCUCCAUUGGGUCCAUCUGUUCGGCAAAUUCCGAAUCAAUGUGGAGGCUAUUUUUAAUGACCUGAGAAGUCAUUGUCGGCGCGACAGCCGAUCGGGCGGUCAUAACGAAGCCGCCCAGCCGGAGAGUUUAGCCUAGAGCCAGGGCUCCACCGGAGGUGAUGUUGUCUUUGACAACGAGGCGAGCCAUCAAGCCUUAUCGCGACGACACAGUGGAACUCUCAAUGAAAGCACCAAUGUCGGUGUCAAAACCGGCGGAUCUCGGGUAGGGGGUCCUGAACUGUGCGUCUAAGGCUAAUGGUAACAAGAGACUUGGGACACGAUGUUUACCCAGGUUCGAGCCCUCUCGAUGGAGGUAAUACCCUACUUCCUGCUUCAUUGAUCUUGAUGAUAUGAGUAUUACAAGAGUUGAUCUACCACGAGAUCAGAGAGGCUAAACCCUAGAAGCUAGCCUAUGGUAUGAUUGUUGUUGUGUCCUACGGACUAAACCCUCUGUGUUUAUAGACACCGGAGGGGGCUAGGGUUACACAGGGUCGGUUUACAGAGGAGGAGAUCUACAUCUGAAUCGCCAAGCUUGCCUUCCAUGCCAAGGAGAGUCCCAUCCGGACAUGGGGCAGAGUCUUCUGUCUUGUAUCUUCAAAGUCCAACAGUCCGGCCAAAGCAUAUAGUCCGGCUGUCCGGAUACCCCCUUAUCCAGGACUCCCUCAAUGGGCACCAGAGGGUCACCAGGGGUCCCAGGAGACAGGGGGCGCGCCCAGUAGGGGUGGGUGCGCCCCCACCCUCCUGGUCAGGGUGUGGGCCCCCUCUGGUGCUUUCUUCGCUCAAUAAUUAUUAUUUAUUCCAAAACUGACUUCCAUGGAGUUUCAUGAUUUUUGGAGCUGUGCAGAAUAGGUUUCCAAUAUUUGCUCCAUUUCCAGCCAGAAUUCCAGCUGCCGGCAUUCCCCCUCUUCAUGGUAAACCUUGUAAAAUAAGAGAGAAUAGCCAUAAGUAUUGAGACAUAAUGUGUAGUAACAGCCCAUAAUGCAAUAAAUAUUAUUAUAAAAGCAUGAUGCAAAAUGGACGUAUCAACUCCCCCAAGCUUAGACCUCGCUUGUCCUCAAGCGGAAGUUGAUAUCGAAAAAUAUGUCCACAUGUUUAGAGAUAGAGGUGUCGAUAAAAAUAAAAUACGGACAUGAGGGCAUCAUGAUCAUGCUUAUAACAGCAACAUAUAUAGAUUUUGUUAUAUGAUUUCUUGUGCUCAAGUAACAAUCAAUUCACAAUGUCAAGUAUGGUUGAGAAACUUCAUUGGGAACUAUCAAACUGUAAUCUCAGUCAUUGAAGCAAUUGCAAUUUAUCAUAACAUCAGAAAGAGUCAAGAAUAGAGCUUCUCAGCAAGUUCACAUACUCAAUUAUCAUAUAGUCUUCUACAAUUGUUAACACUCACGCAAUACUUGUGGUUAUGGAGUUUCAACCGGACACUGAGAAAGAUAGGGGCUUAUUGUAUUGCCUCCCAACGUAUUCACCUUUGGGUGAUGUCAACAAUAAUAAUUCAUGCUAACGUACAUCCAAUUGGAUAUAUAUAUAUAUAUAUAUAUAUAUAUAUAUAUAUCAAGAUCUUUCAAACACGAGGAGCUUGCCAAAGGAUAAAAUGAAAAAGGGAAAGUUGAAGAUCACCUUGACUCAAGCAUAAAGUAAAAACGUAAAGUAAAAGAUAGGCCUUUCGCAGAGGGAAGCAGAGGUUGUCAUGUGCUUUUAGGGUUGGAUGCACAAAAUCUUAAUGCAAACGAACGUUACUCUAUAUUGCCACUUGUAUAUGGACCUUUAUUAUGCAGUCCGUCGCUUUUAUUGCUUCCAUAACAAGAUCGUAUAAAGCUUUAUUUCUCUGCUCUAAUAAGUCAUACAUAUUUAGAGAGCAAUUUUUAUUGCUUGCAACAUGACAACUUACUUGAAGGAUCUUACUCAAUCCAUAGGUAGGUAUGGUGGACUCUCAUGGCAAAAACUGGGUAUAAGGAUAUUUGGAAGCACAAGUAGUAUCUCUACUUGGUGCAAGGAAUUUGGCUAGCAUGAGGGGGAAAGGCAAGCUCAACAUGUUGGGAAGAUCAAUGACGACAUACUUUAACUGAGAUGUGAGGAAACAUAAACCAUUACAUUGUCUUCCUUGUCCAAUAUCAACUCUUUUAGCAUGUCAUACUUAAUGAGUGCUCACAAUCAUAAAAGAUGUCCAAGACAGUAUAUUUGCAUGUGAGAACCUCUCUCUCCUUAUUACUUCCUAUUAAUUGGAACGAUGACCAAAACUACGUUUGUCAACUCUCAACAACUUUUCCCUCAUACUUUCUAUGUGUGAAGUUUUACUAUCCAUAAGAUCAAUAUGAACUCUUUUAUUCUAUUUAUUCUUUCUACUUUCUCAGGAUCAUAGCAAGAUAGCAAAGCCCUUGACUCAACACUAAUCUUUAUUAUAGAUAGCUCAUGGACUCGAUUACAUAAAGAGAUCACAAAGCAAAACUCAAAAACUACUUGAUAUUAAAACUUCAAUCUACUAGAUCAAGAUACUACUAAAAGGAUCGAACUAAAUAAAACGGUAAAGAUAGGAGUGUGAUGGUGAUACGAUACCGGGGCACCUCCCCUAAGCUUGGCAGUUGCCAAAGGGAGUGCCCAUACCCAUGUGAUUAUGUCCUCGGAGGUGGUGAAGUAGGAGUUGUUGAUGAUGUAGGCUUAUCGUCCAUCUUCCAACGCAUAGGCUCACCAUCAUAGAAGGAUGAUCAAGUCUCCGGGAUCCUCAAAUCUGCAGCCAAACUCAUCCUCUUGAAUCUAUAUUCAUACUCACAGUUUUGGUUUUGCAGGUCAUAAAUCUGGGCUUGGAGGUGCUCGAUUUUCUCUUGAAGCUUAAAGAUAGUCUCCCCAAUGUUCUUGGCAUCCAGCUUGUGGUUGCUGGUGAACUCCGUGAUCAUCAUCUGGUUGGCGUUGAGUCCACACUCCACCAUCCCUUGGCACUUGAAAACUUGUUGCUCCAUGGUUUCGAGCUUUGUCUCCACGCUUCCGGUAUGCCUUGGUCCCUCCACAUUACGGAUGUGCAGCACCCCCUCAUGCAUCUCAAUGGUUUGAGGGUGUUGCGGUACCUCCGCGAGAUAGGGGUUGAUAACCUUCUCGAAAAACUUGUCCUUGGGAGCGCUUGGAGACGUCAUGGUGCUCUAGAUCUGUCAGAAAAACAGCUCGAAAUGAAAAUAGAGGAUAUUUGCGUGAUAUAGUGGUCAAAACCUUUGGGAGAUUAUAUAAUGAAUUUUUACCGACCAAGAUACGUAACGUGCAAGAAAACGGAGUCUAGGAGGCACACGAGGUGGCCAUGAGAUAGGGGGGGCGCACCCAGGAAGGUUGGGCACGCCCUCCACCCUCGUGGAGGCCUCAUGUCCUUCCCGGACUACUUUUUUCUUUCCAAAAUUCUUAAAUAUUCCAAAACGGAUAAAAAUUGCUAUUAGAAUUUUUUUGGAGUCGGUUUACUUACCGUACCACAUACCUAUUCCUUUUCGGAGUCUGGAACGUUCUGGAAAGUGUCCUUUAUGUAUUCCUCUGGGGUUACGGUCUCAAUAAUAUUAGUUUCAACAUUGAUAGGAUUACCUGAGAUAUAAUGUUUAGUUCUUUGACCGUUCACCACCCUCAGACUUGUGCCUUUGAAGUUGUUGAUUUUUAUGGCACCUGAACGAUAGACCUCCUCGAUAACGUAAGGACCUUCCCAUUUAGAGAGAAGUUUUCCUGAAAAAAAAAAUCUUAAGCGAGAGUUGAAUAAUAACACAUAAUCGCCUAAGUUGAAUUCUCGCUUUCGUAUCCUUUUGUCAUGCCAGCGUUUUACUUUUUCUUUCAACAGCUUGGCAUUCUCAUAGGCUUGGGUUCUCCAUUCAUCAAGUGAGCUAAUAUCAAAUAACCUCUUCUCACCGGCAAGUUCGAAGUCAUAAUUGAGCUCUUUAAUAGCCCAGUACGCUUUAUGUUCAAGUUCAAGAGGUAAGUGACAUGCUUUUCCAUAAACCAUCUUAUACGGAGACAUACCCAUAGGAUUUUUGUAUGCAGUUCUAUAGGCCCAUAAUGCAUCAUCAAUUUUUUUGGACCAGUUCUUUCUAGAUCUAUUUCACAGUCUUUUGCAAAAUUAAUUUGAGCUCUCUAUUGCUCAACUCUACUUGACCACUAGACUGCGGGUGAUAAGGAGAUGCGAUUCUAUGAUUAACAUCAUACUUAGCAAGCAUCUUACGGAAAGCACCAUGAAUAAAAUGUGAACCACCAUCAGUCAUAAGAUAUCUAUGGACUCCAAACCUUGGAAAAAUAAUUUCUUUAAGCAUUUUAAUAGAGGUGUUAUGAUCAGCACUACUAGUUGGAAUAGCUUCUACCCACUUAGUAACGUAAUCAACAACAACUAAAAUAUGUGUAAAACCAUUAGAGGCAGGAAAAGGUCCCAUAUAAUCAAAGCCCCAAACAUCAAACGGUUCAAUAACAAGAGAAUAAUUCAUAGGCAUUUCUUGACGUCUACUAAUAUUACCAAUUCUUUGACAUUCAUCACAAGAUAAGACAAACUUACGAGCAUCUUUGAAGAGAGUAGGCCAAUAAAAACCGGAUUGCAAUACCUUAUGUGCAGUUCUAUCUCCAGCGUGGUGUCCUCCAUAUGAUUCAGAAUGACACUUGCGUAGGAUCUGUUCCUAUUCAUGCUCAGGUACACAACAUCUAAUAACACCAUCUACUCCUUCUUUAUACAGGUGUGGGUCAUCCUAGAAGUAAUGUCUUAAAUCAUAAAAGAACCUUUUCUUUUGCUGGUAUGUGAAACUAGGUGGUAUAAAUUUAGCAACAAUGUAAUUAGCAUAAUCAGCAUACCAAGGAGCAGAACGAGAAGCAUUAAUGACCGCUAAUUGUUCAUCAGGAAAACUAUCAUCAAUAGGUAGUGGGUCAUCAAGAACAUUCUCUAACCUAGACAAGUUGUCUGCAAUGGGGGUUCUCAGCUCCCUUCCUAUCAAAAAUAUGCAAAAAAAAUUCUUGGAGUAAGAGAACCCAUCUAAUAAGUCUAGGCUUAGCAUCUUUCUUUUCCAUAAGAUAUUUAAUAGCAGCAUGAUCAGUGUGAAUAGUAACAUCGGAAUCAACAAUAUAAGGUCUGAACUUAUCACAAGCAAACACAACUGCUAAGAACUCUUUUUCAGUAGUAGCAUAAUUUCUCUGGGCAGUAUCAAGAGUUUUACUAGCAUACUGGAUAACAUUCAAUUUCUUAUCGACUCUUUGCCCUAGAACAACACCUACAGCAUAAUCACUAGCAUCACACAUAAUUUCAAAAGGUAAAUUCCAAUCAGGUGGCUGAACAAUAAGUGCAGUGAUCAAAACUUUCUUGAGUAUUUCAAAUGCUUCUACACAAUCAUCAUCAAAGACGAAAGGAAUAUAUUUUUGCAAUAAAUUAGUCAGAGGCCUAGAGAUUUUAGAAAAGUCCUUAAUGAACCUCCUAUAAAAACCGGCAUGACCAAGGAAACUUCUUAUACCUUUUAUGUCCUUGGGACAUGGCAUCUUUUCAAUAGCAUCAACUUUAGCUUUAUCAACUUCAAGACCUCUCUCGGAAAUUUUAUGCCCCAAGACAAUGCCUUCAUUAACCAUAAAGUGGCACUUUUCCCAAUUCAGCACGAGACUAGUGUCUUCACAUCUCUGCAAAACUCGAUCAAGGUUGCUCAAGCAAUCAUCAAAAGAAGAUCCAUAAAUGGAGAAAUCAUCCAUGAAUACCUCACAAAUCUUUUCACAAAAGUCAGAGAAUAUAGCCAUCAUGCAUCUUUGAAAGGUAGCAGGUGCAUUACAUAAACCAAAAGGCAUACAUCUAUAAGCAAAAGUAUCGAAAGGGCAAGUAAAAGUAGUUUUUGAUUGAUCCUUCGCUGACAAAGGUAUUUGACAGAAACCAGAAUAACCAUCUAGAAAGCAGAAAUGUGUGUGUUUGGAUAGUCUUUCUAGCAUUUGAUCAAUAAAAGGUAAAGGGUAAUGAUCUUUCUUAGUAGCUUUAUUUUAAUUUACGAAAAUCAGUUACCAUCCUAUAACCUGUAAUAAUUCUUUACGGGAUCAAUUCAUCUUUAUCAUUAGGAACAAUAGUAAUACCUCCCUUUUUAGGAACACAAUGGAAAGGGCUUACCCAAUCACUAUCAACAACGGGAUAAAUUAUACCUGCCUCAAGGAGCUUUAGUAUCUCCUUUCUUACCACUUCUUUUAUUUUGGACUUAACUGUCAUUGAGGAUCUCUAACUGGUUUGGCGUCUUUCUCCACAUUUAUUUUGUGCUGGCAUAGAGUGGGACUAAUGCCCUUAAGAUCAUACAGAGUAUAUCCAAUAGCAGCACGGUGCUUCUUCAGAGUUUUCAAUAAUCUUUCUUCUUCUUGCUCUGAAAGGUUAGCACUAAUAAUAACAGGAUAUAUUUUGUUUUCAUCAAGAUAAGCAUACUUAAGAUUAUCAGGUAAUGGUUUGAGUUCAAACACGGGAUCACCCUUGGGUGGAGGGGGAUUCCCUAGGAUUUCAAUAGGUAAGUUGUAUUUCAGAAUAGGUUCCUGUUGAAGGAACACUUCAUCUAUUUCCUUUUUUCAUUCAUAAACAUAUCAUUUUCAUGGUCUAGCAAAUAUUGUUCUAACAGAUAAGUAGGAGGCACGGCAAUAGAAGCAAGACCAAUUAUUUCAUCUUUACUAGGUAAUUCUUUAUCAUGGGGUUGUCUACGAAACUUAGCAAAAUUAAACUCAUGAGACAUAUCACCCAAGCCAAUUGUAACAAUAUCCUUUUCACAAUAAAUCCUAGCUUUAACGGUAUUCAAGAAGGGUCUAGCAAAUAUAAUGGGACAAAAGUCAUCUUGUGGGGAACCAAGAACAAGGAAAUCAGCAGGAUAUUUAACUUUCCCACACAAGACUUCAACAUCUCUAACAAAUCCCAACUGGUUUAAUGGUGUCCCUAUUAGCAAGCUUAAUGGUAACAUCAAUAUCUUCUAUUUCAGCGGGUGCAAUAUCAUGCAUAAUUUCUUUAUAUAAGUCAUAGGGUAUUGCACUAGCACUAGCACCCAUAUCACAUAAGCCAUGAUAACAAUGAUCUCCUUAUUUAACAGAAAUAACAGGCAUGCCUACAACAGGUCUAUGUAUCUUAGCAUAUAGUCUAACAAUAUUAGCAGUCUCACCAUAGAAAUAAAUAACAUGUCCAUCUAAAUUAUCAUCCAAGAGAUCUUUAACCAUAGCAAUACUAGGUUCAACUUUGAUUUGCUCAGGAGGUGUAAAGGUUCUAGUAUUACUCUUACGAACAACAAUCGAAGUUUUAGCACGAUCCUUUAUCCUAACAGGAAAAGGAGGUUUCUCAACAUAAGUAGUAGGAACAAUAGGAUCAUUAUAAGUGAUAGUCUUUUCUUCAACUGUAAUGGGUGCAACUACUUUUAUUUCAAUGGAAGGAUUAUAUUUAAACCACUUCUCCUUAGGGAGAUCAACGUGAGUAGCAAAAGAUUCACAAAAAGAAGCCACUAUCUCAGAGUCAAGUCCAUAAUUAGCGCUAAAUCCACGAAAAACAUUAGUAUCCAUAAAAGAUUUAACACAAUCAAACUUAGGUGUUAUACCUGACUCCUUACCAUCGCCGGAACCCCAAUCUUCAGAGUUGCGUUUAAUUCUUUCCAAUAAAUCCCAUUUGAAUUCAAUAGUCUUCAGCAUAUAAGAACCAGCACGGGAAGUAUCGAGCAUGUUGCGAUCAUUGGGAGAAAGCCGAGCAUAAAAGUUUUGACUAAUCAUUUCUCUGGAGAGCUCAUGAUUGGGGCAUGAAUAUAAUAUUGACUUAAGCCCCCCCCCAAGCUUGAGUGAUGCUUUCUCCUUUGCGAGGCUAGAAAUUAUAUAUGUAAUUACGAUCACAAUGAACAAGAUGCAUAGGAUAGAACUUCUGGUGAAAUUCCAACUUCAAUCAUUUAUAAUUCCAAGAUCCCGUAUCAUCACAUAGCCUAUACCAUGUCAAUGCAUCUCCCUUCAAAGAUAAAGGGAAUACCUACCUUUUGACAACAUCAUCGGGAAUACCUGCAAGCUUAAAUAAUCCACAAACUUCAUCCACAAAGAUAAGGUGUAAACCGGGAUGCAAUGUUCCAUCUCCUGCAAAGGGAUUAGCGAGCAGUUUCUCUAUCAUACCCGAAGGAAUCUCAAAGUAAAUAUUUUCAGUAGGUUCAGUAGGUUGAGGAGCAACUCUUUGCUCUUCUGGUCGGGGUGAAGAUACCCCGAACAAGCCCCUCAAAGGAUUAGUUUCCAUAGUAACAAGUGACAGAAAAUUUCAGCACACUAUAUAAAUGUUUCCUUACCAAGUUCCACUCACCAAAGGCGCUUCACUCCCCGGCAACGGCGCCAGAAAAGAGUCUUGAUGACCCACAAGUGUAGGGGAUCUAUCGUAGUCCUUCCGAUAAGUAAGAGUGUUGAACCCAACAAGGAGCAGAAGGAAAUGACAAGCGGUUUUCAGUAAGGUUUUCUCUGCAAGCAGUGAAAUUGUAGGUAAUAGAUAGUUUUGUGAUAAGAUAAAUUGUAACGAGUAAGAAGCAAUUAAAGUAAAUAAAGUUCAGCAAGGUGGUCCAAUCCUUUUUGUAGCAAAGGACAAGCCUGGACAAUUUCUUAUAAUGAGAAAACAGCACCCGAGGACACAUGGGAAUUAUCGUCACGCCAGUUUUCAUCACACUCAUAUGAUUCGCGUUCGGUACUUUGAUAAUUUGAUAUGUGGGUGCACCGGUGCUUGGGUACUGCCCUUACUUGGACAAGCAACCCACUUAUGAUUAACCCCGAUUGCAAGCAUCCGCAAUUACAAAAGAAGUAUUAAGGUAAACCUAACAACAUCAUUAGACAUAUGGAUCCAAAUCAGCCCCUUACGAAGCAGCGCAUAAACUAGGGUUUAACCUUCUAUCACUCUAGCAACCCAUCAUCUACUUAUUACUUCCCAAUGCCUUCCUCUAGGCCCAAAUAAUGGUGAAGUGUCAUGUAGUCGACGUUCACAUAACACCACUAGAGGAGAGACAACAUACAUCUCAUCAAAAUAUCGAACGAAUGCCAAAUUCACAUGACUACUAAUAGGAAGACUUCACCCAUGUCCUCAGGAACAAACGUAACUACUCAUAAAGCAUAUUCAUGUUCAUAAUCAGAGGAGUAAUAAUAUGCAUUAAGGAUCUGAACAUAUGAUGUUCCACCAAAUAAACCAAUUAGCAUCAACUACAAGGAGUAAUCAACACUACUAGCAACCCACAGGUACCAAUUUGUGGUUUUGGAUACAAGAUUGGAUACAAGAGAUGAACUAGGGUUUGAGAGGAGACGGUGCUGGUGAAGAUGUUGAUGGAGAUUGACCCCCUCCCGAUGAGAGGAUCGUUCGUGAUGACGAUGGUGAUGAUUUCCCCCUCCCGGAGGGAAGUUUCCCCGGCAGAAUAGCUCUGUCGGAGCCCUAGAUUGGUUUCGCCAAGGUUCCGCUUCGCGACUGCGGGGUUUCGUCUCGCAAGCUUGCCUCUGAUUUUUUUCCAGGGUGAAAGUCUUGAUAUAGCAGAAGAUGGGCACCGGAGGGCCACCAGGGGGCCCAGGAGACAAGGGGCGCGCCCAGUAGGGGUGGGCGCGCCCCCACCCUCUUGGCCAGGGUGUGGCCCCCCUCUGGUGCUUUCUUUGCCCAAUAAUUAUUAUUAAUUCCAAAACUGACUUCCGUGGAGUUUCAUGAUUUUUGGAGCUAUGCAGAAUAGGUUUCCAAUAUUUGCUCCUUUUCCAGCCAGAAUUCCAGCUGCCGACAUUCCCCCUCUUCAUGGUAAACCUUGUAAAAUAAGAGAGAAUAGCCAUAAGUAUUGAGACAUAUUGUGUAAUAACAAUGCAUAAUGCAAUAAAUAUUGAUAUAAAAGCAUGAUGCAAAAUGGAUGUAUCACCCCCUACCCGAGAUCCGCCGGUUUUGAAACCGACAAUGGUUGCCGAGGCAGGGCACGGUCUCGGCGAUGUCCUCCUCAUCGUCGUCAUUGUCGCCGAACACUUCCUCGCCUGCGUCAUCGCUUUCCUUGUAGGCGGCCGCCACCUCUGCCAACCCGCUGGCAGUACUACCAGCGGGCGAGGCGGAUCUCACGGGCGGAGCGGUAGGACUCGAGCAGCGCCUCUUGCUCCACCAGGUCCGUCUCCAGUGCGACCACCCUGCCAGCGGCGAGCUCCUUCUCUGCUUGCACGUGCUCUUGGAGGAGGUGGUUGUUGUAGGCAGCUUCGGCCUGUACCCCACAGAACUGCUCCCCCGCUCCUCCUGCACCAUGUCCAUGUAAUGGGCACGUGCCUCGCCGAUGGUCAUGAAGGAAAUAUGCCCUAGAGGCAAUAAUAAAGUUAUUAUUUAUUUCCUUAUUUCAUGAUAAAUGUUUAUUAUUCAUGCUAGAAUUGUAUUAACCGGAAACAUGAUACAUGUGUGAAUACAUAGACAAACAUAUAGUCACUAGUAUGCCUCUACUUGACUAGCUCAUUAAUCAAAGAUGGUUUUGUUUCCUAACCAUAGACAUGUGUUGUCAUUUGAUUAAUGAGGUCACAUCAUUAGGAGAAUGGUGUGAUUGACAUGACCCAUUCCGUUAGCCUAGCACUUGAUCGUUUAGUAUGCUGCUAUUGCUUUCUUCAUGACUUAUACAUGUUCCUGUAACUAUGAGAUUAUGCAACUCCCGUUUACCGUAGGAACACUUUGGGUACUACCAAACGUCACAAUGUAACUGGGUGAUUAUAAAGGAGUACUACAGGUGUCUCCAAAGGUACAUGUUGAGUUGGCGUAUUUCGAGAUUAGGUUUUGUCACUCCGAUUGUCGGAGAGGUAUCUCUGGGCCCUCUCGGUAAUGCACAUCAAUAUAAGCCUUGCAAGCAAUGUGACUAAUGAGUUAGUUGCGAGAUGAUGUAUUACGUAACGAGUAAAGAGACUUGCCGGUAACGAGAUUGAACUAGGUAUUGGAUACCGACGAUCGAAUCUCGGGCAAGUAACAUACCGAUGACAAAGGGAACAAAGUAUGUUGUUAUGCGGUUUGACUGAUAAAGAUCUUCGUAGAAUAUGUAGGAGCCAAUAUGAGCAUCCAGGUUCCACUAUUGGUUAUUGACCGAGAAUAGUUCUAGGUCAUGUCUACAUAGUUCUCGAACCCGUAGGGUCCGCACGCUUAAGGUUUCGAUGACAGUUAUAUUAUGAGUUUAUGAGUUUUGAUGUAUCGAAGUUUGUUCGGAGUUCCGGAUGUGAUCACGGACAUGACGAGGAGUCUCGAAAUGGUCGAGGCAUAAAGAUUGAUAUAUUGGAAGCCUAUGUUUGGACAUCGGAAAGGUUCCGGGUGAAAUCGGGAUUUUACCAGAACACCGGGGGGUUACCGGAACCCUCCCGGGGGUUAAUGGGCCUUAGUGGGCCAUGAGGGAGAAGAGGAGGGCUGGCCAGGGCAGGCCGCGCACCCCCUCCCCCCCUAGUCCGAAUAGGACAAGGAAGGGGGGGCGGCGCCCCCCUUUCCUCUUUCCCCUCCCCCCUUUCCUUCUCCACCAAGGCAAGAGGGGGGAGUCCUACUCCCGGUGGGAGUAGGACUCCUCCAGGCGCACCCCAAGGGGGCCGGCCGCACCUCCCCCUCCCUCCUUUAUAUACGGGGGCAGGGGGGCACCCCAUAACACACAAGUUGAUCUACGGAUCGUUCCUUAGCCGUGUGCGGUGCCCCCGUCCACAAUAUUCCACCUCGGUCAUAUCGUUGCGGAGUUUAGGCGAAGCCCUGCGCCGGUAGAACAUCAUCAUCUUCACCAUGCCGUCGUGCUGACGGAACUCAUCCCCGAAGCUUUGCUGGAUCGGAGCCCGGGGAUCGUCAUCGAGCUGAACGUGUGCUGAACUCGGAGGUGCCGUACGUUCCGUGCUUGGAUCGAUCGGAUCGUGAAGACGUACGACUACAUCAACCACAUUGUGCUAACGCUUCCGCUUACGGUCUACGAGGGUACGUGGACAACACUCUCCCCUCUCGUUGCUAUGCCAUCACCAUGAUCUUGCGUGUGCGUAGGAAAUUUUUUGAAAUUACUACGUUCCCCUACAGUGGCAUCCGAGCCUAGGUUUUACGCGUUGAUGUUAUAUGCACGAGUAGAACACAAGUGAGUUGUGGGCGAUACAAGUCAUACUGCUUACCAGCAUGUCAUACUUUGGUUCGGCGGUAUUGUGAGAUGAAGCGGCCCGGACCGACAUUACGCAUACGCUUACGCGAGACUGGUUUCACCGUUACGAGCACUCGUGCUUAAAGGUGGCUGGCGGGUGUCUGUCUCUCUCACUUUAGUUAAAUCGAGUGUGGCUACGCCCGGUCCUUGCGAAGGUUAAAACAACACCAACUUGACGAACUAUCGUUGUGGUUUUUAUGCGUAGGUAAGAACGGUUCUUGCUAAAGCCCGUAGCAGCCACGUAAAAUUUGCAACAACAAAGUAGAGGACGUCUAACUUGUUUUUGCAGGGCAUGUUGUGAUGUGAUAUGGUCAAGACGUGAUGCUAUAUUUUAUUGUAUGAGAUGAUCAUGUUUUGUAACCGAAGUUAUCGGCAACUGGCAGGAGCCAUAUGGUUGUCGCUUUAUUGUAUGAAAUGCAAACGCCCUGUAAUUGCUUUACUUUAUCUCUAAGCGGUAGCGAUAGUCGUAGAAGCAAUAGAUGGCGUAAUGGCAAUGAUGCUACGAUGGAGAUCAAAGUGUCGCGCCGGUGAUGAUGGUGAUCACGACAGUGCUUCGGAGAUGAAGAUCACAAGCACAAGAUGAUGAUGGCCAUAUCAUAUCACUUAUAUUGAUUGCAUGUGAUGUUUAUCCUUUAUGCAUCUUAUCUUGCUUUGAUUGACGGUAGCAUUUUAAGAUGAUCUCUCACUAAAUUAUCAAGAAGUGUUCUCCCUGAGUAUGCACCAUUGCGAAAGUUCUUCGUGCUGAGACACCACGUGAUGAUCGGGUGUGAUAGGCUCUAUGUUCAAAUACAACGGGUGCAAAACAGUUGCACACGCGGAAUACUCAAGUUAAACUUGACGAGCCUAGCAUAUACAGAUAUGGCCUCGGAACACGGAGACCAAAAGGUCGAGCGUGAAUCAUAUAGUAGAUAUGAUCAACAUAAUGAUGUUCACCAUUGAAACUACUCCAUCUCACGUGAUGAUCGGACAUGGUGUAGUUGAUAUGGAUCACGUAAUCACUUAGAGGAUUAGAGGGAUGUCUAUCUAAGUGGGAGUUCUUAAGUAAUAUGAUUAAUUGAACUUUAAUUUAUCAUGAACUUAGUCCUGGUAGUAUUUUGCAAAUUAUGUUGUAGAUCAAUAGCUUGCGUUGUUGCUUUCAUAUGUUUAUUUUGAUAUGUUCCUAGAGAAAAUUGUGUUGAAAGAUGUUAGUAGCAAUGAUGCGGAUUGGAUCCGUGAUCUGAGGUUUAUCCUCAUUGCUGCACAGAAGAAUUAUGUCCUUAAUGCACCACUAGGUGACAAACCUAUUGCAGGAGCAGAUGCAGACGUUAUGAACGUUUGGCUAGCUCAAUAUGAUGACUACUUGAUAGUUUAGUGCACCAUGCUUAACGGCUUAGAAUCGGGACUUCAAAGACGUUUUGAACGUCAUGGACCAUAUGAGAUGUUCCAGGAAUUGAAGUUAAUAUUUCAAGCAAAUACCCGAGUUGAGAGAUAUGAAGUCUCCAACAAGUUCUAUAGCUAAAAGAUGGAGGAGAAUCGCUCAACUAGUGAGCAUGUGCUCAGAUUGUCUGGGUACUUCAAUCGCUUGAAUCAAGUGGGAGUUAAUCUUCCAGAUAGGAUAGUGAUUGACAGAAUUCUCUAGUCACCAUCACUAAGUUACUAGAACUUCGUGAUGAACUAUAGUAUGCAAGGGAUGACGAAAAUGAUUCCCGAGCUCUUCGUGAUGUUGAAAUCGACGAAGGUAGAAAUCAAGAAAGAGCAUCAAGUGUUGAUGAUUGACAAAACCACUAGUUUCAAGAAAAAUGGCAAAGGGAAAGAAAGGGAACUUCAAUCAGAAUGGCAAGCAAGUUGUCACUCCCACGAAGAAGCCCAAAGCUGGACCAAAGCCUGAAACUGAGUGCUUACACUACAAAGGAAAUGGUCACUGGAAACGGAAAUACCCUGAAUAUUUGGUGGAUAAGAAGGAUGGCAGAGUGAACAAGGGUAUAUUUGAUAUACAUGUUAUUGAUGUUUACCUUACUAGUGUUUAUAGUAACCCCUGAGUAUUUGAUACUUGUUCGGUUGCUAAGAUUAGUAACUCGAAACAGGAGUUACAGAAUAAACAGAAACUAGUUGAGGGUGAAGUCAUGAUGUGUGUUGGAAGUGGUUCCAAGAUUGAUAUGAUCAUCAUCGCACACUCCUUUCGGGAUUAGUGUUGAACCUAAAUAAAUGUUAUUUGGCGUUUGCGUUGAGCAUGAAUAUGAUUUGAUCAUGUUUAUUGCAAUACGGUUAUUCAUUUAAAAUCAGAGAAUAAUUGUUGUUCUGUUUAAAUGAAUAAAACCUUUGAUGGUCAUACACCCAAUGAAAAUAGUUUGUUGGAUCUCGAUCGUAGUGAUACACAUAUUCAUACUAUUGAUGCCAAAAGAUGCAAAGUUGAUAAUGAUAGUGCAACUUAUUUGUGGCACUGCCGUUUGGGUCAUAUCGGUGUAAAGCGCAUGAAGAAACUCCAUGAAGAUGGAUUUUCGGAAUCACUUGGUUAUGAAUCAUUUGAUGCUUGCGAACCGUGCCUUUUGGGCAAGAUGACUAAAACUCCGUUCUCCGGAACAAUGGAACGAGCUACUGACUUAUUGGAAACAAUACAUACCGAUGUAUGCGGUCCAAUGAGUGUUGAUGCUCGUGGCAAGUAUCAUUAUUUUCUAACCUUUACAGAUGAUUUGAGCAGAUAUGGGUAUAUCUACUUGAUGAAACAUAAGUCUGAAAUAGUUGAAAAGUUCAAAGAAUUUCAGAGUAAAGUGGAAAAAUCAUCGUAACAAGAAAAAUAAAGUUUCUACGAUCUGAUCAUGGAGACGAAUAUUUGAGUUACGAGUUUGGUCUUCAAUUAAAACAAUGUGGAAUAGUUUCAUAGCUCACUCCACCUAGAACACCACAACGUUAUGGUGUGUCCGAACGUCGUAAUCGUACUUUACUAGAUAUGGUGUGAUCUAUGAUGUCUCUUAUCAGUUUACCACUAUCGUUUUGGGGUCAUGCAUUAGAGACAGCUGCAUUCACGUUUAAUAGGGCACCAUCUAAAUCCGUUGAGACGACACCGUAUGAACUAUGGUUUAGCAGUAAACCUAAGCUGUCGUUUCUUAAAGUUUGGAGUUGCGAUGCUUAUAUGAAAAAGGUUUUCAACCUUAUAAGCUCGAACCCAAAUCGGAGAAGUGCGUCUUCAUAGAAUACCCAUAGGUAACUAUUGGGUACACCUUCUAUCACAGAUUCAAAGGCAAGUUAUUUCGUUGCUAAGAUGGAUCCUUUCUAGAGAAAAAGUUUCUCUCGAAAGAAGUGAGUGGAAGGAAAGUAGAACUUGAUGAGGUAAUUGUACCUUCUUCCUUAUUGGAAAGUAGUUCAUCACAGAAAUAAGUUCCACUGAUUCCUACACCAAUUAGUGAGGAAGUUAAUGAUGAUGAUCAUGAAAACUUUAGAUCAAGUUGCUACCAAACCUCGUAGGUCUUCCAGAGUAAGAUCCGCACCAGAGUGGUAUGGUAAUCAUGUUCUGGAAGUCAUGUUACUAGACCAUGAUGAACCUACGAACUAUGAGGAAGAGAUGAUGAGCCCAGAUUCCGCGAAAUGGCAUGAGGCCAUAAAAUCUGAGAUAUGAUCCAUGUAUGACAACAAAGUAUGGACUUUGAUUGACUUGCUCAAUGAUCAGCAAGCCAUGUUAAAUAAAUGGAUCUUCAGGAGGAAGACGGACACUGAUAGUAGUGUUACUAUCUACUAAGCUCGACUUGUUGCGAAAGGUUUUCGACAAGUUCAAGGUGUUGAAUACGAUGAGAUUUUCUCACUCGUAUCGAUGCUUAAGUCUGUCUGAAUCAUGUUAGCAAUUGCCACAUUUUAUGAAAUCUGGCAACUGGAUGUCAAAACUGCAUUCCUUAAUGGUUUUCUUAAAGCAGAGUUGUAUAUGAUACAACCAGAAGUUUUUGUCGAUCCGAAAGGUGCUAACAAAAUGUGCAAGCUCCAGCGAUUCAUCAAUGGACUGGUGCAAGCAUCUCAGAGUUGGAAUAUACGCUUUGAUAAGUUGAUCAAAGCAUAUAGUUUUGUACAGACUUACGGUGAAGCCUGUAUUUACAAGAAAGUGAGUGGGAGCACUACAGCAUUUCUGAUAAGUAUAUGUGAAUGACAUAUUGUUGAUCGGAAAUAAUGUAGAAUUAUUCUGCAAAGCAUAAAGGAGUGUUUGAAAGGAUUUCUUUCAAAGAAAGACCUUGGUGAAGCUGCUUACACAUUGAGCAUCAAGAUCUAUAUAGAUAGAUCAAGACACUUGAUAAGUUUUUCAAUGAGUACAUACCUUGAUAAAUAUUUUGAAGUAGUUCAAAAUGGAACACUCAAAGAAAGAGUUCUUGCCUGUGUUGCAAGGUAUGAAAUUGAGUAAGACUCAAAUCCCGACCACAGCAGAAAAUAGAAAGAGAAUGAAAGUCAUUCCCUAUGCAUCAGUCAUGGGUUCUAUAAAAGUAUGCCAUGCUAUGGGCCAGAACUAUUGUAUACUCUGCCCUGGUUUGGCAAGGGAGUACAAUAGUGAUCUAAGAGUAGAUCACUGGACAUUGGUCAAAAUUAUCCUUAGUGGAAUAAGGAGAUGUUUCUCGAUUAUGGAGGUGAUAAAAGAGUUCAUCGUAAAAGUUACAUCGAUGCAAACUUUUACAUUGAUCCAGAUGACUUUAAGUCUCAAUCUGGAUACAUAUUGAAAGUGGAAGCAAUUAGCUAGAGUAGCUCCGUGCAAAGCAUUGUAGACAUAGAAUAUUUGCAAAAUACAUACGACUCUGUAAUAUAACAGACCCGUUGACUAAACCUCUCUCACGAGCAAAACAUGAUCAUACCUUAGUACUCUUUGGGUGUUAAUCACAUAGCGAUGUGAACUAGAUUAUUGACUCUAGUAAACCUUUUGGGUGUUGAUCACAUGAUGAUGUGAACUAUGGGUAUUAAUCACAUGCAGAUGUGAAUAUUGGUGUUAAAUCACAUAGCGAUGUGAACUAGAUUAUUGACUCUAGUGCAAGUGGGAGACCGAAGGAAAUAUGCCCUAGAGGCAAUAAUAAAGUUAUUAUUUAUUUCCUUAUUUCAUGAUAAAUGUUUAUUAUUCAUGCUAGAAUUGUAUUAACCGGAAACAUGAUACAUGUGUGAAUACAUAGACAAACAUAUAGUCACUAGUAUGCCUCUACUUGACUAGCUCAUUAAUUAAAGAUGGUUUUGUUUCCUAACCAUAGACAUGUGUUGUCAUUUGAUUAAUGAGGUCACAUCAUUAGGAGAAUGAUGUGAUUGACAUGACCCAUUCGGUUAGCCUAGCACUUGAUCGUUUAGUAUGUUGCUAUUGCUUUCUUCAUGACUUAUACAUGUUCCUGUAACUAUGAGAUUAUGCAACUCCCGUUUACCGGAGGAACACUUUGGGUACUACCAAACGUCACAACGUAACUGGGUGAUUAUAAAGGAGUACUACAGGUGUCUCCGAAGGUACAUGUUGAGUUGGCGUAUUUCGAGAUUAGGUUUUGUCACUCCGUUUGUCGGAGAGGUAUCUCUGGGCCCUCUCGGUAUUGCACAUCAAUAUAAGCCUUGCAAGCAAUGUGACUAAUGAGUUAGUUGCGAGAUGAUGUAUUACGUAACGAGUAAAGAGACUUGCCGGUAACGAGAUUGAACUAGGUAUUGGAUACCGACGAUCGAAUCUCGGGCAAGUAACAUACCGAUGACAAAGGGAACAAAGUAUGUUGUUAUGCGGUUUGACCGAUAAAGAUCUUCGUAGAAUAUGUAGGAGACAAUAUGAGCAUCCAGGUUCCGCUAUUGGUUAUUGACCGAGAAUAGUUCUAGGUCAUGUCUACAUAGUUCUCGAACCCGUAGGGUCCACACGCUUAAGGUUUCGAUGACAGUUAUAUUAUGAGUUUAUGAGUUUUGAUGUAUCGAAGUUUGUUCGGAGUUCCGGAUGUGAUCGCGGACAUGAUGAGGAGUCUCGAAAUGGUCGAGACAUAAAGAUUGAUAUAUUGGAAGCCUAUGUUUGGACAUCGGAAAGGUUCCGGGUGAAAUCGGGAUUUUACCGGACCGGGGGUUACCGGAACCCUCCCGGGGGUUAAUGGGCCUUAGUGGGCCAUGAGGGAGAAGAGGAGGGCCGGCCAGGGAAGGCCGCGCGCCCCCUCCCCCCCUAGUCCGAAUAGGACAAGGAAGGGGGGGCGGCGCCCCCCUUUCCUCUUUCCCCUCCCCCCUUUCCUUCUCCACCAAGGCAAGAGGGGGGAGUCCUACUCCCGGUGGGAGUAGGACUCCUCCAGGCGCACCCCAAGGGGGCCGGCCGCACCUCCCCCUCCCUUCUUUAUAUACGGGGGCAGGGGGCACCCCAUAACACACAAGUUGAUCUACGGAUCGUUCCUUAGCCGUGUGCGGUGCCCCCCUCCACAAUAUUCCACCUCGGUCAUAUCGUUGCGGAGUUUAGGCGAAGCCCUGCGCCGGUAGAACAUCAUCAUCGUCACCACGCCGUCGUGCUGACGGAACUCAUCCCCGAAGCUUUGUUGGAUCGGAGCCCGGGGAUCGUCAUCGAGCUGAACGUGUGCUGAACUCGGAGGUGCCGUACGUUUGGUGCUUGGAUCGGUCGGAUCGUGAAGACGUACGACUACAUCAACCGUGUUGUGCUAACGCUUCCGCUUACGGUCUACGAGGGUACGUGGACAACACUCUCCCCUCUCGUUGCUAUGCCAUCACCAUGAUCUUGCGUGUGCGUAGGAAAUUUUUUGAAAUUACUACGUUCCCCUACAGGUCAUAGUGCAAUGCACCAGCGAGGGUGCCGCAGAGAAGGAGGGUAGUGCCGGUUCAUUGUCAGCAGCGUCCUUCAUUGGGACGUCGUCGUCCUCCGGCUGCCUGCCGGUCAGCCAACCGGCAGCAAUGACGACCAUCUCCUUCUUCUGGUCCGACGUCAGCCCGUCCUAGAGAGCUUUGGCGGGGGAGGAAUCCACGGUGGGAGUGGUGCGGAGAGGGAUUGGAGGCGGAUGACUGCGGCUAUGGUCGGGGAAACGGUUUAUAUAGCAAUGAUGGACCGCAGAGGGACGGACGGAUGACGCUGUAGGAGACGCCUCGGCAAACAUGUGCCAUCAACGUGGGCUGCAGAUGGAUGAACGGGCGGUUGUCGUGUUGUUUGAAUGUGCACCGGGAAGUGGCGCGGGCAACACUCUCUCGAUCGUCGCACCGCUUCAAUGCUGGUGCCAGUGAGCUGGCGCAUCCGCUUUGGCCGGGCAUGAAUGCGGGCGCUGACGCUUUGGAGCGGCGCUGACCGAAAAAGCAUGGGAAGAGGAGGGGUUUUGGGUGGGCUAGAGCGUUCAGAAGAGGGCUUGCAAGCGGUCCGGACUCCCGCAAAGCCCCCACGUUUGUCUCCGAUUUGCGGAAGAAAACAUAUACCAAGCGCACCACGGACUGAUAUAGGACCGUGUUAAAUGACUUUCAUGAUUCGGACAGCACGGUCUAGACGCAUGCGGCAGAUAUGCGGAUCGGUGUUGGAGACGCCCUUAGUGAGAUCUUGACAUUUAACAAGACUCUAUAUGUCACUUCACAUGAAGACGGAGGAGAACAAAUGAUGGAAUGGUGUUAGCUUUCUAGCAUGCGUGUCGGACGGGUUUGACUGGCGGUCCCAGAAGCCAUCUCCGCCACUCACCGGACUCGAGAGCAAUGUCGUUGGACCGAGUCUCGGGCGGUGCAAGCUUGACGGCAUUCAGCAUGGACGGAGAUUAAAGGAGUCGCCGACUGGGAGGGGCAUUCGUCGUUGCUGGAUGGAUACAUGCAGCUUGAUUGAAGGUGCAGGGUAGUAGAAACGCGGUAGAAAAAAUGUGCUAGUCCGAUCCUUAUAACCAAUCAAUCAAUCAGCCACAGAGCCAACACCAAGGAACCAUCCCCUGGCUCCCUGCCAUGCCGCCGCCACUCACCCUCCUCCUGGCCGUCCUCCUCGCCGGCCUCCAACCCGCCUCCGCCGCGUCAUCCUCGCAAACGGACGCCCUCCUAGCCUUCAAGCGAUCCCUCACCAUCCCGCCCGCGGCCGCAGCCUUCUUCUCCACGUGGGACGCCGCCGCUGCCUCGCCUUGCAACUUCACCGGCGUCACCUGCGACUCCAGCCGCUCCGUCGUCAUCGGCGUGUCCGUACGGGAGCACGGAGUCGCUGCCGCGUCCGUCCCGUUCGGCAUCAUCUGCGGCUCGCUGACGAACCUCACCACGCUCUCUUUGCCGUCGAACGCGCUCGCCGGGGGCAUCGACAGGGUCGUCGCGUGCACGGGGCUUGAGGAGCUCACCCUCGCGUCCAAUGCCUUCUCCGGCGCCGUGCCGGACCUCUCGCCGCUGAUCCGUCUCCGCAGGCUCGACGUCUCGAAUAACAGCUUCUCGGGUGCGUUCCCCUGGGCCGCGCUGCCCGCCAUGCCAGGCCUCACCGUGCUCGCCGCGGGAGACAACCCGUUCUUCGAGCCGACCAGUUCUUUCCCCGCCGAGGUCACCGAGCUCACCAACCUCACCGUGCUCUACCUCUCUGCCGCCAACAUCGUCGGCGCCAUCCCGCGGGCUAUGGGGAGCCUAGUCAAGCUCGUGGACCUCGAGCUGGCCGACAACAACCUCACGGGCGAGAUACCCCCGGAGAUUGCCAGUCUCGUUAACCUCCGGGCCCUCGAACUGUACAACAGCUCCCUUACCGGAGCUCUCCCGCGGGGGUUCGGGAAGCUAACGAAGCUACAGUACUUCGACGCGUCACAGAACAUGCUGACCGGCGGCCUCUCCGAGCUCCGGUUCCUCACGCGGCUCGUGUCGCUUCACCUCUUCGACAACAGCUUCUCCGGCGAGGUGCCCCUCGAAAUCGGAGACUUCAAGGAGCUCGUCUACCUGUCACUCUACAACAACAGCCUCACAGGCGAGCUGCCGCAGAGCCUCGGGACUUGGUCGGAGCUGACCUACAACAACAGCUCUCUUAGAGGAGCACGAACUCACUGACGGGGCCGAUCCCGCCGGACAUGUGCAAGAGCGGGAGGCUGCUGCUUGAGAAUAAAUUCUCUGGCGAAAUCCCAGCGACCUACGCGAGAUGCACGACCCUGGAGAGGUUCCGUGUCAGCAAAAACUCGCUCUCCGGCGAGGUACCCCAGGGCUUAUGGGCGCUUCCCAACGUCGAAAUUAUUGACCUUGCGGACAACCAUCUCACCGGCGGCAUCGGUGACGGCAUUGGCAGCGCCAGGUCGCUGGCCACUCUCUUACUCGGUCGGAACCGGUUCCUCGGCGCCAUACCAUCGUCGAUAGGCAAUGCCAGAAAUCUGCAGAGUUUAGACCUUUGGUCCAACAAACUCUCCGGUACCAUACCGUCGUCCAUAGGCAACGCAAAAAACCUCGAGUAUAUAGACUUUUCGUCGAACCAGCUCUCCGGCGCUAUACCGUCGUCCAUAGGCAACGCCGGAAAUCUCCAGAAGAUAUACCUUUCGUCCAACAAACUCUCCGGCAUGUUAUGAUUACGGUUCUAAGAGAUAUGACAAUACACUGGUAGAUAAACCAGGUUUGAGAUUCAUGCUACGUUUUUCUGGGUUUACCAAAUUGUUCCAUAGUGCUGUAUUAAGGUUGUUCUUGUUUCAAAAUGAAUCAUAAUGUUUCAUUGUGGACCGCUAUGUAAUAGUGCAUCCAACCUGAAAGCAGUGCACACUUAUUUGAUCGUACACCACCCUAGUCAGAAGCGGGAGAGGGUCACAUAGGAUCCCCCCUGCCCCCCAAAGUGCGAAACUAGCUCGACAAAUUAACGCGAAGGCAGCUACUUUCACUGUUAGCUCAGCAGUGUUUUGGUUUCCUUUCUGAUCCAGCUCGGAGACUGUUGUAUUUCCGUUAUUUGGUUAAUGGAAAGGGGUAAUGCCCGGUUUAAAAAAAAAGAAAUAUAGAAAUUCUAUGAUUUUUAAUAACACUACUUGGAUCUCUCUUAACUAGGUGCUGAGAUUGAUCUUGAACACAGUAAGGAACUGGGCUAUUCUGUCCCCAGAUUUGUGCAAGGAAAGACUGUUGGUCUUUCCGGCGCAACUGGCGAAAUUCCUUCAGAAACCAAUGAUGAUCACUUGUGGCUGAACUCAAGAAACUUGCUGGCAUUCGACCCCGGGGAAAGCUCAAGAUCACUGAACACGAUGGAGGCUUCUUGUCCCCCAAGAAGAGAGACCUCGGUGACAAAACUGCUUCGUCCAACCCUAUUGUUGACACUCACCACCUGCUGGUCUCCUCAGGCCGCCGCGGCGCCACCCAUGAAGACCAGGAGGGCAUCCCAGGAGGUCGCCUGCAUCUAGUAGUUUGUUCCUCGGCUACUAUUGGUUGUUCAUAGCCAUUGUGUAAUAGGGGUGUUUUAAGUCGAACUUGUUUUCCUUUGUUGUUGCUUACUGAAUUGCUCCUCUAAGAGAGCUGUUGUAUGGGCACUACUUGAGGGUUUAAUUCGAGUAAUGAAACCGGAGAGGGGCCUCCCUGUUCUUCUAAAAAAAGCUUAGACUAACUACUACUAAAAAAGGUUUUGCAUUUUUAGAUGGGGUGCGAGGGCAUCCACGGCUCCCCUGCGACUAGGGUUGACCUGAGAUGCAUAAUGUAGUGGGGCCCAGCUCACCUGCCAUAUUCCUGUGCCCACGGCUUUGAGGCCGAAAUUACUAUUCUGAUCUUGUCAUGAACAUUGGGCACAUAAUGACCUCCCAAAAAAUUAUUUCACAAAAUGACCAUUUUCUCAAACGCAAAAGAUUGUGCUGUUUCUGUCCCACAUGGAAACGCCAGACACUGGCGUGUUUCUGCCUUGCCCCACGACCAGGCCUCGCUGGUGUCGCUCACCUAUGUGGCAGCCAGAAACACCGAACCCCGGCCCACUACGUUGCCAGUAACGCCAUGGGCCUUGGCGUUUCGGCGAUGGAUAAAUAAGUGGUUGCGGGCCGCGGUGGCGCUCUCACCCACCACUCACCACUCAUUCUCUUCCUCCUCAUUGGCCACCCCGAGCUCUAGCCUUUUCCUCAUUGUCUCUAUCACUUAACCCUUCUUCAAAUCCUUCCGAAUCGAUUGCAUUGGUAUGUGGAUCUGAUGUCUUUUCCGUUCCUUAAGGUAAUCUUCUUCGUCUCCCAAUUUUUAUUAGUUGGAUUUGUGUAUUUGGAUGGAUUUGUUCAUGUGGAUCCUAACCCUAAUUGUGAAAUAUUUUUACCUAAUAUGAUGUUUGUGGUGUUUACCACUGGCGGAGCUUUGGCAAGAGCAAGACCGAUUGGGCUGUGACCCUAUAUACUAAUAUGAUGUUUGUGGUGUUUACCACCGGCGGAGCUUUGGCAAGGCCGAUUAGGUCGUGGCCCACCCAGGUCUGAAGCAAAAACCAGAUUAUAUACUACUGUAGCCCACAACGCUGACGGACAGCAGUCACUGGAUCUCUCGCUAAAGCGUCCCGGGUAAUCGGGCCGGCCCAUUAGCACAUACUAAAGAACAGAAAAGUUAGGAACUAAAAUGGGGCCAUGCUGAAAUUCGAUCAAUGGUCGCUUGGGUAACGCAACGAGCUCCUAGCCACAACGCCAGUUUUGGGAUCGUGUUAUAGAGGAGGCGCGGACUACUUGAAGUAAAAGACCCAAGUCUUUAUUUCUUCAUUUUCCUUUUUCUUUUUUUAGUUUCUUUCUUUAUUCAUGGUUACGGAGGAGGCGCAGACAUUUUUUUUUGUUUUCUUUUCCUUUUUUUAACCUUUUUCUUCAAUUUUUUAUUCUUUUUUUGCAUCUUGUUUCUUAGUUUUUUCAUUUUAUUUUCAUUUUGUUUAUUUUUUUGUUUCCUUUGUUCUUUUGGUUAUAAUUGUUCAACAACAUUUUUCCAAUACAAAUUAAACAUUUUUGUAAUAUAUGGUCAACAUUUUUUCUAUACCCAUUUUUAACAUUUUUAAAAUGCUUGAUUAACAUUUUCCAAAUACAAGAUUUUUAUUGAAUACACGGUCAACAAUUUUUCUAUACAUUUUUAAAUGCUUGAUUAACAGUAUUCAAAUAAAAGAUUAACAUUCUUUUGAAUACAUGGUCAACAUUUUUUCUAUACAUAUUUAACAUUUUCCAAAUGCUUGAUUAUCAUUUUUCAAAAGCUUGUUCAACAUAUUUUUAAACGCUUGCUUAACAUUUUUAUAUACAUGAUCAAAUUGUUUCAUCAUUUUUAAUACAUGGUCAACAUUCAUUAUACAUAUUUAUAAUCUCCCAAAUGCUUCUUAAACAUUUUUCAAAUACUUGUUCAACAUUUUUUUAAAGGCUUGAUAAACAAUUUUAUACACAUAAUCAAAAAAUUACAUCAUUUUUUAGUACAUGAUCAACAAUUUUUCUAUUUACAUUCAACAUUUUUCUGAAUGAUUGAUUAGCAUUUUUAAAUACUUGUUCAAUAUUUUUCAAAUACUUGUUGAAUAUGUUUUCAAUUUUCAUUGUAGAGUUUAUUUUGUACUGUAUAUGUUUUGGAUAUUUAAACUAUAAACAAAUGUAAAAAAUAAAGGAAAAAAACAAAAAACAGGAAAAAAACAGAAAAAAAGAGGUUGUGCCCUGCGGUGCGUGUGGGGCCACUCAUCUCGCUCGCCCCUUGAGCGAGUCGGAAGGUGGACUUGCUGAAGGCGAGCCAUAGGGGCGCCCGGCAGCAGACUCGUACGUGUAGGAUUCGCGGCGAUGCAGGCUCAGGGUUCGACCCAACCGCCACAGACCACAGAGAGAAAACAAGCUCCAAGACUGUCAACAUGGUGAGCACUUGCAAUAUUGAUGGGAAUGGUAAUUUACCUAUUGUUCUUUCAGUAUUUCAAUCACCUUAGCCGUGGAUUGAUUCGGGUGCUAACAUUCACGUGUGUGCUGACGUCUCUUUGUUCACUUCUUAUCAUAUCACAAAGGAUUCUUCCGUCCUAAUGGGGAAGGAGUCAUGUGCUUUUGUUUGUGGCAUUGACAUGAUGGAUCCGAAUUUUGCUUUGGGAACGAUCGUGCAGCUUGUCCCUACUAUGAACAAGAAUCAGUAGCAGCUCCCUUCUAUCUCGAGAUGGGUUUAAGAUAGUUUUAGAGUCAAAUAAAGUAAUCAUGUCGAGAUUUGGACAAUUUAUAGGCAAAGGCUAUGAGUGCAAAGGCUUGUCCCGGUUUUCCCUUUCAAAUUUUGCAAUAAAUCAGUAAACCAAAUUUAUGCUAGUGUUAACGAUGAUGCAAGUGUUUGGCACUCUCGUUUAUGUCAUAUUAAUUUUGGUUUAAUGUCUCGGCUAUCCAGUAUGAGUUUAAUUCUGAAUUUCAUUGUUGCCAAAUAUUCUAAGUGCCAUAGUUGUGUGCAAUCGAAACAACCUAGAAAGCCUCACAUGACUGCCGAGGAGAGAAACUUGGCACCUCUAGAACUCAUAUGUUCUGAUCUAUGUGAGAUGAAUGGUGUGUUGACAAAAUGUGAAAAGAGAUAUUUCAUGACGUUGAUUGAUCAUGCGGCUUGAUUUUGCCAUGUUUAUCUGUUGCAAACUAAAGAUGAAGCUUUAGACUACUAUAAAAAUCUAUAAAGCUAAAGUUGGAAAUUGAGUAGAGAGAAAGAUCAUGCAUCUUAGGUCAGAUCGUGGUGGAGAUUAUUUUCUCAAAGUAUUUGAUGAAUUUCGUGAGGAACACAAUAUUAUUCACGAGAGGACGCAUCCCUAUUGACACCAAUCGAAUGGGGUUGCCGAGAGAAAAAACUGCACGUUGACUUACUUGGCGAAUGCCAUAUUCGUAAUUGUUGGUUUAUCUAAGGCAUGGUCGAGGAGGCUCUAUUGACUUCAUGUCAUGUCUUGAAUAAAGUUUCUAACAAGAACAAAGAGAAAACCCCUUAUGAAGAGUGGGUUGGGAGAAAACCAUCACUUUCUUAUUUGUACACUUGGGGAUGUUUGGCGAAAGUCAAUAUUCCUAUUCCUAAGAAACGCAAACUCGGACCAAAGGUUGUGUAAUGUGUCUUUCUAGGUUAUCCUCAGCGGAGCAUUGCUUAUAGAUUUUUAGUGGUUAAAUCUGAGGUACCUGAUAUGCAUGUUGAUACUAUAAUCGAAUCUCGUGAUGCAACAUGUUUUGAGAAUAUAUUUCCUAUGAAAGAUAUGCAUAGCAUUACUAGCUUUUCUCCUGAGAUAAUUCCUGAAUUUAGUACAUUUGAUGAGUUUUUCGAACAAUCACCUGAGGAAGUCCUUGAGAAGGAUAAUGAUGAAGCUCCUGCGAGGAGCAAGAGACAAAGGGUUGCAAAAUCCUUUGGUGAUGAUUUCAUUGUAUACCUUGUGGCGACACUCCCAAGUCUAUUGCAGAGGCAUAUGCAUCUCCGGAUGUAGAUGAAUGGAAAGAAGUUGUUCAUAACAAGAUGGACUCAAUCCUUUCUAAUGGAACUUAGGAGCUAACUGAAUGACACUAUGGUUGUAAACCUAUGGGCUAUAAGUGGGUGUACGUAAAGAAGCUAAGGCCUUAUGGUACUAUUGAUAAGUACAAGGCACAACUUGUGGCCAAGGGCUACACUCAGAAAGAAGACGAAGAUUACUUUGACACCUAUUCACCAGUUUUUAGAAUGAUCACCAUUCGUGUGCUACUUUCACUGGCUGCCUCUUAUGGUCUUAUCAUUCAUCAAAUGGAUGUAAAGACAACUUUCCUAAUGGAGAGUUGGAAGAGGAGAUAUAUAUGGAUCAGUCUGACGGGUUUGUGGUAAAGGGUGAAGAGAGAAAGGUGUGCAAGUGGUUAAAAUCUUUGUAUGGUCUAAAAUACACACCUAAGCAAUGACAUGAGAAGUUUAAAAGAACUCCGACUUUUGCGGGAUUUGUCAUUAACAAGGCUGAUAGGUCUUUUUACUAUCGCUAUGGUGGGGGCAAUAGUGUCAUAUUAUGUUGUAUGUGGAUGACAUACUGAUCUUUGGUACAAACUUGAUGCGAUCAAUUAAGUCAAGUCUUUUUUAUCAUAGAGUUUGACAUGAAAGAUCAGGGAGAAAUCGAUGUGAUUCUAAACAUCAAAUUUAUUAAGGAUAAGAGUGGGAUUACUCUAACACAAUCUCAUUAUUUUGAGAAGGUCUUGAGCCAGUUGGGCUUUAUGGAUAGCAAGUCUUCUCCAACACCUUAUGAUCCCAGCGUGACACUUAGAAAGAACAAGAAAGAAAUGAGAAAUCAAUUAAGAUACUCUCAAAUUGUCGGUUCACUCAUGUACUCAGUUAGCGCAACAAGGCCAGAUAUCUCUUUUAUUGUGAGCAAACUGAGUAUGUGCGACAUGCGAGUUAAUGGUCUGCCGAAAACCGAUCUGUUGCCUUGCGGGGCAAUAGCUUCCUUUUGCCGUUUCAUUUUUGGUGUGUGACGGAAAAGUUGGUUGUUAUAUAUUGCUUACCGGCCUCAGCCAAAGAAACAUCAGAAACACCUAGGGUUUUGCCUCAUCUCGCAACUUGCGCUGCCACCGUAUGUCUACUCUAUUCCGAACGCCGAUGUGCAUCGCGUGUGGGAGAGUAGGUCUGCGGAACCGUUCGUCCUUGCGAUCCUGCACCGGGAGAGGACGAAUUACGUUUUUGGGGAGCACUCUGCUCGACUGCUCAAGUUCGUCAUCACAGAUUGUCUUUCGUCCAAGUCGGGCGUUGCUAGUCAUCGUCGUCUCCAUCGCCGUCAACAACCGAACGCCGACAACAUCGUCAUCAACACCAUCGCUCCUACAGGAGCUAACGGACAAUAUGUCCAUUGUGACAUGUUCAUGUCUCUAUCUGUAAUCGAUGCUUCAUGCGCGAUGAUGUUGUGUAUAUUUUUCUGUUCACCUAUGUUAAAUUGUUGCAUGCUAUUCUUUGUGUUAUUCAUGAGUUAUUUUCUGAAAUUAAUCAUUAAUUUGCCUAAUAUUCCAACAAAAACUACUCCAUGGUUUAAAAGCCAUAAGAAUAUCUUCAAUCAAAGUAACACACAAUUGCGUACAUAUGACACCAAAUCUCAUCUCCCAUUCUUCCCACUCACCUCGACAAUGCCAUGAUUCUUGCGGUUUUAUGAUAUCUUAAUUUCAUCUUCAAUGGCUUUCAAAGCCGCAUCUAUCUAUUGCUAUUUUCUCCUUCAAUAUGCGCCAGCUUUUCGUGUGUUAGACGGUCAUCCGCCAUACGACACUUUCUAGGUCAUCGAGGCACAACUUGGAAAAUCAAGUAGACCACAUUCCCCACUUACAAAAUCAUACUCCCUCCGAUUGACACAAUCUCUGUACAAUGUAGUAUCUUUCUAUCAGCUCUACUAAACACCCACGAAUAGAAAAAUAUGAAAUCGUGCAAUGAGACUUGGACACGUCAGAAGAAUAUAUGAAAUCUUGCAAUCAGACAUGGACACGUGGAUCAAAAGAAGCUAGGGCUUUGAAAAAAGAAAACAGAAGCUAGGGCGCGUGGCCGGCCGACCACCGCAUAUCACCUGGCCUGCAUCUCGCACAGAAAGGCGCAUCCUACUUGUGGUACCCAAUUUCUAGCAUUUCUUCGCAUCGUGAGUAACGUCGGCAUUGGACUCCACCGUCACACUGCCCCACCCAAUCUCCUUCCUGAACCCGUCUUUACACUUGUGUUGGUCUCCUACUUGGCUUCGGCACCUUCAUCCGCAUGUGUUGGAUCGAAUCAGCAGCUCGUGAUAUGGGUGAGCAAUCGAGCUUCGCGAAGCUACUUUCUAUACGUGGCGGCCACGUACGAGCACCGCCGCGCGACGUGUCCCGUUGCUUCUGCCUAUAAAUGCCGCCUGCUGCAAUCUCCUUUCCAACACAAGCAGUCGAUCGAUUCAUCCAAGCCAGAGUUGAGCAAUACUAGCAGUGAGAUUUACAGUGAUUUCAGUUCGUGUUUGUUGGUGAGAGACAAGAGAAGAUGGCCUCCAACCAGAACCAGGCGAGCUACGCGGCCGGCGAGACCAAGGCCCGCACCGAGGUAACCCUCGUCUCCCGCAGUGCCUGCCACUUCAUCGUGCAUUCAUGCUCAGUGAUCUGAAAUGCUCUCUUGGUUUGGCUGCGCAGGAGAAGACCGGGCAGAUGGUGGGUGCAACCAAGGACAAGGCGGGGCAGGCCACGGAGGCCACCAAGCAGAAGGCCGGAGAGACAGCCGGGGCCACCAAGCAGAAGGCCGGCGAGGCCAAGGACAAGACGGCCCAGACGGCGCAGGCGGCCAAGGACCGCGCCGCCGAGAGCAAGGACCAGACCGGCAGCUUCCUCGGCGAGAAGACGGAGGCGGCCAAGCAGAAGGCCGCCGAGACGGCCGAGGCGGCCAAGCAGAAGGCGUCGGAGGCGGCGCAGUACGCGCAGGAGAGGUCCUCCGACGCCGCGCAGUACACCAAGGAGUCCGCCGUGGCCGGCAAGGACAAGACCGGCAGCGUGCUCCAGCAGGCCGGCGAGACGGUGGUGGGCGCCGUGGUGGGCGCCAAGGACGCCGUGGCGAACACGCUGGGCAUGGGUGGUGACAAUGCCACCAAGGACACCACCACCAGGAAUCACUAGACGCAUGCGUUCGCGCUUAAUUUGAUCUCCUUUAGUCGUGUUCGGCCGUUCGGUCGUUCACGAGCCUUCUACAGUACAUAUUUUGUAUGUUUCCACUCUUUCGUGAUUUCCGCUCAUUUAGUCCAACAGCCGCGCUAUACUAGCGCCGCACUACAAAUUAGUCGGUUUUAGCGCGUGCGCAACGCGACGGGUCGCUCCAGCGGGCCCGCAAAAAUCGCACGCGCGCUAAAACGAGUUGGGCGCGCUGUCGAAAACACUGCCCCGCGCGGUGUAUUUCGGGCGCCCGCUGCAGCGCGCGGCACACUCGAGCGCUUGCUCUCGCACUUCCUCUCCCGCUUCCAUCCCCAUCCGGCCGCGCCGCCGCCGCCGCCCGCGCCCCCCCCCUAUCAUUGUCAUUCGGCGUCCCGCAACGCACAAUGAACUUCAGGAUGAUCUGAUUGAAGAGUGGUGGGCAUGGUAUGGACGACAAAGAGCAUCAUGAUUUCUGCAUUAUUUGUUGUGUUUAUUGCAUUAUUUGUUAUACUGAACGAUAAACUAUUUGUUUGAGUUGUAAUGAUAACAAAACUGAACUAUUUAUUGUUGAUCUAUUUUGUUUGUUUGAUCAUUUUUGUUCUUCUUUUUUGAAAUGUAUAUGUGGUUUGUGCGGCGCGCGCUGUAUUUUUGCGCUCUGUUGGAGCGGCGCGCGCGCUGCAUUAUAGCGCGGCUGCUGGAGCCAGCGCUGGCGGCCGCGCUAAACCAGCCGAAGCGCGCGCGGCAAACAGAAUUUUUGCGCGCGGCGCUUACCGCGACUGUUGGAGAUGCUUUUAGUGUAAGUUUGCCUCCGAUUUGAUCUACUCGUGUCCGGUUCUGUAGUGAGUUAUAAUCCAUGUACUUCACUCGAAGGCGGCUAUAAAGUUGUACGUGAUCGAAUUUCUUUUGUCACGGUAAUCAUUGAAACUUCAAU
This 95586-nucleotide long non-coding RNA is filed under the name Triticum aestivum (bread wheat). RNAcentral's name for it is "long non-coding RNA (TAES_LNC009422)". The record is from RNAcentral. Lineage: Eukaryota; Viridiplantae; Streptophyta; Magnoliopsida; Poales; Poaceae.